RNAcentral lists this long non-coding RNA (136825 nucleotides) under Hordeum vulgare. RNAcentral's name for it is "long non-coding RNA (HVUL_LNC002560)". The stretch from base 21629 to 21733 matches the Rfam family "MIR1120/MIR1122 microRNA precursor family". Lineage: Eukaryota; Viridiplantae; Streptophyta; Magnoliopsida; Poales; Poaceae. The record is from RNAcentral.
GGCAAGAAGCCCCGAGUACUGGGAAAACGCAGAGGAGUUUAUACCGGAGAGGUUCGAGGACGGCACGGCUACCUACAAGGGCUCGCGGUUCGAGUACUUGCCGUUCGGCACUGGAAGGAGGAAGUGCCCCGGCGAUACCUUUGGGCUGGCCACACUGGAGCUCGCGGUGACACGGCUCCUCUACUAUUUCGAUUGGAGCCUCCCUGCCGGAACACGGGUAGAUGAGCUCGACAUGGAAACAAGCGUGGGGAUAGCCACGAGGAGGAAGAACCAGCUGCACCUAGUGGCGACCCCUUAUAAGUGUGCUUGCUAGGCAAAUACUAUCUAUGUGCUCUCUUAUGUUCUUUUCCGUACACAAAAAAAAAUCACCGUGGAGUUUUUUUUCCCGAGAAAUAAUCACUGUCGAGUGUAUUUGUAAAUUAAGUUCAUAACCUCUUUAUGCGUGCACAUGGACGGGUGAAUAGCUCAUGUGUGAAGUUUUUGAUGCGAAUUGGAAAGAAUGAAACGUAGUUGCGAUGAUUUACAUGGCAAUAAUAGCCCCUAUACAAUGGGAAUGGUCAUCAACGGGGAACGCAGUUAAGUUAAAAACAGGGAGUCAAACUGAUAAGUGCAUCUGGUGGCGGUCCUCACUUGACAGUGCAUCGAGGUUAACGAUUUCCCGCCCGACUAGACCCGUGCUACUCCCCUGUUUCUGGUUGCUGCUCCCGUCUUCAUUCUCGUCGGCGGCGGCGACGGCGGCAGAGCUUACGUUCACGGUCUCGACGGCGUAUGUGGAAAGUGUAUUCGGCAUUCUAGAGUUGUUCCCCUAAGUCUUGAGUUAGAUCUAACCAAGUGAGCCUUUGUUUUCCACGGGAUCCAGAUUGUGGAGGCGGGUGGGGUGGGGGAGCGGUUGCGGCGUUGGGCUGAACGAGAUGGAGCCGCGAGAGACAACACCGACUAGGUAAUGAUCACCCUUUCUAACCUAUGCGAUGUGUGCCUAGUCUACUUCUGCUGCCUCACGGUGUCCGCCAUUGAUACACAUGGGCGAUGGUGCUCAGGUCUUCGAAUUCACUAUUGAAUUCUUUCCGUCUAAAGUGAAGCUAGUUGAUGGUAGUGUGCGAGACACACAGAGAGAUACAAUUGUGAAAUGAGAGGUUGAAUUUGCAGAAAUUGACCCAUAGAAAAUACAGAGAUGGAAGAGAGGGGCGUGAGGAAAUUUGAGGAGAAAGUUGGGGAGAGCAUUUUUUGGGUCCAGGGUAAGAGGUAUAAUUGUUACUGUUUGAUAANNNNNNNNNNNNNNNNNNNNNNNNNNNNNNNNNNNNNNNNNNNNNNNNNNNNNNNNNNNNNNNNNNNNNNNNNNNNNNNNNNNNNNNNNNNNNNNNNNNNAUUAGUUCAUUGAGUUUAGGAAAGGAUGCCAGUUUGGAACAGUUGGUGGAGCAUGGUGAAACGCGCUCAUUUGGAGUGGCUGAAACAGAAACGUACUCGAGAGCUACUCGUCUUCCUAAAAGCUCUAGCAAUGCAAGACCUGUCCUAAUGCAAUAAAUACCGGUGCUCUCGAACUCAAUCAGCACAGGUACAGGGCCAGGUGCUUCUCCAGCUCUUGGUACCGUCUCUUGUGCCCCACCUGUAUAGCUAGGGUUAAGUAACCCAUUCAGGAGAAGAUAAGAGAAACACCAUCUGGUAAGGUUGGAUCUAUAAAACAACGUUGGUUGACAGAGCUAUCUUGACAUUAUAGGUGGGGUCUUUGGAUAGCAGGUAUGCUGUGUCAGAGAGCAUUGGUGAGAUUAUCCAUCUUAUAACCCCCGUUAGACCGACAGAUGAUAGAUUCCCUUCCAAGCCAUUGAAACCUCGCUUUUCUUAUCUAAAUACAGGUGUUAGAAUACGUUUUUUGAUUGAAUAGGUUCUAUCUGCUUCCAAUCAUUAUCCAUGUGCUUGUGAAUUUAUUAGAAUCCAUUUCAGUAGGACAACAGGGCUCUCGCCUAGCUGAUUCUAAAGUGGAAGCAAUUCAGGUAUCAGCACAUACAGGUACUAAUUCACAUUUCUGUCGCUACCCCGUGGUAUUGGAGCUUGUAGUGAUAAGGAUUUUUAUAAUAGAUAGUUUGUUUUAUCCUUGAAGUAAGAGCACUGAGAAUAGCUUAGCUUUCCAGUCGAAAGAAAGCAUAGAGAACCAUCAAACAAAUACUGGAUGGAGAAUGCACUCUUCGUUGCCCAAAGGAAAGGGUGCAGGUCCAGUAAAUAUCGCCUUUAAAGGGCUAUGUCUAUAGACAGUUCUAACAGAGAACAUAGUAAGCGGAAGGAAUUAGUGCCUUGAUCGCCCUCUUGCUUUUUGUCAAUGGAUCAUGAACAUUUUCUAUUUGUUUUAUUGAUUCAUGCGAAAUGAAAUAUGAAUAUUCGAGUGCUUAGGUAGUAGUUGGCGCGUACUAUAGAUACGCGAAAGAGUACCUGUAUCCUUGCAGGAUUUGGUCCGAAGGUUUGAGUCAGUACGGUGAAGCAUUGAAGGAAUCGAAUGGAAAAAGAGCUUAAAAUAAGGGAUUUUUUAAGCUCUGUAAGUACUAACUAGAUGCGCAGGGCAUCAGAGGCUUACUCAAAUGGAACAUACGAAUCGAACCUUGCUUGACUCUCUUUUUCAUACUUGCCCUCGGGAUCAGUGGUAGAUUCAUAACGUUAUUACUCAUGGGUAGCAGAUGAUGGAUCCAUUUCUGUUGAAGCAGUGGAGUGAAGAGGAGGGUUGGGUCCUGCCUCACAACGAGCCCGGGUAGAUAGAUAGGUAGAUAGUAGAUAGCAGUCCGGAUAGUGAUAAAAUCUGAAAUAAUCUUCUUCUUGAUUGAAAGAAAGCCUGUGCCGGAAAUAGAGAGAGUUCUGCUCUUGGUUGACAUAGAUCGCUCUACUCUCGAAUUGACAUACAUAGAGUUGAAAACACACUCCUCACAAAUGAUCAUAGUUCACUACUAAUGAGCGAGUAACUACUAACGUUACGAGCAAAAAGACGAAUCUACUUGGUUCAUAUCAUAUGUUCCGCUCCGUUGACAGGUUCAUAUAUGUACCUGAUGUUCAUGGAAACAACAGGAUGAUAAUCCGUUGAUGGGAAACUCACUUUGCUAUGCUAGGAAACUGACUAAUGAAACUAACAAGUUCAAGUGCUCUAGUCAAGUAGUAAGCUCCAGUGGGAAGCGCUAGUCCAGAUAGAAAGAAUAGACAGGAGGAUUGCCAGGUUGGUCCGCACAGGUGCAUAUCUGUAGGUUUCAGCACGGGAUUCCAGAUCGUUGGUACCCGAUGUUCAGUUCAUGGGAAUGGGAAUGUAGGAAACUCUCUCUUCCGUCCGGAACAUAUAGAUAGAUUGAUUGCUGUAGCAGCAAGUCAACUAGAUCCAGUGAGGAAUGAGAACCUUUCCGGGGGCAAGGGGGGGGGCGAAGAUACUAGCUACUAUUACUAUUGGCUAUGGAUGUCCUAACACGAACGAAGUCUAUACGAGCAGAGGAAAGCGAAGCGUAUUGGUUGGUUCGGAUUUCAGAGUGCACUGGUUCUAUUCUAACUAGACUCGCAUCAUAAGUUUGCCUGCUUUCAAAUCCCGCGAAAGUACUACUGGCAGCUCCUAUAUGAGGUUGAUGCCACAAAGAUUAUCAUAUCUACAUGAAAGGAAAAUUCAUGGAAAGGAAAAUGAACGUGAUGCACACUAGAAAAGAUACCAAGCAAGAGGAUGUGCGCAACGUCGCGCUCGAAAGUCUUGUCUAUGAAAUCAAACCCUAGUUCCGUGAGGAGGAAGACUCUCUUCGGUCGAGGGAUGGAUGGACUAGUGCCGUAAGGAUGAGUGAUGCUAGAGGGAAGUAGAUCAAUAGGUGCCGCUUGCUUACUACAGUGACAAGGAAAUCAAACAAAGUAGUGGCCAGGCCAGUCUCAAGAAUGGGUGAGUCAAGUAAACUUGCCAGUAUGCCGGGAAGCCGGUAAUGCGAGGGUAUCUCCAGUCGAAAAGGAUGCCGGAUCCAACUAAUACGGCUAUGCUUGAGGAAGAAGAGUGCUCCUACUCCUACUUCAGCUUCUAAGAAUAGGCCCGGUGCUAACUCCACCUUCCGGACUGCCCUUCAUCGGCACGAAAGUAAGAUUGGACAUGAUAGACGGAAGCAGAAUCGAGGCAGUAUCAGUUUCCUGGUUUCGAGGAAGGAAAUGUCCGCGGGGCUCUCUUAUCUUCUUAAAGGAUGAGUGUGUAUACAACCAACCUAUAAUACGUAUUUUCGAGGUUCCUAUGCUAUGGUAUCCAGGUUCCCGCCAGGGAAGGGGAGGUUCCUAUGCUAUGGUAUCCAGGUUCCCGUGAGGGAAGGGAUAGGGUGCCGUGUUUUCCACAGAACAGUCUGGUGGAAUCCAGUGGUAUAUAGAAGCUCUGUGCCCUUCUCUUUCUCCUGCAGCAAUAUGAACUCAAAGGGAUCCUUUCCUACCCGGGACAACUUCAUAGCUCCUACCUUUACUCUUGAUUUGCGCAAGAGUGCUCGUCAGUGAUCUCCAUUCACAAAAGUGGAAAGGAAUGUUCCAUUGCCACGAACAAUAUGGGCUUUCUCAUGGAUUCCCCUUUUUCUUCUACACAUUGUACUAAUAUAAUUGGAUUGGGAAUUCGCAGGAAUGGGUAUUGAGAGGAGGAUCACCAUGGCCAAAACAUCUCUUGUCAGCGACAAACUCUAUGAUUUGCCAAUUCCAAUCGAUUUGCAUAUCAGCAAGCAGGGAUGAGCACAUCUGGAAACCUUGACUUCCUCUGGAUGCGGACCAAUAUAUGCACCGAACUCAGGUCGUGCUUCCAAAAUGUUCAAAAAAUUCUGAAUUUUUUUAACACACUGACACAACCAACAUAGGACGUCACAAAAUUGAAAAACGUAACUCGAAAAACAAAAAUGACAAACUCAACACUGAAUAGUACAUAACAUAACUUGGGCUUUAGAUUUGGCUCAUUAUCACACCGAUGUCAUAUUUUUCAUUUUUACAUCUCAAAAAAUAUUUUGAAUUUUUAUAUGAAAUUCUAUGACAUCAUACAUCGAUGUUGCAUUAACAUGCUAGUUUUUUUAUAGAUUUUUUUAAAAACUUUUUGUGGCAUCCGGUGGGUUCUGCGAGGUGGCUGAUGCGGGAACAGGCCCUGAAGCGAGUCCGCCCAAGUGCUCGGUCGUUUUCUGGCAGGACAGCUCGGUGGCAAUUUGGAAGUAAUUAGGGUACAUUUAUAUUUUCAAACGUUUUCUUUGGAGGGACUAGCCGGAAUCUAAGAUUCUAGGAGAAACCAGGUAUUUUUAUAGAUUCUGAAUUGCACUAGGAUUUUACAGAAUUCGGUCAAGAUUUAAAAAGUUCAAUCCAGUUCUUUUGAUUCCAGAUUUUCGGGGACCGUAUUCUUUAAAAUCUGCUCAAAAGAACUGGCCAUAUUCCAGAUUUUAUGACAUCAUACAUCGAUGUUGCGUUAACAUGCUAGUUUUUUUUAUAGAUUUUUUAAAAACAUUUUAUGUCAUCCGAUGCAUUGGUAGCACCAGAAGUGCGAGCCAGUUCUUUUCACCUGGGAUUCUACAGAAUCAAGAUUAUGGAAAAUUCUCCCAGAAUCUGCUUCUCUCAGAACCAGUCGGCGAGUUCUUUUUGAAGGUUGUAGUUUGAGAUUCUGGAAGUGUUGUGUGUUGAAAUGUCUAUACUACCCUUAGACCAAAGUUGUCUGAUGAAUUGUUAACACUUUAACGUCAACAUCAGCAAGCAUCUAACAAAUUCAAGCAUUAAUCCAUUUAUCUAUCUAUUUGAAACUACUCCCUCCGUCCAUAAAUAAGUGUACAUGUAGAUUAGUACUUAGUCAAACUUUUUAAAAUUUGAUCAACUUUAUAGAAAAUAGUAGCAACAUAUAUGGCAUGAAAAUGAUAUAUUUAGAAACCUCAUGUAAAGACAAAUCUAUUGAUACUAAUUUGAUGUCAUAAAUGUUAGCACUUUUUCAAUAAAGUUAUCAAAGUUUAACAAGUUUGACAGACAAAAAAAAAAUACACUUAUUACCGGACGGAGGGAGUACAUCAUCAUCAAGCAUUUAACAAGUUAAAGCAUUACAGAAUGAAGAACAGAUAAAUGGAAAAAGAGUGGCUCACCAUGAGCGUUGAGGUGCAACGACGGGAGGCCGUCGAGGUGCGCUGGGCGGACAGCGGGGCGGGGCGAAGGCAGCGAAGGAAACCUGGCAGGAGAGGGCAGCGACGACUGGAGCCGCGGGGGGAACCUGGACGACGCCGGGUGCGACGACUUGGCCGAGGACAGCAAGGUGGGUUCGACGGGGGAGAGGUGGGUUCCGCGAGGUGGCCGAUGCGGGAACAGGGCCUGAAGUGAGUCCGCCCGGGUGCUCGGUCGUUUUCUGGCAGGACAGUUCAGUGGCAAUUUGAAGUAAUUAGAAUACAUUUAUAUUUUCAAACGGUUUUUUUUGAAGGGACUAGCCAGAAUCUAAGAUUCCAUGAUUUAAAAAGGUCAAUCCAGUUCUUUUGGAUCAGGGUUUUGGGGGCCGUAUUCUUUAAAAUCUGCUCAAAAGAACUGGCCCAUACUCCCCCGGGCGUCCCUAGUCGACCACCUGCAUUUCCAAAAAAGAAAAAAAAAGAUGCUCGUACCAGAGCAUACUGCGAUCUCCACGAAACCCGUCCGGAUGUCGUCGUCGUAGCGAGGCGUCGGCAAACGGGACGUGGCGCGCGCGCAUCGCCGCCCCCACCCCACACGGGAUCCACCACCAUCCGUCCGUCCGUCCGUCCAUCCGCCUUUCAGACACAAAACAGAACGAAACCAUCCCGAUCGGUCGACCGAUCCAUCCAUCCACACCCUCCGUCCCUCUCCCACCCCACACCACUCCUCUCCUCGGGCAGCCCAGUCGUCGUCGUCGCGACCGAGGACCAGAGACGCGGGCGGGGAGCUCGAGGCGGAGGGACACCAUCAGCAUCAUCGGCAUCGGCGCCGGGUCAGGGGCCAGCAGCGAUGGGCUUCGUCUCCUUCGUCGGGAGGGUGCUGUUCGCGUCCGUCUUCCUCCUCUCCGCCUACCAAGAGUACGUCCACACCCGCACGUCCCUUCCCCCCGUCUCCCCCCCGCCAGAUCUCGUCUCCGGCCGCCUCCCGGGGACCGACGCGCCGCCCGCGUGCGGCCCCUGGCUCCUGCUUGUCGGUGCGACGNNNNNNNNNNNNNNNNNNNNNNNNNNNNNNNNNNNNNNNNNNNNNNNNNNNNNNNNNNNNNNNNNNNNNNNNNNNNNNNNNNNNNNNNNNNNNNNNNNNNNNNNNNNNNNNGACCCGCCGCGGCGAUUCGUAGAGGCAGAUACGCGCACGGGGAGCGCGUGAGGAGGGGUUUCGGAUCAGGCCAGCGGUCCAUUCCAUGCGGAUAGCGUAGCGGCUCGAAGCGCGCGGCUCCUUUGAGUCUGUGAGUGACGAACCCCAUCCGGUCCAGAUGCUUCCUCAGUCCAGCGUCUCCUCUUCCAGAACGCGCACUUUACCCGCCGCUCCUUCAUACUACGAGCUAGCUAGCUUCACUCCGCUGGCAGCUUUGGUUCGAUACCAAGGGCUACGAUGCAUUUGUAUGUCAAAUUUUCCAUGGUAGUACAACAAGUGUUGCGUUGCUCCUUGUGUUAGCCGAGUUAUUUCACCGAUGGCGCAUAGCUAGGUAGCCAUAGCUUCACCCUGCUGGGCCUUUUUAGGCCUUGUGCCGUUGCUUCUCAUUUAACCUCAUUUUACUGGUACCAGCAGAAUUGUUUCCAUAUCAAGGGCCAUGUCAUUGUUUGGAUUUCAUUUUUUAUCUGGUAGUAGUCGUAGUAGUACAGGAAGUGCUGUGUUGGUUCUUAUGCUAGUCCCGUUAUGCUUCUUAUUAGUUGGCUGCACAGGUCAAGUACCGCUCUCUAAUUUCCGAAUAUCUCCAUGCUUCCAAUGUACACCAUGCAGGUUCAGUGAAUUUGGGACCGAUGGAGGCCCAGCAGCAAAGUCUCUGAAGCCAAAGUUCAACCUCUUUGUGAAGCAGGCGUCUGCCAGCGUUGGGAUGGCUGUGCCACACAUUGAUGUAUGGAUAUUUUCUGGUUGCCUGCCCCGUUAUACAUCAUUGUUUUUGUUUUAAGGAUCCGUUCAACUAGUUCCUAGUUUGAUGUUUUUUUUUCCUGUUUACAGAUCAAGACUGUCAUCGCUUUGACAAUGUUUUUUAAAGCAUUUGGUGGUCUCCUUUUCCUCAUCAGUAGCUCCCUUGGAGCGGUCGUACUGGUGCGUACUCUUCUUCUGCAGGCACUAUAUCAAGAAUCAUCUUAUCGUAAGGGGGUAUCAAGAUGCAUACUGUUGCGUCUGCCAUUAAAUGUAGACUUGCAGCACCCUGUCUUUUCAAAUCAAACUAAUAAAAAGGAAGUACUGUUGGCAUGCCAUUUAGGUAGUUUUAAACGUUCUAGUGUGUCCAUUUCACUGGCUGUACAAUGCCAAAUCUGGCAUUGUUGCUGCUUCGAUGUUUGAUCUUCAUACAUUUUGCUUCUGCAAUAUCCUGUUGUAGCAUCUUGACAGUGGAAUGCUUUAACACUAACCUUCCUGAAAGAUUCCAGAUGUGGUGUCAGGUUAUUCUUAUUGUUUAACCACUUGAUAGGCUCAUGUCUGUUGAAUUUGUACAGCUGAUUUUCUGUAGCCAAAGUUAUGUGUUUAUGUUUAUAUUUAUUGUUUGCAUUGUUAUCUAUAUGUGACAGUGCAACAGUUCUUUGAGACAUUAAUCCAUGAUAACUGGGCAUAUCUGUUCAUAUGCUUAUAUAUAAAGAAACCAAAUAUAUAUUCUGUCUUCUUAUACGGAACCAAAUAUAUUUAAUCCAUGUUAAAAUGAUUGUGCAUUUAUUAUGUUAUAGUUUUGAGACAUUAAUCCAUGAUAACUGGGCAUAUCUGUUCAUAUGCUUAUAUAUAAAGAAACCAAAUAUAUAUUCUGUCUUCUUAUACGGAACAAAAUAUAUUUAAUCCAUGUUAAAAUGAUUGUGCAUUUAUUAUGUUAUAGUUUUGCCGUUGCUCUUUCUCCCCCUGUUACUUUUCUUUACUUCUUUUUUGGAACAUGGAAAUACUGAUGUAGCUCACUUGUGCAGCUUGUUUACUUGGCAUUCAUAACACCUGUCGUGUACGACUUCUACAACUACGAGGUCGAGUCACAGCAAUUCGUUAAGCUCUUCACCAUGUUUUCACAGGUUUGUCACACAGAAUCUCACUUGGCGAGAAGCUUCAGCUUUGAACCAUUCCAUCACUAUCUGUCACCAGAUGUUCUAACUCGGAUUCCCCCCCCUCUCUCUCUGCUCAGAACCUCGCUCUCUUCGGCGCGCUGCUCUUCUUCCUGGGAAUGAAGAACUCCAUCCCAAGGAGGCACUCCAAGAGAAGGGCCGCAAAGGCCAAGACAACCUGAAGCCAGGCAAGGGAUCGUGGUAGGAGGGAGGGGAAACUAUCAGUAUGGAAACUCGUCGUGUUUUACGUAUACUUUUGGAGCAGUACAUGUCCCGCUUUUUGCCCAUAGAAUCUGUGAGCUGGGGGCCUGCAGGAUUCGAUAUGUAGGAGUUUUAAGCCGUCUUGCUCAGUUCUGUUUUUCGGUUUUAUCGCGGUGGGUUCUAUGCCUUGGUUCUGUAGUCCUGUGUUUUGCUACAGAAAACUGCUUGUCUCCAUUCAGUAUCAGAGCAUACAUUCUUGACUGCUGUUUCGAGCCGUGCCCUUCUCGAUCCCUAAAUGCAGAGAUGUUUUUUUUAUUUGCGGGAAAAAAAAUGCACAGAUGUUGUGCGUUCUACUCCCUUCGUUCCUAAACAUAAGACCUUUUAAAGAUUGUACUAUAAACUACAUACGGAUGUAUAUAGACAUAUUUUAGAGUAUAGAUUCACUCAUUUUGCUCCGUAUGUAGUCUCCUAGUGAAAUCCCUAAAAUGCCUUAUAUUUUGGAAUGGAGGGAGUAAUAAUUUCUUAUUAUUAGUCAAGAUAAACUUGAUAAGUAGAUGCAUUCAUCAAGGCAAAUUUAGUGAUUUCUGUACGUGGUUGAUCCAUUCCACAGGAUUUUGGUUCGUGUUUGGAGUUUGGACCCAAAAUUUCAUGUGAAUGUUGAGGUAGAGAUAAGUGGUUAAACAAAUGGUAAGAUAAAUACUACUCCCUCCGUUUUUAAAUUUAAGUCUUUCAGAGGUUUCGGGGACUACAUGCAGAUGUAUAUAGACAUGCUUUAGAGUGUAGAUUCAUUUAUUUUGCUCCGUAUCUAGUUCUCUAGUAAAAUCUUUAAAAUGACUUAUAUUUAGAAACGGAGUGAGUAGUCGAUUACAUAAGCUGGGUUAUCAUAAUCUACCACAAUACCAACUCAGGCAAGGCCUGUGCAUGGCGUUAUUCCUCAUACAUAUAUACGGAGUAGUUCUAUGCAUAUGGCAUAACAAACUACUUAAAACUGUUUCCGGCCCAGAAGUAAACAGAGCAUCCAAAACGAAAGAGCAGCACACCAAGCACCCAACACAAUUGCUGCGGCGACUCGACUCGACUCCAAGAUGGCGACGUUCUACUUACAAACUACUCGAAUUUUACAAGGCCGGCACCGGCACAUGUUGUAUCCUGUGCUAUGAUGAUCCAAGCAAAUUCAAAUAGCCGAGAAAAUCGGGCCGAAUUUGGAUUCAAACCGAGCGUCCAACCCAACGCAAUUACAGGAGGAUAGCAAAGGGAAAACCACUUCCGAUAACCAGAUCCGUUGGAUGCCGAUCGGACGGCCGAGUCACCUCCUCCCUCCCCCCUAACCCGCGGCUGGGGAGCACAGCCAAGCCCCCGCUCCGCCGCGAAGAGCCGCCGCCUUCCACUCCGGCGCCCCCCUCCGGCGCGACCUCCAGCCUCCGACGACGACCAGAUGGUGAGCUCCCCUAGCCCCCCCCCNUCCCUCCUUCCCCCUCCGGGCCGCCCGAAUCCGGCGGGCUCGGUUCGCCCCGGGGAGUAAACCCCUGCCGAGAAACCCUAGCGAGUUGCUGCUCACGUUUGUGGUUCUGUGACUUCCGCAGGACUACCUCAAGACGGUGGUGCCGUCGCAGCUCUUGGCCGAGCGCGGCUCCAGCCUCGUCGUCAUCAACCCAGGUGCGCCCCGCCGGAGCGAAUCCCCCAAUCCCCCGCCUGUCCUCUAGAUACGCGCUUUCCUUCCCCUGUUUGUUCCGACGAUUCACGCCUGCUGGAGUCCAAACUGGGUGUAAAAAACAACGUGUUUAGUGUAGUUCGAGCUGAUUUCGCGAGGCUCAAGCCCCCGGCGAAGAUGCAUAGUGUGAAUCAGAAGGUCGAUCUUGUGCGAUGCUACCCGUUGAAAUUCUAGAAGUGAGAUGAAUAUGUGUGAAGCAGGAAUGUCGUCUUCUUAUAUGCCGGUAAUUUUUGCCUUGAGACAUGGUGGUUGUCACCUGACCGAGGACCCUUCCUUUUCGCAGGCUCCAUGAACGUGCGCAUGGGGUUCGCUAGUCAGGACGUGCCGUUCAAUAUACCGCACUGCAUUGCCCGGCACAAGAACGACGCGCCGAAGCUGUCGGUGCGAGACCAGGUGAUGCGAAUGCAGGGGUGGUCCCCCCCCCCCUCCCUCCCCCUCUGCUGGUCCUGUACCUGCAUUGGAACAUCGUUGGCGUAAUCUUCAGUGUAUGACUGUCGUUUUGGUUUGCAGAGGCUCAACUGCCGUGCUGGGUCGACGCACAAUGCAGAGCGGGAGCGGGCGUAUGGUAUUGUAAGAAUCUACUUCUCGCAAUUACUUUGGAUCAUGUGCGCGGCUCGAACUAAUCAGGACUGAGUCUUGCAGAUUGCUUCAAUGCUCAAAAUCCCAUUUUUGGGUGAAGUAUCGCCUUCAGAGAACCAACCAUUACCUCCUAAGGUACUGUGCACAGUCUAUGUGAUGAAUACUUUGCAUACCUGUUUUUGCGACAGUAGGAUAUAUUGCAUUUUGCCAUCCGGGUUAAUCUUUUUAUAUAUUAAUUGGGAAAAGUAUCACCCCAGAUGUAGGCUUUGUCUACUUGAAUUUGAAUAGCGAUGUCCAACUAGUUUAGAGUGUGGGCAAUUUAUUUAUCUUUUCUUACACAUCGAUUACUUAUCAAUAGUUAUUCUUAUGCUUCUCGGGGAGGUGUUUGCUCCAUCUUAUCUGGUUGCACACUGCUAUACUUGGGCAGUUAAAAGGAGAACUAGCUACUUAGAGCAAUUUACCAACAAAACAGUGGCCAUGUGCCACAUCUCACUAAAUUAGUUCUAUUUUUAGAAUGUGAAAAAUGUUUUGUCAGACCGUAAUUAGUUGAUCUGCAGUAUGCUGCACCAUGAUAAUAUUAUGAUAACGAUCCAGUUCACUACGGGACAUACAGCAAGUGGGAGGAAGGGAACUUUGGGACUUGUUUGCCCUAUAGUUUAAGCUUAUUUGAUAAGCUUGUGGCAUUGAGGCUUAUAAGCCGAGUUUACCUAGGAUUUAGGGCUUAAACUAUCAUGAAGUUUGUUGUCAUUAUAGUUUAUAAGUUCAACAUACUACAGUAUGUGGUAAACCUAGCUCAUCCAGCCUCUUCCAAAUUUAUAGAAUUAUGUUUGAAUUACCUAUUGCCUAAGUUUGGAAAUUGUUGCUAUUUCUUGCAAUCUUACAAAUCCUUAUUGAAACAAGUACGCCUGUUUGAUGUGUGCAAUAUAGACAAUGUUCAGGAUAUCGGUAACUGGUACCAUAUCGUCCAGGUGCUGCGUAAGGAUAAAUAGGCGAAUUUUCCAGUUAAUCAGCGAUAAAUCAGUUAAUCAGCUAUUCGGUGACCCACCGAGUAGCGAUAAACUGACCGAGAUGCUGAUUAACUGGCUGAUAUUUGGGAUAAUGAUGUAUUAUAUGAUUUUGCAUCAAUUUCCUUUUGUUUAGAAAGGUCAAAUCAUGGCCUCUGUUUGCUGAUGGGGUUAUAUUGACCACUUCAGAUGGGACGUCUUGAUGGUCUUUCUUCACAGCAAAACAAAGAUGAUAGUAUACUCACAUGGACAGAUGUGAUGGACAAAAGCAUCAAAACAUCCAUGUCAAUUGGUACUUUCUGAUCUUUUACUGAAGUGUACCUUCUUAUUUCCCCCCUUGUCCACUUUGGAGUCUUCUAUUGUUAAUAAAAAGGUUACAGGGUACUUAUGUUUUGGAUACAUUUUUUUUUUGUAGAAGGAAACUGUGUUUGUUUUUUGGUGUGACUUAUAUGUAGCACCUGCCCUCAGUGAGUUGUGGCCUGUGUCACUCAUAUGCAUUGUUGUGAUUGAUUUUGUACCACAUCAGAUUUCUCAUGCGUUUGGACUGCAUAUAUACAAAAAAGGAACGAUCUAGUAAAUCCACAUUAACCUAUUUCUGCGAAUCAUGGAUAAAAGCCUAAGUGAGUUGUUAUGUUUGUCUGUGCUUAUGUGGUGUUGGCGCUUUAGUCUAGACCUUGGAUGUUACAUUAUGACACAAUGAUUUUUUUUGUUUUGUGUGCUGGAGCUAGCUAGCUCUGAAGUUUCGAGGACUGAAAUUCUUAUGUUAGGUUAGCUGUUGCUUUGGUACGAGAUCCACAUAUUUUUUGUCCCGUCUCUUCUUACAUAUGGCAUGUAUCCAUCAGAACGAGAUCUCAUCAAUCACCAUGUUUUGUCUAGCUGCUUUAGAUUGUUCGAUGGGGCAUCAUACUAUUUUAAUUUUUUAAUGGAGUAGUUAUAUCAUGGAUUAUUUUCUCACUGCUUGCUCCUAUAAUCAGAGUUACUUAGUUAUGCUCUGUUCUUUCGGUUAUUAAGUAUUAACAGUAGAUUCAAAGAGCAGUUCUGUACCGCAUUAAAGUGUCAUAUAUUUCGGAGCAUUUUAUAGUAUCAAAAUAUUGACAACCCCUCAAAUUGGCCAGAAAGGUCAGUAAACAGUGACGCCGAUGAAGAUCCUUCACAAAGCACACCCGAUGAUGGUAACAAGCCCAACUCUGAAGAAAACAAGUAUAAGGAAAUGAUAUUUGGAGAGGAUGCUUUGAAGAUCCCUCCUUCUGCACCAUACUGUUUGGGUCGCCCGAUCAGGAGAGGCCAUUUUAAUAUUUCUCAGAAUUAUUCGUUACAUCAGGUAUGCCUCUAGAUUCCAUAUGAUCCUUAUCUUAAAAGAAUCAGCUAGUUAUAGUAAUAAGUGCCGUAACUAAAACCACUACACUUAUUAUGGAUCGGAGGGACUAUUAAACAACUUUGCCCUUUAAAUGGGAAGUUCAGUUUGAGUUCAUUGUCUGAGACUUUCCAUUGUUACACUGUCAGUUCUAUAAAUAUCUAGUAGGGGUGUAUUGUUUUGGCUCCACUGUAAUCAGUAUGGGGAAUGGUAUUUCUUGUAGCAUUGUUUUAUCAAGGGAAAAAUGUUUUGAAUCAGAUUUGUGACAGGAUUUUGGUCAAUCCGGUUGCAAAUAUGUACUGAAAUUUAUGGAAAACAGUAGUUGAGAGGUCUACUGAAAUGUACUGAAGAAGGCAAAUUCUGCCUAUUUCUUUGCGUGCAAAUUUUCCAUCACCCAAUCCUAAACAGAUCUUCAUGAAAAAGCUUCCGCUGCACCCUGCAUUGUCUAAAGGCACCAUAUUUACACGAAAGGGUUUACCUAAUUUUGCACCUACUUCACUGGUAAAACAUAAAAUUGAGCAGUUUAUUCUGCCGGUAAGGCAGUUAUUAAGUUUUAAAUAUAAAGUCUUGUGGUAUAAUAUUUUAGAGUAUCUAUAUUAGCUAAUGGAAUUGAACCAUGAAGUCCUUAUACUAACAACUGUGGAGCUUGGGUUCAAAGUUAAGAACUAAAAUUGUUCCAUAUUACUUGUUAUUCUUUGCCUUUAUAGUUUAUUUAUUUUACUGCAUUUGUUUGCUGCCACUGACGAACCAUAAAGAAAGACUAGGAAUUAGGUCAUGAGUUGUAAUCCUGGCCUACAUAUUAGAAAAUUUACAUUGAAAACACAGCUGGAUUGUUUUUUCUUGGUUGAAAUUGAUGGUAUCUGGCGCAGAAAGUGUUGGAGAAGAGAUGAUGCACAUGAUAACCCUGUGUUUCUAACUGGUUACCAAACCUAUGUGCGUCCAUAUUAUUUUUCCUUAUAUAUAGCAUCAUAAUGGUAGAUGAUUAGGAAAAACAAACAUUGGCCGUUGCAGGUUUUAGAAGAUUUACGAACUAUUUGGAAUUGGAUGCUGAUAGAGAAGUUGCACAUCAACCCAAAGGACAGACAUCUGUAUUCUGCAAUUCUUGUUCUUGGGGAAACAUUUGACAACCGAGGUAUUUCUCUUUUCAUGUAAUACUGCCUGUGAUGUGUAGACGUAUGUCAUGUAGUGCUGCUCAUAUGCGCCGCCGCAAGGCUGAGUAUCCUUUAGGGCUGGUGACAUGAUCCUCAGGUGGAGCAGGAUAUCCUUAGUAAUAAUUAGGUAGUUAGUUCUUAAGUUUGUUCACUUGCCUUAUCCUUGAAAUUUGCUCAAGCUUUCCUCAUCUCCGAAACCUAUAUAUAAGGGAGGCUGCCAUUGUAAUCUCAAGAAACCAUCAUAUUGAAGGACAUUAAUCCAAUCCCAUGGCUGGCCGAUUGUCAUCUUGGCAUGGUAAUUUACACUGAUGUGGAAAAAAGAUCACCUCGUUUUGCUUUACCUUCAAUUUGGAUGUCAACGCUGUAGUUAUCCCACAUAUACAACAGCAAUGAAUACCUUUCACUAUUAUUUUCCCUAAAUUACACGGUACUAAACAGCAGUUGCAGGAAGAAAAAUGCAGAAAUACAUCGUGUAUGUGAAGAUCACAGUUUCCAGCAUUUGACUAGGUGUCAAUGCCAUGUUUUCUGCCAAUACUGAUAUUUAUGUGUAAUUCCUUUUUUCUGAACUCCUAACAACUCAAAUCUGUUCAUUCAACACGAAUUUCAAAUGCUGGGCAGAACACACUUUCCUAGCAACGAGCGAAAUCCACACCGUUAGUUCUUCAAUAGAUUCUUUCAUGAAAUCCAUGACCCAUUACUCCGUUAGUUUAAUAGCCUUGAAUUGAUGAUUCAUAUAGGAAAUCUUGAGUACAUACUGUUUGCUUUAUCUUUUUUCAACACCUUCUACAGUUCUAGUGCAAAGUGUAUGUUCCACUGCAUAAGGAAGUUUUCUUAUUUUUUGAAGUUGUGAUUUUUUUAAUAUAUCCAUCCAUCAGAAAUGAAAGAGAUGCUGUCCAUUGUACUUUGCGAUUUGGGAUUUAGCACUGCAGUGGUACAUCAGGUUCGUCCCCAAUCGUCCAUUUAGCAUUUACUUCCUAUUAAGUUUUGAAUGCACGAUUUGUUUCUCCAUUUGCAAUUGCUAAGCAAAGUAAUUGGACCGUUCAUCCCAAAAUGGAACAUCUUUCCAGCAUACUGGGAUAGUUUCCUCAAUUCUGAGACUGUUGUACUAUGCUAAAUUGCUAACCACUAAGAAGUUGUAUUUACCGAGUGGAGUGCGAUCUGGCAUUAGUACAUGAUGCGGUCGCCUUUAAGGAAUUGCUCUGAUGAAGUAAUUUUACUCGUGCGUCGAUGUCUAUAUUCUUUUUCUUUUUACAUAACUACAUAAUGCUGGCAAGGGGGAGCCCUUCAUCGACAUGGGCCAAUCCAUCACUGUAGAGUGCCAGAACUGUGUGGCCGUGUAGGGUCGCCACUGUAGUGAUGCCAUGUCGAUGCAGUCGUGCCGUCGUGGAUGACGCGGUCGAUGUCGUCGUCGUGGCGCGGUCAUUGCCGCCGUCGGGGUCGCGCCUUGCAGAAAAAUCUGUUAGAGGACGCUAGGUGUCCAUCUUGUGGACGAGGGGUGGCGGCGUGUUGACGAAGAUGUUGAUGAAGACCUUGGCAAUGAAGCGUCGGCGAUGGCGUCGUAGCAGCGUGUCGACGAUAAUGUGCCGCUUGAAGGCGUCCCUUGCGGCGACCAAGUGUCGAUGCGGUGUCGCGUCGGAGAAGUCGAUGAAGAAUUGCAUCACUUUUCACACCGGCCUGACGUGUGGAUGAUGCGUGUUGAUGUGGCUUCUCAAAGAUAUGCUCGACAAAGAUUUUUUUUUCCAAACCAUGUAGUCGUACAGCUCAAUGUCGUGGUGCAGGGUCGGUGUAGAUCGCUCGUCUUGAUGCAGAUGCUACGGAGGACCGUUUGGCCGCGGGUACCGCUCCUGCGUCACCCAUCAAUGCGCGUCAGGAGAAGGCACUUGUGGGAGUCCAAGUCUUGCUGCAUGCAUCUCCUCGUAGGAGAUUGAUUCAUAUGGCCAUGUGCAUGAUGCCUAGAUGGAUACGUUAUCAUGCAUGGGCGUACCUACGCAUGGCUGGAUGAAGGCUCUGCUGGUCGCUUCACAGGAUGUUGUGGCGUUGAUGCAGAUCCGAUGGCAUCCCUGUUGGAGAAGCCGACGGCUACCCUUCUGGAACGCGCUCGCUCGAUGCCUGCUGGUGCGCGACGUACGAUGCCAGCUGAUUGGCGUUGUAGCAUCUCGUCCCCUGGUGAGGCCGUUUGGUUCGACGAUGAACGUCAUGUCCAUUGGCUGGAACGUUGUAGCAUCUCGUCUCUGACGAGGCCGUUGCUUCGAUGAUGAACGUCAUGUCCAGCAGUUUGAAAUCUAUCUGUAAGUGGAUGCAAUCUGGUUGCAUGGGGCUCGCCGCGUACCGGCCGUGGAGUUCCCGGAGACCAUACCUACACCGGCUCGCGUUGAACAGAUUGCUUGGAGGAGCGGCUGCUGCUUGAUGAGCGCGCGUGCCUGGAGGUCGUGUGGGUCGAUGGAGCCGGGUCGUGUAGGCGUGCAGAUGGAGUCUGUGUCGGCCGGGAGAUCCGCGUGCGCGAGUCCGCCCUCCCGUGAUCGGGACACAUGGUCUUCGCUGCUGUUGCCUUGUCCCCGAUGCAAUUUGCAUCGCCUUCACCACAUAAGCCGGGUUGACUGCACGCCGUCAAGGUGGAUUUGCACCGAUUCUCACCGGAUUGAUAGAAGGUCGUGGAGAUCUAGGAAUUUAUAUGUGUGGCUAAAGAAAAGAAAAUUGAUCUAAUGGAAGUUUCGAAAUUUUGGUCUAAUCUAAGGAAGUAUGUAAGCUAGAGGAACCGAUCUAAUCUUUGAUUGAUCCGGUGCCGCGCCCCCGGGGAGAGAAGAUUAAUCUCCCCGGGGGCGGCACGCUGUGGAAGUGGUAGAGGAACCUAGGAUCGGCGUCGUGAGACUAACCGCUCUGAUACCAUGUGGAAAAAUAUAGGAUGGCUGAAUAUUGUUUUGUUGUGUGUUGUAUUGAUCUAACCCUUGUAAGGGUAUAUAUAGGAGUACAUGAGGGGUAGAGGCUUGGAGUACAAGACAAGUUACAUGUGGUUUAAACUAAUUCUAUCUCUAUCUCUUUAUCUCUAACUUAAACCCAAUUAUACUUCUAACAAAGAGUAAAGAGAAACGGCCAUGCUACAACUUGACACUGCUUGCCCGGUGUCAACUAUUCUGGAUUAACACCAUUCAUGAAACCAUUUUGGCAUUCCAUAUUUUGUUAGCAGCUUGGUACCUUAAAUCAGGUACUCAUGAAACCAUUCAUGCUAUUGGGUUAAUACUAAUAUUUUGCACCUAAAGGCUGGAUUUUAACUUUCAUGUUUUAAAUUUGGUGUGCUGUACACUUGGAGUUGGCCCAUUUCUGGAGUUGUUCUCAUGCUGGUUGCCUGUUUCUAAUUUUAGCUUAUCUCUACUAAUAUACUACUAUAGUACCAUUUGACAGUUAAGUUUAAUGUAAUAUUACUAAUGAGAAACUAGAACUUGAUACCUUCAUUUUGGUUGAUAUAGUCCACUUUUCAGACUCUUAGACUUUUUUUUAAUCUAGAAUACCUUUCCAGACUAUUGACUUGUAGAGACAUAACCAAGCUCUUGUAUUUGAUGAUUCACAAAUUGAAACAUGAAGAAAAUUGAGCUUCCUUAUUUACUCUGCUUAUGUUAAUAUUUAAUUAGGAAGCUCUAGCAGCGGCAUUUGGGAAUGGGUUGUCGACAGCUUGUGUGGUCAACAUUGGUGCUCAAGUUACACAAGUAGUUUGUGUUGAGGUAAUAACCAUAGUACUUCUAUAUUUCUUUCAAACCACUAAGAAAUUUAGAUAUUAUCAUAUUAAUGUAUGAUCUACCCUAAAUGUUUCCAGGAUGGAGUAGCUUUACCCCACACAGCUUUGGCGCUCCCAUAUGGUGGAGAUGUAUGUUCUCAACUGUUCUCUUUAACGUAGACAAAUAUAUUUCUGUUACUUGAGCAAUCUGUUGUUCAUGGUCAUUACAUCUGUAUAAUUUCGUUUCAUGGUAGAAAUCUGCUAUUCUAUUUUUUCAAGUUAUUAUCUACUAUCAUGCACCCAGUCCAUUUUUCUCUGUCAGAACAACAAAUCUUUGUUAGGUUUCGUCUCAUGUGACUGUUGUGUACAAACUUUAUGUCAUGCCACUUUUUUCCCGAUCGGAAGAUAUGCAUAUUUUAGUUCUUUCAUCAUGUUCUUAGUAUAAUAGUAUCAUCUUACAAAUACGAGCAACAAUCUAUUCCUUUCGAGUAGUUUCUCAGUUGAGAUUUGGCUGUACUUUGGUUUUGAAAAAUUAUGCCACUGACAUUGCAAAGGUACGGAGAGUAUCAUGACAACCAGAACUCGUUGGCAGUGCACUUGGCACAACAAGUCGUUUAUGGGGGGCCUGAAUCCUUAAGUGGCAAUGAGAGGGAGGGAAGGCCCCGAGAGUAUAUGAGCGUGGGUGGGUGUCAGGGGUAGAUUUGGCUUUAAUAUGAGAAGUGGCUGAACCAUUACAUUGACAAUAUUUCCGAUGUUUUUUGGGACUUUCUGAUGACACUGAUUUUCUAAGGGCAACCUCAAUGGAAUAUUUCUGUUAAUAUCAGUCAUUGUGAUGUCACCUUAGUUAUAACAUGAUUGCUGGGUGGUAUUGUCGUCAGUUGUCAAGUGCUCUUUUUACGGAGGAUCUCCCUCGAGGCUACAGGAUAGAUAGUCUGAUGAUCAUAUUCCCACUUUACUUUGUAUAAUUGCAUGACUUGCUUUUAUGGUUUUUGAACGUCAAUUGCUUGUGAUCUAUAUUAUUAUUUGAGAGUGGAUUUUUAGCUCCCGGGUGCCUAGGCACCCUCUAUGAACAGUAAAAUCGAAAAAAUAGAAAUCAAAAUCAAAAAAUUCUGAAACUUUGCAGCAUCAAUGAUGAUGAAACUUUGUAGGUGUUUGCAAAUUUUCAUGCCAAAAAACUAUUCGUGGAGCUCUACACACGAAAAAGAUUUCAGUGCUUGAAGUUUUGAGCACUUUUAGCAUCAAAAUCUGAAACUUGUUUGUACAUAUUUCUCUACAAGAUAUUUUGGCAUGAUAAUUUGCAAAAAUGUACAAAGUUUGAUCAUCUUUGAUGCUGCAAAGUUUCAGAUUUUUUUAUUUAUUUUGUUUUCUAUUUCUUUUGAUUUUACUGUUCAUAGAAGGUGCCUAGGCACCUGGGUGCUGUCACACCUUUCUCUUAUUAUUUUUAUUAUGUUUCCUUUUGUUACAUCCUUUGCUAUUUUCAUUUUCUUUUGUAGGACAUAUCCAGAUGCCUACUUUGGGUUCAACAACGUCAUCGCACAUGGCCAAAUUUUAAAACCGAUCCCAUGAAGAAGCCUAUAGAUAUGCUAAUGCUGAACAAGAUAAAAGAGGGAUAUAGCCAAAUAAGGGUAAGUGGCUUACUCUAAGCUUUACUAAAUCUUGAUAGCUCGUAUCUGUAAAGGAUUUGAUUGUUGGACAGUCUGCUUAUGUUUUAUUUUGAAAGUUUCCCUGUGGAAAGAAAGAUUUGUGUCGUCCGCGCAAAGAUCAUUAUAGCACUGUUGUACAUUGAUUAAUUUCACCUGAAACUGUAUACAAAGAGGAUAAAUUGCAAUAACAUAUGCAUCUCCUUUCGUGCGAAUCAUUUAUACACAUUUUCUCCAGUGCAUGGGACUAGAGCACUUCUAGAAUCAAUACGUUCAUAAGCGGAAACCUUUUCUCUAAAUCUCUUUGUGUAUGAGCGCUGCCCUAUCUUGUCAAAGCAUAGUAAAUUAGUAGCCGACCUUGUGGCAUUCAUACAUGGGGCAUAGGAAGAUGAAUAAUCUAAGAUGACUUGAUAGCAUUGGAUUAUAAUUUGCCGAUGAUAUUGGGCAUAUCCCCUGUUUCUUAUUUAUGUGUAGGUCGCUGAAUCCUCUAGGAAGACCAAGAGAUCUGGUUGGAGCUAUCCUAUUUGCCUAAGUGCUGCUCAUGUGCAUUUGUUUUUAGUGUUGCUACCUUUCCAUUUUCAGAUCCUUCCUUGUUGUCCUCUUAGUCAUGAAGAAAUACAUUUACAUAAGUUUCAUAUAUUUACAUAUUAUAUAUACCAACACAGUUUGUGUGUGUUGAACAAAAUGCAAAUGGACAAAAGACAAAACUAGUAUAUGUAGAAACCAGAAAGAACUGGAGUCUUUUAGUGGAUGCUUGAACCCAUAACAUCCUACCUACUCUGAACUUUAUUUUUCUUAAUUCUUAAGCUGAAAUGAUUAUUUUUUGUUGAAGUAGAAUGCUUCCCUUGAACUUAUUCUAGUAUUUUUCUUUUCCGCAGAGCGGGAGCUAUGAUGCUGUUUCUGUUGUUCAUUCAUAUGAGCAUGAAAAGUCUGUUGGGCAUCAGAAGACAAGGCUGUCAGCUCUCAGUGUAAUUUUUUUAAACCACUUAUUCUCUUCUUCUUUUGUCUAUUUUUUGGGCUGAGGGUGUGUUUUGAAAAAGUGCAUGACUUUUUUUGUACUUCCUCCAUCUCGGUUUAUAAGGCAUGCGCGUCGUUCUAGGUUGACAAUUUAACUAGCUAAAUAUGUACUCCCUCCGUCCCAAAAUAAGUGACUCAAAUUUGCACUAAUUUUAGUACAACGUUGAGUCAUUUUUGAGUCACUUAUUUUGGGACGGAGAGAGUAUUAUAUUUGAUGAAAAAUAUAUGUUUAGAAACUACAUCUUCUUAAGAAUCCAAUGAUAUACUUUUGGUGAAAUAUAAGAUAUAACUCAUAUUUAGCUAGUCAAAUUGAUGACCUAGAACUGAGCGCAUGCCCUGUAAACCGAGACGGAGGGCGUAUCUAUUUCUUCUAGCAAAAAAGUAAGACAUGCAGGCACUCUCCCUCCCUCCCUCGCCCCUUCACUCUCUAUUAGUAAAAUCUGUAGUGGUGAUUGAGUUGUAGUUGGAGAGUAAUUAUAUGCUGUAGGUGAUAUAUCUACAAAUUCAAAUUUGUUUGUGAUAAAAUAGGUUCCUCCUAUGGGGCUUCUUUAUCCUCGGCUUCUCAUUCCAGAAGAGUUCCCUCCACCUCCCCGACCUUGGUGAGACUUUGUUCUCUGCUUUAGUGAUUGUGCCCUUUGAUAUGGUGAUUGCUCCAGACAAGAUAUGUUUAUGUUUACAGGUUCCAAGAUUGUGAUGACAUGCUGGAGGAUACUUGGCAAACAAACGACGGUCUUUCUGGAAAUGGUGGUCUUGGUGCAUGGGACAGUUAUCAAAUGCUUCCCACCAGAGUAAAGAAGUUUGAUAAUAUCGGUCUCGUAGAAGCCAUUGUCAGCAGUGUUCUUUCAACAGGUAGUCUCUUUGCACAUUAUCUAGCUUCCCUGAGAGAAUCUUUUCUAACAACUUCCUACAACAGGACGUGUUGACCUCCAAAGGAAGCUAUUCUGUAGUAUUCAGCUGGUAAAGUAUCAGUGUCGUUUUUCAUAUCAAUAUUGCUCUAUGAUGCAAGAAGCAAUAAUUGAGAGGAAUGCUCUUUGCAGGUUGGUGGCACAGCUUCAACAGCAGGUCUUGCACCAGUUCUCGAACAAAGGUUAAUUGUUACGUUCUUCUGGCAUUAUUUAACGGAAGACUACUGGAAUAACUGCGCUAAGGAAUAGAAGUGUGCCACCCUAUGUAGCUACAAGUGUGCCAAGCAAUUGUUCUGAUCCUUUUUGCAUUUACUAGUUAUUAUUAACAAGUGUUUGUUGAAAGAUUUUUUGUAAAGAUGAAUAGCACAGAGCUGCUGCAAGCCUGCAAUAAAAAAAGUGCCAAUGUGGCUCCUGUGUUUUUGGAGAAAAUACUAAUGACACUUGGAUUUUGUUUCAACAUAAUGUCUUGGAAACGAACAAUAAAUUUAUUGAUCUAUUUUUCUUUUCUUUUUGAUCAGGGUUCUUAAUACUAUUCCAUCGAAUCAACCCGUCGAGAAAGUUGAGGUAUGUCUUCUUGCAAGGAUAUGCAUCCAUAUCUUUUUAUAAAUUAGAAUGCACACUCCAUUUCUUGAAAUUAACAUACCUGGAUUGAUUGUGUGAGGUUUAUAUCUCAGUUUUACAUUAUACCGUAAUUUAGACUCGUGAUUUAUUUGUCUUGGCUUAACAUCUCAUUUUAAAUUCAUAGGUACUACAAUCAAGGAGGAAUCCAUUGUUUAUCCCAUGGAAAGGUGGUGUGGUAAGUGCUAUUUAUUUUGAAUUUGGCUAUCAUUUGUUGAAGCUGGUGUGUCUUGCUCAUUCCUUUAUGUCUGUCCUUUCUUGUGCUCUUAUAUUUCGGGUCCCUAAAUCCUACUUUACGCUUGGACAGAUUUUGGGCGUCCUUGAUACUAGCCGUGAUGCUUGGAUCCAUAGAGAAGAUUGGAUUAAAAAUGGCGUUCACGUUGGGAGUGGCAGAAAAUAUAAGGAUUCCUAUUUUCUUCAGUCGCAACUGAUGUGUUACUACAAUUCAUAAUAGGUAAUCUUUCUUAUUGCCUGCUCAGUUUCUCCAGAUUGUAUCGUUGCAUCUUCAUAUAGUGUUAGUGUGUUAAUAUGGAUGUCAGGAUAUGUAUAUUGGAUGGUCUGCCCUUUUUUUCUGUAAGAUGCACACUUAAUAAAAAGUUAUUGUAUAAUUGAAGGUCCGGUCCUAAGAGUCUGAAUAUCAAAUGAGCAUUGAGACACGGGAUGUGAACAUAUCUGCUUUUUUUCUUCUUAAAUUUUUUGAAGCUUUUAGUUGAAAUGGUUAUCGUGCAAGCUAUCUAUCUACUGCCAAAUUAUAAGACACAUAAUUUGCAUUUUAUUCUGUAGGUGGUCUGCGUAGGUGUCGACUAUCUUGAGCUGCAAUUGUCGGUGUAAUCUCGGAUAGUUGAGCAAGGCGGAACUUCAUCUAUGUCGAGGUUUGUCAAGGGACAUGGAGAAGAGAUUUAGAUGAUGAAGGCCCGUCUUCUGCCUACCCUUUCAUUCAGAACUAGAAAUGGCUAGUAAAAUACAUGGAGAUGAGAUUCAUAGAUUUAGUGGUGCCAUGUAAACACAUUCUCUAGUUUCAGGGUGAUUUACUACCUGUAACUUGUAAAUGGGGGAUCAUUAGUAAAACACAAAGCCUCUUGAUGCUGUUCCGGAUUAUCUAACAGUAUUAAUGACUGUUCAGCCAGAUUAAUUAUUUGUUCUGAGAAGGCAAAUAUGUGCACCGGAUUAAUUAAACAUCUCCUGUUUGCAUUUGUACACUUAAUCAUGUGGUUGCAAUUUUAACCUUACUGCCAGAGGCAGCCUGACCACAUGAUCUAGGCUGCCAGUCUCUGACGCCCUGCUCACAAUCAGCGCGAAGUGUAGCAUGGGCUCGUUGGCACUGAUCAUGCUCCAGGCCGCCCAUAUCUGGUCGCCGGGCGUGAGCACGUUCGUCGGCGUGGACUCUGGCAUCGACCUCGUCCGGGUACAUUGCCUUGUACACGGCUAAUCUGAGUAUAUAGAAGCGAGAACAAAAUGUAGCUAUUCCAAAUUGUGUUAAAUUGCAACAUUGUAGCGGUGAACAAAACUCAAGUUGCAGUUGGCAUUGAGGUAGAUUACAAUUUCCAUUUUGAGUAUAUGUAUGUCUUUACCUUGCACUUGGUGCCAUUCCGCUUGCGAAGCCAUACAUUGCGCCACCGGUACCCCACGGCAAUCGAAGCCACAUGGCUACAAUAAUAAUUCAGACCACUUAUGUCAUUGUAUCAGUCUUGAGAAAUCAAGAAUGCGCGUGUUAAUCAAGAUGAAGGAUCUAUUUCCCGCAAAAAAAAAGAUGAAGGAUCAAAGCAUAACAUCAAAGUCGUUUUUCUUGCACACAUUUUUCCCAUACCACCAACAUUUAGCAGAGUUCGACUGUCAUAAGGAUAUCCAAACAUAAGAUCCGGUUCAAACAUAAAAGGCAAGUCUCUAAACGUCAGUGCCGCCUAAUGCUAAUGGAGAAUGCACUCUGGUGGGCAUGGCUAUCUGGCAGCGCCUGAAGAUCAAUUCUGACGGUACAAUGACAUAAGUACAAGGUAAAUUACGUGAUGCCGCCUCAAGAUAGCCCUGUCCGCUGUCGAUCAAUUCCGAUCAUCACGUCAAGUUUCAUUUGAACACUUUCAGAAUAUAGUACCCGCUUUCAGAAAAUUCUUGCCAUAGCUUUCAGAAUUUGAAACUUAGACAAUUAUCAAAACUUUUGGAGUUAUAUAUAUUUUUAACAAUAUAAGUUAUGGAAUUUUGACUUCACUAUAUUUUGAACUUGCAGAAUUUUGAGAAUUCAGAAAAGAGAUGCCCUCCCCGCUGCCGCCGCCAUCGUGUUUAUGCCGCCACACGCGGUCGGGGAGGCCGAGGAGCACUAGUAGAAAAUGAGGCUUUCGGCCGCAGCCCCAAAUCACAUUAGCCCUGGGUCGAAAUAAAACCGAGAUCAAUGCCAGGCAUUGGUCCCGGUUCGAGCUGCCAGAGCCUCGCGGGGCAAAAGUCCUGGUUUGGUUCGAGGCAUUAGUCCCGGUUCGUGCCAAAAAUCAGGACUAAAGAUCCAGCAACUGAUACGUGGCGUGUCGCGGAGCAUUACUCCCGUUAGGGGGAUGGAACCGGGACUAAAGAGAUGCCCACUUUCUCCUCUCUGGCUGUGUGAGGUGUGCAUGCCAUGCUCUUGCAACCCUUCUAUGCCAUGCACAUGAGGUGUUCGAUGAAAUGUCCGAGACACACUUAAGCUUUCUCCUCUCCAAGCUCGACAUCUUCAAGCUCCAUUUUCCUCAAGAUUUGUCUAGGUUUGACGGUGCACCAACUACACAAGUGUUCUAAAGGUUAGCUACUUCAUCCUUUCAUCUCUCACUGCUAGUUUAGCUCAUUUCAAAUGCUCUAGAAGUAGACUGGUUUGUGGAUUUUAGUGUAGGUGUGUAUGUGGGAGUUCUUUUGAUUUAGAUGCAAAAUUUGAGCCCAAAUUAACUUUUUAGAGUCUGCACAUGUGUAGGGUGCCGUCCCGUGCCUGUCCUCACCGUUGUCGAUCGCCCGCGCCGAUCUCGUUGCCAGCACCACCAUGGUGAGCCUCUUGUUCUUAUCUUCUUUUUAAAAGAUUUUUUUUCUUAUUUGUAUGAUUUAGACAAAUACUUGUAUAAAUUACUUAUUAUUAUUAUUUUUUGUUAUUAUAUAGUGCGAUGGUUUUGGUAUUCGCCUCCAUCGGUCCUCGUCCUGUCUAUGAUUCGGAUGUGGUAUAUAUUAUCUUUUAUAACUAUUUGUUUUAUUUAGUGUUUAUGACAAUUAUGACGACCAACGUGACAUAUAUUUUUUAAUCUAGGAGGUAUGUGAACCGGAAAUUCCAACCGACAUAGAAAUUCUUGUCGAGAAGUUAAAUUUGGUUGAAAAAGAAAAUAAUUACUUGAAGAAAAAAUUGAAAAUAAUUGAGGAGAAGAAUAUGGAAGUGAAGUUGCAUGUUGCCGAUGUCGUCGAUGAUCACAAGAUGAAGAUGGAUGCAAUGCGGUUGAAGAUGAAUGCAAUGCGCUUGAAGAUUAGAAAUAUUAGAAAAUAUGCCAUUGAUAAAGAGACUUGGUAUCAUUGUGUGGGUCAAUUGUUACCUUAGUUGCGAUUUUGAUCGCAUUUGUUGUUGCAUUUAAAUGUUUUACAUAGUUGUAUGUUGUUUUAUGAGAGAACUUUAUGUAUUUAUUUUUGAAAUAAUAACAUUUGAUUACUACUGUACUUUGGUUUUAAUGUGAUGAUGAACUUGUAUAAAUUUUAUCAUUUCUCAAUUCAUGAUGUUCUGCAAUGGUUUUUUGAUAUACUUAAUUUCAUAAUACAGAUGAAUCGCCAAUGAAUGUACGGUGACCGGCGCACUUCGAAGUACAUUACGAAUCGGGAGUAAUGCCCGAGUCACACUUAAGUUCACAAAAAUGGUAUCCUUGAACGAUGUUAGCAACCUUAUCCUUUUCAUCUGUAAUUGAUACAAAAAUAUUGCAUGUGUCCAUGUACAGUGGUCAUUUUACUAUUCAUGUAUGAUGCAGAUCGAUGCAUGGAAGCGAUGGAUGUACGGUGAACGGCGCGGUUCCGGAUUUAUUGCAGGUCUGCAUAAAUUUAUCGAUGUGGCUAAGGCAAACAAAGUGAAUAAUUUUAUGCCUUGUCCAUGUGUUGACUGUCGAAACGUGAAGGAGUACUCUAGCUCGAAAACCAUUCAAGGCCACGGGCUUCGGAGAGGUUUCAUGCCCACAUAUUAUUGUUAGACCAUGCACGGAGAAAAAAGGGUUAGGAUUGAAGACAAUGAAGAAGAUGAUGAUGACAACUAUCCUAUGUUCACUGAAGAAUACGAUGAUGCUGCAAUGGAAGACAAUGAAGAAGAAGGAGGUGAAGAACAACCGACAUCAGAUGAGCCCGCUGAUGGUCUUGGUCGGGUCAUUUCUGAUGAAAAGAUACAAUGCGAUACAUACAAGGAGAAGCUGAAGUUGAAGGCCAUGCUAAAGGAUCAUAACAAGUUGCUGUACCCAAAUUGCGAAGAUGGCAGCACAAAGCUCGGUACCACACUGAAACUGUUGAAAUGGAAGGAAGAAACUGGUUUAUUUGACAAGGGAUUUGAGAAGUUACUGAAAAUAUUGAAGCCGAAGCUUCCAAAUUAUAACGAAUUGCCCAAGACUACGUACGAAGCAAAGAAGGCUAUCUUCCCUCUUGGAUUAGAUGUGCAGAAGAUAUAUGCAUGCAUUAAUGACUGCAUCCUGUACCGCGAUGAGAAGUACGAGAAUAUGGACAAAUGCCCGAUAUGCACUGCAUGUCGGUACAAGAUCAGACAAGAUGACCCUGGUGAUGUUGAGGGCGAUGACGAGCCCCCCAGGAAGAAGGUUCCUGCUAAGGUUAUGUGGUAUGCUCCUAUAAUACCACGGUUGAAACGUCUGUUCAGAAACAAUGACCAUGCCAAGUUGAUGCAGUGGCACAAAGACGAGCGUAAGAAAGACGGGAAGUUGAGACACCUCGCACAUGGGUCGGAGUGGAGGAAAAUUGAGAGGGAGUGGCCGGACUUUGCAGAAGACCCAAGAAACUUAUGGCUUGGUCUAAGUACAGACGACAUGAAAUUGACCUACGAGCAUUGUUGUUCGUAACCAUCAAUGAUUGGCCUGCUCUUAGUAACAUUUCAAGACAUUCAAACAAGGGAUACAAUGCAUGCACGCACUGUUUAGAUAAAACUAAAGGUACAUAUUUGGAAAAAAUCUAAGAAGGUUGUCUACCUGGGUGUCGUCAAUUUCUUCCGACCAAUCAUCCCGUAAGAAAGAAAGGCAAGCAUUUCAACGGUGAAGCAGAUCACCGGAAGAAGCCUAACCUCCCUACUAGUGAUGAGUUAUUGGCUAUGGUCAAGGAUUUGGAUCAAAUAGUAAUCUUUGGAAAGGGUCCUGGCGGUCAAUCUGUUUCGAAAGACGACGUUACCGGACACGUGCCCAUGUGGAAAAAUAAAUCUUUAUUUUGGGAGCUAGCCUAUUGGAAACACCUAGAGGUCCGGUCUUCAAUCAACGUGAUGCACGUGACGAAGAAUCUUUGCGUGAACCUGCUAGGCUUCCUGGGCGUGUAUGAGAAGACAAAAGAUACAAGCGAAGCACGGGAGGAGGAAGCAACGUAUGAAAGACCCAUACGACAAGAAGACUGAUAAAGGACGUCAAUACUUAAGCAGCUACGCUCUUACCAAAGCAGAGAAGGAAAUCUUUUUUGUAUGCCUAAGCAGUAUGAAGGUCCCGCGUGCGUGAAAAUGCUGAAUACCCUUGCAGAUCCACCGCCUCCGUUGCCAGCAAACUAUGAACGCUCUAUUCUCAAGUCGGUUGAGGCAAAAAAGUAGUGGUUGAAGAGUAGUACGUCCAGUGGGAAAUCAGUUGCCCAGCUCGGACAACAGAAAAACCAAUCGUGCCCCCGCUCAAAGUGUAUUCCAAUACAAAGGUGUGCUCGAGCGUAGCUGCGGUCGAGCAGAGGAAUGAUGAAACAACUGGUAUCGAUCCGGAGUUUGUUGCACUAUACGGAGAAGCGGCCAAGGCUCAUGACAUGUCUAUUGAUCGGUACUUAAACCAUACACAUGAAUUCACUGACGUAACAUACAUGUACCGGCAUGGGUCUCCUCUCGUCAAACCUGAGUUAGUCAACGAGCUACCAACAAAAAUGCGAAGAUUGCAUGACUGGUACAUGCGAGCAUCUGCUGAACAACAAAGCUGGAUCUACUGUGCAUAUAAAAACGAGCAUUACGGUCAUGGAGAAGGCGUGCUAAUGAUUGAAUUUGACGAAUUAUUUCAGUUAUAUAAACAAGACGACCUCGACAAAUCUAUCAUUAGUACCUAUUGUUUGUAAGUAUUAUUAAUUUAUAUCAUUAAGUCUUACUCAGCUCGUUCAUUGCAUGUAUAAUCUUACUCAUCACUAUAUUAAUUUUGCAGAAUGAAGAUUCUCGAAUGCAAAAGAGGACGAAUCUAUGACAUUGAGUUCAUUGACCCAUAUUUCAUUCAUGACAAAAGUCUCGCAGUGGAUCCCCGCGAGACAGAGAAUAACUUGGUACAAGGGUUAAGGUUUUCCGCUACCAAAAGAGAAAUAUUAUUUCCUUACAACUUCAAGUGAGUGUUACUACACACAUUCUAUUUUUGCUUACUCGAUGUUAUUAAGUGUAUAAUUGACUUGUUAUGCGUGCGCAGGUUCCACUUUAUUCUGUUAAUCAUUCUACCUGACAAGGGACUAGUAAAAGUCAUGGACCCGAAACACACACCCCUCGAUGAUUGGGAGAACAUGCAGGAAUGCCUCCAGAGGUAAUUUCAAUGAUUAUGGCACUAUAUCGGCAACUUCUAGUUCAUUUCCUGAUAGCAAGUAAUUAAUAUAGAACUCCUUUAUUCAUUUCCUUUUCUUGACAGGGUUUGGAAACGGUUCACCACCAAGUGUCGGGGUGUUUGGAAGCCAGAGCUUACAUUUAAACAAAUGGAUAUAAGUAACUACUAGCUAGAUCCGCGCAUCUCUUUAUUCUAGUUUCAAUACCAUUAUCAUUCUUGAUUAUGUUUUUGGUUGAACUCUGUUCUCGUAAAGUGCUUGAAGCAGGAACAUGGGAGCAAUUUAUGUGGAUACUAUGCUUGCGAGUUCAUUCGCUAGACGACCCAUGAAACGGGCAAAAAUCGAGACAUAAAAAAAUUUGAAGUACGAUAAACAAUACUCACAACUUUAUUUUAUUACCGUCAAUUGUGUUCGGUUUCAUUGAUAUAUAUUGACCCCUUCUUUAAAUUAGAUCGAACGGUUGCGGGACGGUCUUCUACCACAAGAACGUGCACGAGCAAUUCAAAAGGAAAUUGUCGGAUUCUUAGAUGCAGAGGUCCUAGAUGUGAAGGGAGAAUACGAUUGCCCGUGGAUGCAAUUCAUAUGAAAUGUUAGUGUAAAAAAGAUGCAUAUGUGUAUGUAACUCGUGCCUACAUUUUGUAAUAUGUUCGACAAAGCACGACGGAUAAGAUGGUGUAAUAUAUUCAUGACGAUGAUGUGCAAUAUAGUUGUUCCUUUAUUGCUGUGUAUGCACCAUCCAAUUUAAUGCAAAACAAGAAUUAAAAGUGUUCAAAACAAAUAAAUGGGAAAAUAGAGGGCAGGAAAAUAGCCCCAUCCAAUUUAGUGUAAAAUCCUAAACCCUAAAAAAUGCUAAAAAAGAUAGCGAAGCAAUAGACCCGGUUCGCAAUAAGAACCGGGACUAAUACCCCUCCCCCUCGCUUCCAGCCCCGCCACGUGGAGGACCAUUAGCCCUGGUUUGGGACCGAACCGGGGCUAGCAUUAGUCCCGUUUUGUUAGUCCCGGUUCGUUAACCGGGGCUAAUGGCCCAAAUGAACCGGGGCUAUAACCCCGUUUUCUAUUAGUGAAGACACGACAUGUAGGUGGUCAUGAGCCUGGUCCCGGUGUCCUCCUCCAGGGCCGCCACCUCGGGCGCCGCCUUCAGCCUCUUGGCUGCCCCGGAUGCCGCUGCCGCAUGGAUCGCGAAGCCAUUCAUGGCAUGGUGGAAUCACAGCCCAUCUUCCUAAUGAUGGAUGCCUGCUUUUUACUCCCUCCGUUCCUAAAUAUAGGUCUUUUUAAAGGUUCUUCUAAUGGAUUACAUACGGAUGUAUAUAGACAUAUUUUAGAUUGUAGAUUCACUCAUUUUACUUCGUAUGUAGACUCCUAGUAAAAUCUCUUAAAAGACUUAUAUUUAAAAACGAAGGGAGUAUUAAUUAAAUUGAUUGUUUUUUACGGGUCUUGUUGUUCCUUUGGUCUUAAAAUUUCUUGUGCUCUCAAAAUAGACCAUUACAUGACACGUGUCAUAAAUUGGCAGUUUGGUUAUGACUUUGUCGAGUGGCAGACGAACGUCGGUUAACGAGAGUUGCUCGAGCUGCCUAUUUGAGUUAAACCGUGUUCCGCAUCUCGACAAUGUGCACCAGCUUGCCGAGUAUUAACGCUCGACAAAGACCUGAAUGAACCAACUACACUAGUGGGGACGGGGCCUUUAGCCCCGGCUUGUAAGGGGCUUUAGUCCCCAUUCACCAACCGGGACUAAAGGGGCGGGACUAAAGGCCUAACCGUUAGUCCCGACCAUGUUACAAGUCGGGACUAAAGGUGCUCCACGUGGGCGCCUCGUAGCGCCCCAGGGGCAGGCCCUUUAGUCCCGGUUCGUUACACGGACCGGGACUAAAGAGUUUCAGAUUUUGCUUAUUUUUGGGUUUUUUUUGAAUGAAAUUAUUUUUGGGUUUUAGGGUUUUAGGGUUUAGGUGUUCGGAAGAUUAACGUGAUGCCUCAUUUGGUGUUCGGGAAUUAGUUUUCAUAUAAUUUAAAUAGAAAUAAUUAUGCAUAUAUGUAUAAGAUUAACUUAUCUUACAAGCGAGCAUAUAUAUACAAUUAUAUGCAGAUCUGAAUUAUCGGGACUAGAGCCCGUCUAUUCGAUUACAUGGACGAACAUCAGUAAUGGCCCCCUAGCUACACUAAAUUCUCCAUUGUCAUCUAUAGCUUCCGUCCUCAGAAAGGUCGCAAGCUCCUCUGCAACAGCAAUCACGCGUUGCUCUGGUAGGACCUUCGUCCUCAUGGCCGUGUACUAUAUAAGAAGAGGAGAUGAAUAUGAAUAUCAAUCAUGAUAACAAAGAAUGACGGGUAAAAAUAGAGGUGUGAAUGUUCAUUGCUUACGUCGAAUCUGUGAUCCUUGUGCUCAGAGGUAAACAUGCAAAUGGUCUCGCAAACAUAGUAUCCGCAUAGAUGCGUUCCCCGUGGCUGCUGGUCGCACUUUACGAGAAUAAAAUAUAUAUAAUCAAAAUAAUAAUCUAGCAUCAUAGAUGUAUUGAAAAUAGAAGUAUAUAAUACUACUACUUACCUGAGCCACUCUAAAGGUCAGCUUCUCAGGCUCGAUACCGGGAGUCACGCACUUGAACCGCUUCCAAACCCUGUCUGACAAGGAUAAUGAUUUGCUAAGUUUUUCAUUAAUUGAUAUAUCAGAAAAUCAUCGAAAGAGACCGAUAGAGCACAAGAAUGAUUGAAAUUACCCUUGGAGCAUGUCCUGCAGGCUUUGGAACUGUUCCAAGGGUCUCGAUAAUGGGUCGAAGGCAUCAACUCUUUCCUUAUCAAUUUGAAUGUCCAACAGAAUCCAAUGAAAGCUGCACAUGUAUAUAUAUAUAUGUCACUAACUUAUCAAUUACACUUAUAAGUGAAUGGACACAACAGAGUAAAGAACCUCACCUGAAGUUGUAUGGAAACAAUAUGUGGUCACAGAAAUUUUGAUCUGUUAGAAACCUUAGAAGGUUUUCCUCCGUCUCCUUGGGUUUAUCAGUUAGCGUCGCUAUAUGUAUUUUAUCUGGGUCAAUAAACCCAAUAUUUAUGAUGUUUUUUUUUACAAUCCAGAAUCUUCAUUCUGCAUAAUAGAGUACACGUUAUAUAUAGACAAUGAAUUGAAAUAACUAAAGAAGUUAUAUGUAGACAACAAAUUGAAAAACUUACAGACAAUAGCAACUCAUAAGCGAUUUGUCGAGGGCGUCGCCAUUGUACAUCUGGAAGAGUUCAUCAAAGUCGAUAUGGAUUUCUUCGGGGCGGCCGUAGUACUCCCGUGGGACACUCACCACGAUCAUCGUUCUCCCAUUCUUUGAUUCACUUAACUACCAUGUAUGCAAGUAACGCAUAUUUGUUGGGAGAUCAUCUUUGCUGACCAAAGGCGCUCCCAUGACAAACUGUGGCUUAGGGGCUACCACAGCCUUGGGUAACCUGUCGUCUUGGAAAGCCAGAACAUCUUCAACCGAGACACCCCAUUCAGCCGCCCACUUCUUUGCUAAUUCAAAAUCUUGCCCCUGCACCGGAGGGGGAACAUUCUCGGUUAACACCUUGAGGGGUGGGAUCGACUGUUUGGCCUGUUGUCCAUGCUGAGGAAUGUCAGAUUUUUUCUUGCUUGUAGUUGAACUUGAUUUGCUCCCACUUGCACUUGCACGUGAUCUGCUCUUUUUCACUUCCUUCUGCAAUGUGCGUGUAUAGUCAUCAGGCUUAUGGUGUAAGUCAUACUGUGAUGGAAGGUUCGUGAAGUAUUUUGCAAAUGCUAUUUGCUUCUCGGUGUAUUCCGGGCGGGGCUCGGGUUCCUUCUUUUUCAUCUGCGCAUCAUGAUGUUCCUUUGCUAUCCUGGCGUUUUCCUCGGGGGUACGAUCAUAAGGUCUGAUAGGAAGAUUAGCAUGAGGUACCUUUGGGAGGGGCGACCGUUUGCGCUUUGGGGGGCUCCGUCGCUUAGAAAUCGUCGGCGGAGCGUUCUUGGUGGCACGCUCCCGCUUAGUAUCCGGAGCGGGCGGCGGCGGAGACGGACGACCCAAGUCCGGCGGCGGUGAUCGGGAUGGACUCGUGUUGUGCUGGCCGACGUCAUGUGGAGGGCUUGGAGGUAAUGGAGGUGUAGGUGACUUGCGACGACUCGGAGGCGGUGUUGUCCUUGGGGCCGAGCCUGGAAGCUUGAUGUAGUUCUUGUUCCAUAGGAUGACUCCACCCAGUACUUCUCCAAGUGUCCUCUCAUCUUCGGGUCCAGCUAUGUCGAGCUACAUAUCAUGAAACCCCGUCAUUGAUUUCAUCCACCCCGACUUUAGCAAAGCCAGCUGGAAUCUCACGGCCAUGCCAGCGUGCAUCAGGGCCAGAAGGUAAAGCUUGUCCGACGGCCACCUUCAUGGAUAUAUUCUUGAAUUUCUGAUGGAGUUCACAUGAUGUUGACUCCUUGAUUCCAUCCACGGGGUAGCCGGGACCGCCCUCUAUCAUUCUUCGUGCAUCGUCGGGCAGGGCCUCUGAUUCAGCCACACUGCUUUUCCGCUUAGAUGGGGCGCCGGUAAUAUCAAGUGCAGGAUCUUCCUGGCGCGUUACUCCUCUAAGCUCAUCAAUCUGCUUCUGUUGCUCGUUAAUCCUGGCAAGCAACUGGUUGAACUUGUCAUUCUCCUCAUCCUGCUGCCGCUUCUUUGCUCUCUCUCGGCUUCUGUAAGUGUCUUGGUCUUUGGCAAACCCAAGCCACCACGGGUAAGAAGGACCGAAGCCUCGCGUUCGUCCUCCAUGUUCGUCAUUGCCGAGGACCAGUGUGAGCAAAUCUUUAUCUCUAUCUGCAGUGAACUUUCUUGUUCCCUCCUUAAUUUCUUUCACUAUCCUUUUCCAAUUCUCCGUGGGUAUCCUAAGACCGUCACUGCAGAUGAGGUCUCCUGUUUCUUCGUCGUACGAACCACCAUGCGCAAGGAACCAAUUUCUUGCUCUCAAUUCCCACUCAUCACGGAGUGGUUCAGGUACGAUGCCUUUAUCUAGCAGAUCUUGCUCUUUCUUAUCCCACUUUGGGAUGGCAGUCUCAUAGCCCCCUGGCCCCAGCUUGUGGUGAUAUUUCUUCUUGUCGGCAUUUAUCUUGUUCUUUUCUGAUAAUGCCUGGGCAUCUUGUGACUCCUUGUACUCUUGAAAUGCCUUCCAGUGAUUCGCCUGCUUGGCUAGAUACCCCUCGAAUACUGACAUUUUCUUUGUCUUCAGAUAGUUUUUCCAUAGCUUCUUCUUCCAGCUACAGAACAGUUCGACCAUCUUCUUUAGAGUCCACUGCUUGACUUUGGCCCUCAGUUUGUCUGCGGCGUCUUUAUUCUCACAUUCUGGCAGGUUGAAAUGUGACAUGAGAUCAUUCCAAAGAUUAUCUUUGUACCUUUCGGCGACAUAGUCACUAUCGGCUGCCCCUUUGCGCUUGUUCCACUCCCGAACGCUGAUCGGGACGUGAUCCCUAACGAGAACUCCGCAUUGCUUCUUGAAUGUGUCAGCAACAUUCUUAGGAAGCUUGGGUUCGCCCGUAGGCAAUAUCACCUCAAAGGUGUAAUGCGUCCGUGCAUCCAACUUUCUAGUCGGGCCUCGUUUCGUAGCUUUGCUCGAUGUGGAGGCCUAAGAGGGAGAAACAUUCGUCAAAUGAAUGUAUAUGUAUACAAUAUAGAGCUAUCUCCAAUAUUUUUCACAUAUUACAAGUGAUUGUCGAACUUCAUAUGUAUACCUCGCCGGAUUUUAUUAUUUCUUCACCGGCUUCUCCACCGGCUUCUCCAUCAGUGGAGCUAUCACCUUCUCCGUCAUUGGACCUAUCUCCUGCCCCAUCGGCUUCAUCUUCGUGUCGCUCGACCUCCAUUCCAUAUCCGGAGGGGUUUAGAUAUGACGACGAAGAUUCAGCUGGUUCAACGUCGGGGCCGUCUUUGAUUAUAUCUUCGAUAAGUUCUUCCUCUUCGAGGUUCCUGAUAUGUGGAUCCAUAGUUCUGCAAAAAACGGACAUUUGAUUAACUAAUAAACUAACAAACUAUAUAAGAGGGGUUGGAAACUUCGAAGUGUCAUUUUAUAUAGGAGGACCUUUAGUCCCGGGUCUUGGCUAGAACCUAAACUCUAAAAUACCAGCCGGACGGAGCCCAGUCCCGGACACUUAAGCAUAUACAAUAGCAAAAUUAAACUAGUUCUGUUAAUUUUCUUGCUAAAAAUAAACUAUUUACACUUAAGCAUAUACAAUAGCAAAAUUGAACAAUUAACACUUAAGCAUAUACAAUAGCAAAAUUAAGCAAUAAUCUAAGAAACACUAUUAACACUUAAGCAUAUACACUAUACAAUAGCAAAAUUAAAUGACAAAAAAAAUAUUUCUUCUUCUUGUAACCCUAAACUAAUUUUUCCUCUUCUUCUAUUUCGGGGGGGGGGCUACUUCUUCUUCUACUUCUACUUCUCCUCUUCUUCUACUACUUCUCAUCUUCUCUUCUUCUACUUCUCCUCUCCUCCUCUUCUAAUUUUUUCUCUUCUUCUACUUCUCCUCUUCUUCUAUUUUUCCUCUUCUUCUCCUCUCCUCCUCUUCUUAUUCUCCUUUUUCUUAUUUUCUUCUCCUCCUCUUCUUAUUUUCCUUUUUCCUAAUUCUACAUAUUACUAACCCUAAUAAUCUAGCACAAACCUAAUAACAAUAGGAAUUAAAUGAUAAAAAAAUCUUUNNNNNNNNNNNNNNNNNNNNNNNNNNNNNNNNNNNNNNNNNNNNNNNNNNNNNNNNNNNNNNCUCCUUUUUCUUCCUUUCUUCUCCUUUUUCUUCUUUUCUUCUACUGGACGGAGUGUUGGGGAGGAGGGGGCGGGGGGCUUACCGGCCGGAGGUGUCGACGGCGCGCGGCGAGGAGGACGGCAGGCGGCGGCAAGCAGGACGGCGGGCAGCCUGCCGGCGUCGUCGAGUUCGUCGCUGUGCCGCGCCGGGCAGGAGAACGAGGAAGAAGGAGAGAAGGAAAUGCGAUUUGGGUUGGAAAUUUUCUAACUCCCGCUAAUAUAGGUGGAUCUUUAGUCUCGGUUCGGGGCUCAAUCCGGGACUAAAGACCCCCUUUAGUCCCGGGUGGAGCCACGACCUGGGACUAAAGGCCCUUUUUUGGCAGACCAAAAGGCGGGAAGCAGGGGCCUUUAGUCCCGGGUCGGGGCUCGAGCCGGGACUAAAGACACCCUUUAGUCCCGGUUUGUGGCAAGAACCUGGACUAAAGGUUAAGCUAUUAGUCCCGGUUUUAGACAAAAGCCGGGACUAAAGUGUUGCCUAUAUAAACCCUCUCCCCUGCCCACCCUCUCCCCUAUUUUUUGGUUGUUGAAGUGUGACCAUGCCAUGCUCUUGCCACUCUAGUUCAUGCACAUGACGUGUUCGAUGAAAUGCCCGAGCCACUCUACUUAAGCUUUCUCCUCUCCAAGCUCGACCUCCAAGCUCCAUUUUCCUUAAUAUUUGUCUAGGUUUGGCCGUGCACCAACUGCACAAGUGUUUUAAAAGGUUAGGUACUUCAUCCUUUCAUUUGUCACUGCUAGUGUAGCUCAUUUCAAAUGCUGAAAUUAACUUCUUAGAGUCUGCACAUGCGUAGGGUGUCGUCCCGUGCCCGUCCUCACCAUUGUCGAUCGCCCCGUGCCGAUCUCGUCGCGAGCACCACCGUGGUGAGCCUCUUGUUCUUAUCUUCUUUUUAAAAGAAAAAAAUCUUACUUGUAUGAUUUAGAUACAUACUUGUAUAAAUUACUCACUUUCAUUAUUUUUUGUUAUUAUAUAGUGCGAUGGUUUUGGUAUCCGCCUCCGUCAGCCCUCGUCCUGUCUAUGAUUCGGAUGUGGUAUAUAUUAUCUUUUAUAACUAUUUGUUUUAUUUAGUGUUUAUGACAAUUAUGACGACCAACGUGACAUAUAUUUUUUAAUCUAGGAGGUAUGUGAACCGGAAAUUCCAACCAACAUAGAAAUUCUUGUCGAGAAGUUAAAUUUGGUUGAAAAAGAAAAUAAAUACUUGAAGAAAAAAUUUAAAAUAAUUUCACCCACAUAGCAUGUGUUAAAAAGUUGAGAGGGCUACGACAAAAACUGGAUGCACUUCGUGUACAAAACGGACAAUCUCUCUCGAAGUAUCAGGGUUUCGAACGAGAACUCAUCUCUUACAAAGGGAUUUCAUUUUUUUGAACUUAUUUGAACUCCAUACUUUUUGUGUGUUCAAAAUGCACCAUUCAAAGGCACAUCACAAAAUUUCAACAAUUUCUGAUUUCAUUUGGUAUUCUUCGUGCAUUUACUUAUAUUUUUUGAGCUAGUUGACCCUGAAAUUGAAAAGCACUACAAAUGAACUCUGAAAAUGUUGAAAGUUGGAAUGCUAUCAUCAUUUCACCCACAUAGAAUGUGUUAAAAAGUUGAGAGGGCUACGACAAAAACUGGAUGCACUUCAUGUACAAAACGGACAAUCUCUCUCGAAGUAUCAUCGUUUCGAACGAGAACUCAUCUCUUACAAAGGGAUUUCAUUUUUUUGAACUUAUUUGAACUCCAUACUUUUUGUGUGUUCAAAAUGCACCAUUCAAAGGCACAUCACAAAAUUUCAACAAUUUCUGACUUCAUUUGGUAUUCUUCGUGCAUUUACUUAAUUUUUUUUGAGCUAGUUGACCCUGAAAUUGAAAAGCACUACAAAUGAACUCUGAAAAUGUUGAAAGUUGGCAUGCUAUCAUCAUUUCACCCACAUAGCAUGUGUUAAAAAGUUGAGAGGGCUACGACAAAACUGGAUGCACUUCAUGUACAAAACGGACAAUCUCUCUCGAAGUAUCAGCGUUUCGAACGAGAACUCAUCUCUUACAAAGGGAUUUAAUUUUUUGAACUUAUUUGAAUUCCAUACUUUUUGUGUGUUCAAAAUGCACCAUUCAAAGGCACAUCACAAAAUUUCAACAAUUUCUGACUUCAUUUGGUAUUCUUCGUGCAUUUACUUAUUUUUUUUGAGCUAGUUGACUCUGAAAUUGAAAAGCACUACAAAUGAACUCUGGAAAUGUUGAAAGUUGGCAUGCUAUCAUCAUUUCACCCACAUAGCAUGUGUUAAAAAGUUGAGAGGACUACGACAAAAACUGGAUGCACUUUGUGUACAAAACGGACAAUCUCUCUCAAAGUAUCAGGGUUUCGAACGAGAACUCAUCUCUUACAAAGGUUUAUUAAAAUUAUUUUUGCGUAUUUGAGAAUUUGAAAAAACUAUGAAAAUCAAAAGUGUUUGGAAUUUAGUACAUUCCAUAUAUGCAUUACAUAAAAGGUUUAAUACAUUAUUACAUUAUUGCACCAAUAUUCCUAUCUUUUAUUUCUGUUUUCUUCUGGGUUGUAGCCAUGGAGAAUCUUCAUCAUUCAGUAGGAUGCUUGGGUCAGUUUUCACUUUGAAGGGCGGAAUUUCAUGAAACUUAUUAUAAUCUUCUGACAUGUCUGUCUUGUCAUCUACUCCCACGAUGUUUCUUUUCCCUGAAAGAACUAUGUGGCGUUUUGGCUUAUCGGACGAUAUCUUCUUUUGCUGGUUUCUUUUUCUCGUUUUUGUAGACAUGUCCUUCACAUAGAAAACCUGAGCGACAUCAUUGGCUAGGACAAAUGGUUCGCCCAUGUACGCAAGAUUGUUGAGAUCCACUGUUGUCAUGUCAUACUUUUGGUCUACAACUACUCCGCCUCCUGUCAGCUUCACCCAUUUGCACCGAAACAAAGGGAUCUUAAAAGUAGGUCCAUAGUCAAGUUCUCAUAUCUCCUCUAUGUACCCGUAAUAUGUUUCCAAACAGUGCCCAUUCUCGUCUGUUGCAUCAAAGCGGACACCACUAUUUUGAUUGGUGCUCUUUUUAUCUUGGGCAACCGUGUAAAAUUUAUUCCCAUUUAUCUCAUACCCUUGGAAAGUACAUAUAGUCGAAGAUGGUGGCCUGGCCAAACAGUACAACUGAUCUCCAACGGUGUCGUCAUUCAUGAGAUGUGUCUGCAACCAACUGCCGAAAGUCUUCUCGUGUUCCCCUUUAAUCCAAGAGUCAGCCUUCCCCGGGUUUUCGGAGCGUAGAAUAUUCUUGUGUCUCACGAUAUACGGAGCCACCAUGGUGGAAUUGUGUAGAGCUGUGUAGUGUGCUUGAGAGAAAGAAUGCCCAUCCAUACAUACUUUUGCUUUCCUUCCUAGUGUGCCUUUUCCUGUCAGCCUACCCUCAUACCGAGAUUCAGGAACACCAAUCGACUUAAGGUUAGGAAGAAAGUCCACACAAAACUCAAUGACCUCCUCUGUUCCAUAGCCCUUGGAGAUGCUUCCUUCUGGCCUAGCACGGUUACGAACAUAUUUCUUUAAGACUCCCAUGAACCUCUCGAAGGGAAAAUAUUGUGUAGAAACACAGGACCGAGAAUUCUAAUCUCUUCGACUAGGUGAACUAGGAGGUGUGUCAUUAUAUUGAAGAAGGAUGGCGGGAACAACAACUCAAAGCUGACCAGACAUUGGACCACAUCAAUCUGUAACCCUGAUAGACUUUCUCGAUCGAUUACCUUCUGAGAAAUUGCAUUGAGGAAUGCACAUACCUUCACAAUUGCCAGGCGAACAUUUUCCGGUAGAAUUCCCCUCAAUGCAACCGGAAGCAAUUGCGUCAUAAGCACGUGGCAGUCAUGAGACUUUAGGUUUUGGAAUUUUUUGUCUUUCAUAUUUACGAUUUCCUUUAUAUUCGACGAGAAGCCAGUCGGGACCUUGAUACUGAAAAGGACUUCAAAGAAGAUUUCCUUCUCUUCCUUAGUAAGAGCGUAGCUGGCACGCCCUUGAAACUGCCCUGGAUGCAUGCCAUCUCUUCCUUUAUGACGUUCCUGGUCCUCCCGUGCUCCCGGUGUAUCUUUUGACUUCCCAUACAAGCCCAGGAAGCCUAGAAUAUUCACGCAGAGAUUCUUCGUCAGGUGCAUCACGUCGAUUGCCGAGCGGACCUCAUGGACUUCCCAGUAGGGUAGCUCCCAAAAUAUAGAUUUCUUCUUCCACAUGGGUACGCGCUUCUCAGGGCCGUUAGGAACAGUUUGGCUGCCAGGACCCUUUCCAAAGAUUACUUUUAAAUCUUUGACCAUAUCUAAUACUUCAGCACCAGUACGGAUGACAGGCUUCCCCCGGGGUUCUGCCUUGCCAUUGAAAUGUUUGCCUUUUUUCUUUAAGGGAUGCUUGGGCGGAAGAAAACGACGAUUGUACGGGUAUACAUUCUUCCUACAUUUGUCCAGAUAUAUACUUUCUGUCUGAUCCAAAUAGUGCGUGCAUGCAUUGUAUCCCUUGUUUGACUGUCCUGAAAUGUUACUAAGAGCAGGCCAAUCAUUGAUGGUUACGAAAAGCAACGCUCGAAGGUCAAAUUCCUCUUGUUUGUGCUCGUCCCACACACGUACUACACCUGGUUCGGCCCACAGCUGUAAAAGUUCAUCAACUAAUGGCCUUAGGUACACAUCAAUAUCGUUGCCGGGUUGCUUUGGACCUUGGAUAAGCACUGGCAUCAUAAUGAACUUCCGCUUCAUGCACAACCAAGGAGGAAGGUUGUAGAUACAUAGAGUAACGGGCCAGGUGCUGUGACUGCAACUCUGCUCCCCAAAAGGAUUCAUGCCAUCUGUACUCAGACCUAACCAUAAGUUCCUUGCGUCAGCUGCAAAUCUCGGGAAGUCUCUCUCGAUUUUUGUCCACUGCCGACCAUCAGCGGUGUGCCUCAACUUAUCGUCUUUCAUACGAUCUUCCAUGUGCCAUCGCAACAACUUCGCAUGAUCUUUAUUUCUGAACAGACGUUUCAACCGUGGUAUUAUAGGAGCAUACCACAUCACCUUGGCAGGAACUCUCUUCCUGGGUGGCUCGCCCUCAAUAUCACCAGGGUCAUCUUUUCUGAUCUUAUACCGCAAUGCAGUGCAUACCGGGCAUUUAUCCAUAUUCUCGUACUUCUCACCGCGGUAGAGGAUGCAGUCAUUAGGGCAUGCAUGUAUCUUCUGCACGUCUAAUCCUAGAGGGCAGACAAGCUUCUUUGCUUCGUACGUGCUGGCGGGCAAUUCGUUCUUUCUUGAAUGCAUCUUCUUCAUCAGUACCAGCAACUUUUCGAAUGACGAGUCAGUCACACCAGUCUCUGCCUUCCACUUCAGCAAUUCCAAUGUGCUACCCAGCUUCUUCUGGCCAUCUUCACAAGUUGGGUACAACAAUUUGUUGUGGUCCUGUAACAUCUGCUCGAACUGCAACCUCUCCUUUUCUGUGUCGCACCCUCGCCGUGCAUCAGAAAUGACCGGGCCAAGAUCAUCAGCGGGCUCAUCUGGUUCCCGUUCUUCAUCCUGAUCUUCUUCUUCAUUGUCUUCCAUUGCAGUAUCAGCAUACUCAGGGAACAUAGAUCGGUAGUUGUCAUCAUCGUUCUCUUCUUCUUCAUCGUCGUCUUCCAUCAUAACCCCUCUUUCUCCGUGCUUGGUCCAAACAUUAUAGCCCGACAUAAAACCAGACCGAAGCAGGUGGCUCUGAAUAACUCUUGAGGAAGUGUAAUCCUUCUCAUUUCGACAUUCAACACAUGGACAAAACAUAUAUCCACCACCAUGCUUGUUCGCAUCGGCUGCAUCUCGAAAAGAAUGCACGCCUUCUCUCUAAGCGGCUGUGCGUCGAUCACCGUACAUCCAUGGAUGGCUCAUCUGUGUUAUACGACAGUAUAUCAAAUACAAACACGAUCCUAAAAAUUAGUACCGCACGAUCUAAACGAGGAAAUAUAGUUGCUAAUCUUUUAGAAUAAGUAGAAAUAAAGAGGAAGAGGUUUAAGCGUGGCUCAGACAUCUCAUAUCGUAGUUGUGUUCGGUGAACUGAAGUGGCAUCGCUCUAACACACAUUUCAACAAACACCUCUAGUGCAUCAAAAAAAGUGAAGAGCUAGCACCCACCCACAAUCCUCCAUCCAAGAAAAAUGCAAGGAAGAGGGGAGAGGGGGGCUGUGCUAUAUAUAGGCAGAGGACUUUAGUCCCGGUUUGAGACACGAACCGGGACUAAAGGUGGCGCACAUGCGGGCUGCCCACCGCGUAGCUCUUUAGUCCUGAUUUGGGAGACGAACCGGGACUAAAGGCUCCUUACGGGCCGGGACUAAAACCUCGAGGGAGGCAUUGAAAAUUGAGACGACGUGGCCGGGCCUAAAGGGUCCCGGCCAAAGGCCCGUUUUCCUGCGACAGUGAAGUUACUUUAUUUUACCGAGACACAUUGUUUGAUUCUCGGCAAAUAGUUUGCCAAAUGUCCGUCAGUUGGUUCCUGGCAAAGUUUUGUUUGCCUCAGAGGUGUACGCGUGUACUCUUUGUUCAUAGCAAUGCUCGGCAAAGGCUUUGCCGAGUUUAUUUGGUCCUUUGCCGAGUAUUUCUAGCACUCAGCAUACACUACUAGAAUCUUGAAUUUCGUCGAGUUCUAAAUGUUUGCCGAGUUUCUUUUGCCAGGGAACUAGGCAAAGAAAUCUUUGCUGAGUUUUUUUUUGUACCGGGCAAAGAAAUCUUUGCCGAGUUUAUUUUUUAUUUGCGCCGGGCAAAGAAAUCUUUGUCGAGUUUCUUUUCUUUUAGCAGUGGGCAAAGAAAUCUUUGCCGACUUUAUUUUUGUUGCACUCGGCAAACAUCUAUUUUUUGUUUUUAAAUUUCCUUGUCCUUUCUCUUUGUCGAGUGCUUUGUUUAUUGCACAGAUUGAAUACUUAUUUUUAUUUUUUGUUUUCCUCUCCUUUCUCUUGUGUCUUUUCUUUUGUACAUUAUUUGCUUUACUUUUCCCUUUUAUAAUUUGUUCUCCUCUGUGUUAUUUAUUCUUAAUUUUAAUUUUCUAUUUCUUCCCCUUUCUCUAUUUCCUUUUCGAAUGGAUUUUCUAGGCAUUAAACAUUUUAGUGAAUAAAAAACAAUAUACGCAUUGUAAGUGCAUGAAAAAGUUGGCCCCAUACAAGAAAAAUUGUAAUAUUGACUAAUAUGAUACCUACAAUAUGUUGUAAAAGUUGAGAAAACGAAAUUGUAAGCCAUUUCUAGUUUUUUAACGGAUAUAAUACAAAUUUGAACUGCAAGUGCGUGAAAAAGUUGACAAAGUUGGGUAAAUAAUAAUAAUAAUUGUGUUCUUGGGUCCAUGUUUAACAUUUAUACAAGAAAUCGAAAGGACUUCUAAACAUGAGGAUGCCAAUACUUGUUCCCGAACGUGGAGUUUUUCGGUUAAUAAAUUCCAGAAAAUGCUAAUGAAGUCCAUAAAGCAUGAAUUUUGGCAUGGCGCCCUCAUAUCACAACUACAAGUUGAUGUAGAAAUUUGAGAAGGUUUCAGAAAAGUUGUGAUGUACAUCACUUAGAAACCAGAUAAUCUCAAAGGAAGAAACAUGAUUUUGGUAGGGAACGAGUGAGGUUUGAAGGCAAAGCUGCCGUUGCUUCAUCCGUUAGGCUUGAAUUUUUUGUGCACCAUUCAUGUAUUUGUUUUUGAAUAUUUAUGAGUCUGUUUGCUAUAUUUAACCCAUUAGAUGCAUUUCUAAACCUUUAACAAAUUUAAUUCAAAUUUGAACUGUAAGUGCCUGAAAAAGUCGAAUAGGUUGGGUUAAAAAAUCAUAAUUGUGUUCUUGAGUCCAUGUUUAAGUUUUAUACAAGCAAACAAAACGACUUCUAAACAUGAGGAUGCCAAUACUUGCUCCCUAACGUGGAGUUUUCCGGUUAAUAAAUUCCAUAAAAUUCAAAGGAACUCCGGAAAGCAUGAAAAUUGGCAUGGCGCCCUCAUAUGACAACUACAUGUUGUGGUAAAAAAUUGAGAAGGUUUCAUAAAAGUUGGGAUGUAAAUCGCUUAGAAACCAGACAAUCUCUAAGGAAGAAACAGGGUUUCGAUUGGGGACGGGCGAGGUUUUGAGGCGAAGCGACCGUUGCUUCAUCUGUUGGUCUUGAAAUUUUCAUGCACCCAAGAUACACCACUAUUUGAUAUAUGUAAUGUUUUAUAAUUAUUAUGAGUCUGUUUGCUAUAUUUAACCCAUUAAAUGCAAUUCUAAACCAUUAAAAAUAUAAUUCAAAUUUGAAUUGUAAGUGUGUUAGAAAGUUGAAAACGUUGGGUUGAAAAAUCAUAAUUUUGUUCUUCGUCUAUAUUCAGGCCUUACGCAAGAAAAUAAAAUCCAAACAUGAGGGGGCCAAGAAUCGAUUGAAAAGGGUGAAUUUUUUUGUUAUUAAAUUCUAAAAAAUGCAAAAGAAUUCCGAAAAGCAUGAAAAUUGGCAUGAUGCCCUUAUAUGGCACCUACAAUGGUGUGGUAAAAAAUUGAAAAAGUUUCGCAAAAUAUUUACAAGGGUAAAGGGCACACUUUUGUGAUAAAGAAAGCCCACAAUCUGUGCUUUUUCCCUACUGGAUAGGAGGAAAUUGCACGGAUCGUUGACAUGGCGUCAAUCUGCACUGUUAAACACUCAGAGAUCGAACGGUCUAUGGCGCCUCCCCUCGCUCCUUCCCUCCCUCUCUUAUCUUCUUAUCCCCUCGUCCUCUCUCUGGUGGUGGUGGGUGGCUACCGGCUCCCUCUCCCUCUCGAGGCUGACCAGCUCUGAUAGUCAAAACACGAGGGGCGCACAGUCAAGGCACAUGUUCAUGACAAAGUACCCCCCGUGUGUUUACUUCUUCAAUUCUAUAACUAACUUAUGGACCUUUUACUGGUCAACCAUAUUGGAAAGGAAAAUGAAGUGCAGGGGUCAUGCUGAUCAGGCAAUGUUCGAGGUGUCAAUUUUUAUGACCUGUCCAUGAAAAAGACAAGAAAACAGAUGGAUACACCUGUGGCUGUGGUGACCGAUUGGUGUACUUAACGGGAGCGCCUGUGGCUGUGAGGCAUAUCACCACACUAACUUGACUACGUAUGGUCAAGUGUACUCUAUUAAUUUAUGUAUUCAAUUGUACACAAUAUUUGACUUUAUGGAGCUUUGACUGGAAAACUGAUGUGCAGGCUGAUCUACAGGCAAUCUUCGAGUUGUCAAAUUUUAUGCCACACUAAAAUGAUGGUGAUUUGCGCCUAUAUAUAGAAUAUGUGUUCGUGAGUCUUAUCCCACACUAAAAGGCAUUUCUAUUUUUGCCUGAGGCAAAACUGCAAGCAAACCUGAUGGUUAUGGUGAUGGAGCCAAGCGCAUCCACCCUCGUGCUCCUCACUCUCGCCUCACUUGUGAUCCUUGCGUCGGUACUGAGCCGCAAACGGAAAAACCAUAGGCGGCCUCCAGGCCCAUGGCGCCUCCCCUUGAUCGGAAGCCUCCACCACGUCCUCACGUCGCAGCCGCAGGUCGCCCUCCGGGACCUGGCCAAGAAGCACGGCCCGGUCAUGUACCUCCGGUUCGGCCAGAUGGACACCGUCGUCGUCUCCUCGCCUGCCGCGGCGCAGGAGGUGCUCCGGGACAAGGACCUCUCAUUCGCGUCGAGGCCCAACAUCCUGGUCUCACAGAUCUUUUGCUACGGGGGCCGUAACGUCAUCCUCGCGCCCUACGGCCCCUACUGGCGGAUGACGCGCAAGCUCUGCACGGUUGAGCUCCUGAGCGAACGCAAGGUGCGGCAGUUCGCGCCCUUCAGAGACAGCGAGACCAUGUCCCUUGUCGAGAACGUCCGCGCCGCCGGUCGGGGCGGCGCGCCAUUGAACCUUGGCAAGCUACUCAUUUCCUGCACCAACACUAUCACCGCCAAGGCUACGUUCGGCCAGGUGUGCGACGAGGAGCUCCAGGAUCGCUUCAUGGCCGUGACCGGCCUGGCGAUCAAGGUCGCCGGCGGAUCCAGCGUCGGGGACCUGGUCCCGUCGCUGUGGUUCGUCGACGCCCUCACUGGGCUGAGAGGCCGUCUGUGGCGUGCGCGCCGGCAGCUGGAUGCCAUCCUGGACAAGAUCAUCGCUGAUGAAUGCAGGGAGGGGCAGCGAGGUGACCACCUUCUCGGAGUACUGCUUAGGAUCAAGGAUGAGGGGAACCUUGAAUUCCCCAUCGACAUGACAAACAUCAAGGCGAUCAUAUUGGUACGUGUCAAGCUUCAUGCACUAACCAACGUAAUAAAAGUCUAAAUAGAUUGAAAGUGCUAGACAAUCCAUGAUAUACACUCCAACAAUAUGAUACUAAAUAGAUCUAGUUUCUUUUAUCCGAGAGUAACUUAAUUUUCAUUUUUGUUCAUGCCCCUUCAGGAUAUGUUCACGGCAGGGACGGAGACGACGUCGGCAGUGGCCGAGUGGGUCAUGGCCGAACUCAUGAGGAACCCAAAGGUGAUGGCCAAGGCGCAGGCUGAAGUGCGUCAUACCUUGGACACCAAGAACCCUAUAGACCAUGAAGAAUACAUAGAUGAUCUGCACUACACCAAAAUGGUGAUCAAGGAGACCAUGAGGUUAAACCCUGUGGUGCCGUUGCUUGUCCCUCAUCUCUGUCAGGAAACCUGCGAUGUUGGCGGAUUUGAGGUCAAGGAGGGCACCAGGGUCUUGGUCAAUGCAUGGGCGAUGGCGAGAAGCCCCGAGUACUGGGAAAACGCAGAGGAGUUCAUGCCGGAGAGGUUCGAGGACGGCACGGCCACCUACAAGGGCUCGCGGUUCGAGUACUUGCCGUUCGGCACUGGAAGGAGGAAGUGCCCCGGCGAUACCUUUGGGCUGGCCACACUGGAGCUCGCGGUGACACGGCUCCUCUACUAUUUUGAUUGGAGCCUCCCUGCCGGAACACGGGUAGAUGAGCUCGACAUGGAAACAAGCGUGGGGUUAGCCGCGAGGAGGAAGAACCAGCUGCACCUAGUGGCGACCCCUUAUAAGGGUGCUUGCUAGGCAAAUACUAUCUAUGUGCUCUCUUAUGUUCUUUUCCGUACAAAAAAAAUCACCGUGGAGUUUUUUUUCCCAAGAAAUAACCACUGUGAAGUGUAUUUGUAAAUUAAGUUCAUAACCUCUUUAUGCCUGCACAUGGACGGGUGAAUAGCUCAUGUGUGAAGUUUUUGAUGCGAAUUGGAAAGAAUGAAACGUAGUUGACCAAAAUAGCUCGUCGUGCGAUGAUUUACAUGGCAAUAAUAGCCCCUAUACAAUGGGAAUGGUCAUCAACGGGGAGCACACUUAAGUUAAAAACAGGGAGUCAAACUGAUAAGUGCAUCUGGUGGCGGGCCUCACUUGACAGUGCAUCGAGGUUAACGAUUCCCCGCCCGACUAGACCCGUGCUACUCCCCCUGCUUAUGGUUGCUGCUCCCGUCUUCAUUCUCGUCGGCGGCGGCGACGGCGGCAGAGCUUACGUUCACGGUCGCGGCGGCGUAUGUGGAAAGUGUAUUCGGUAUCCUAGAGCUGUUCCCCUAAGUCUUGAGUUAGAUCUAACCAAGUGAGCCUUUGUUUUCCACGGGAUCCAGAUUGUGGAGGCGGGUGGGGUGGGGGAGCGGUUGCGGCGUUGGGCUGAACGAGAUGGAGCCGCGAGAGACAACACCGACUAGGUAAUGAUCACCCUUUCUAACCUAUGCGAUGUGUCCCUAGUCUACUUCUGCUGCCUCACGGUGUCCGCCAUUGGUACACAUGGGCGAUGGUGCUCAGGCCUUCGAAUUCACUAUUGAAUUCUUUCCGUCUAAAGUGAAGCUAGUUGAUGGUAGUGUGCGAGACACAAAGAGAGAUACAAUUGUGAAAUGAGAGGUUGAAUUUGCAGAAAUUGACCCAUAGGAAAUACAGAGAUGGAAGAGAGGGGCUUGAGGAAUUUUGAGGAGAAAGUUGGGGAGAGCAUUUUUUGGGUCCAGGGUAAGAGGUAUAAUUGUUACUGUUUGAUAAUUGAAAGGGUAAGUAUGUGAGAAUUGAGAAUGGUGAAGAGAUGGUUGAUGAAAUCGAUCGACAAGACUGCUGGGUAAGCAAAAAAGACUACCAUUCAUGCAUAGCUCGUUGAUGUGAAAUCGAUCGGCAAGACUACUAGGCAAGUUCGAUUCAUAGAUGAUAUAUGAUGAUUGGGAUUCACAGAAAUAGAUAACGUCCAUGUGUACGGGGAAGUGACGGUAAUAGAGGGGGCUGAUCAACAUGCACAAGAGGGCUAUCAUGGUGCUGUAAGGGUUAUUUUNNNNNNNNNNNNNNNNNNNNNNNNNNNNNNNNNNNNNNNNNNNNNNNNNNNNNNNNNNNNNNNNNNNNNNNNNNNNNNNNNNNNNNNNNNNNNNNNNNNNNNNNNNNNNNNNNNNNNNNNNNNNNNNNNNNNNNNNNNNNNNNNNNNNNNNNNNNNNNNNNNNNNNNNNNNNNNNNNNNNNNNNNNNNNNNNNNNNNNNNNNNNNNNNNNNNNNNNNNNNNNNNNNNNNNNNNNNNNNNNNNNNNNNNNNNNNNNNNNNNNNNNNNNNNNNNNNNNNNNNNNNNNNNNNNNNNNNNNNNNNNNNNNNNNNNNNNNNNNNNNNNNNNNNNNNNNNNNNNNNNNNNNNNNNNNNNNNNNNNNNNNNNNNNNNNNNNNNNNNNNNNNNNNNNNNNNUGUUUCCUGAUCAUGGACAUUGGAUGUCAUUGAUAACGGGAUCACAUCAUUGGGAGAAUGAUGUGGUGGACAAGACCCAAUCCUAAGCCUAGCACUAGAUCGUAUUGUUCGUAUGCUAAUGCUUUUCUAAUGUCAAGUAUCUUUUCCUUCGACCGUGAGAUUGUGCAACUCCCGGAUACCGUAGGAGUGCUUUGGGUGUAUCAAACGUCACAACGUAACUGGGUGACUAUAAAGGUGCACUACGGGUACCUCCGAAAGUGUCUGUUGGGUUGGCACGAAUCGAGAUCGGGAUUUGUCACUCCGUGUGACGGAGAGGUAUCUCUGGGCCCACUCGGUAGAACAUCAUCAUGAGCUCAAUGUGACUAAGGAGUUAGUCACACGAUGACGUGCUACGGAACGAGUAAAGAGACUUACCGGUAACGAGAUUGAACAAGGUAUAGGUAUACCGACGAUCGAAUCUCGGGCAAGUUCUAUACCGACAGACAAAGGGAAUCGUAUACGGGAUUGAUUGAAUCCUUGACAUCGUGGUUCAUCCGAUGAGAUCAUCGUGGAGCUAGUGGGAGCCACCAUGGGUAUCCAGACCCCGCUGAUGGUUAUUGGCCAGAGAGGUGUCUCGGUCAUGUCUGCCUGUCUCCCGAACCCGUAGGGUCUACACACUUAAGGUUCGAUGACGCUAGGGUUAUAGGGAAUUGUUAUACGAGAUUACCGAAAGUUGUUCGGAGUCCCGGAUGAGAUCCCGGACGUCACGAGGAGCUCCGGAAUGGUCCGGAGGUAAAGAUUGAUAUAUAGGACGGAUGGUUUCGGACACCGGAAGUGUUUCGGGCAUCACCGGUAACGUACCGGGACCACCGGGACCACCGGAGGUGGUCCCGGGGGACCACCGAAGGGGGGUGACGACCCCGGGAGGCUAGAUGGGCUAAGUGGGGAAGGGAACCAGCCCCUAAGUGAGCUGGUGCGCCCCCACCCAGCCCAUGUGCACCAGAAAAAAGGGGAAGGGGGGGGGGAACCCUAACUAAGGUGGGCCUUAGGCCCACCAGAGGGGUGCGCCAUCCCUCCUCCUUGCCCUGGCCGCCACUCCCCCCAUCUGGGAGGGCUGCCGCACCCCCUAGGGUGGGAACCCUAGGGGUGGCACCCCCUCUCCCCUUCCCCUAUAUACAGUGGGCACUUUUGGCCUUUGGAGGACACGGUUUGCCCUCUCCCUCGGCGCAGCCCUGCACUUCUUCCUCCUCCUCUCCGCCGGCGCUUGGCGAAGCCCUGCCGGGAGACCUCGUCUUUCCACCAACACCACGCCGUCGUGUUGCUGGUCUUCUUCCCCAACCUCUCCCUCCUCCUUGCUGGAUCAAGGUGCGGGAGACGUCACCGGGUUGCACGUGUGUUGAACGCGAAGGUGCCGUUGUUCGGCACUAGAUCGGAAUCGCUGCGGGUACGACUCCAUCAACCGCGUUCUAGCAACGUUUCCGCUUAGCGAUCUUCAAAGGUAUGAAGAUGCUCUUACCCCUCUCUCGUUGCUGGUCUCUCCAUAGGAAGAUCUGAACAUGCGUAGGAAAAUUUUGAAUUUAUGCUACGUUACCCAACAGUGGCAUCCGAGCCAGGUUUUCUAUGCGUAGAUUCUAUGCACGACUAGAACACAAAAGUUGUGGGCGAUGGUUUGUCAAUUUGCUUGCCGUUACUAGUCUUAUUCUUUUCCGGCGGUAUUGUGGGAUGAAGCGGCCCGGACCGACCUUACACGUAUGCUUACGUGAGACUGGUUCCACCGACAGACAUGCACAUCGUGCAUAAAGGUGGCUAGCGGGUGCUGUCUCUCCUACUCUAGUCGGAUUGGAUUUGAUGAAAAGGGUCCUUAUGAAGGGUAAAUAGCUUUGGCAUAUCAUCGUUGUGGCUGUCACGUAGGUAAGAAGGCGUUCUUGCUAGAAACCCAAAUCAGCCACGUAAAACUUGCAACAACAAUUAGAGGACGUCUAACUUGUUUUUGCAGGGUUUGACAUGUGAUGUGAUAUGGCCAAAGUUGUGAUGUUGCACGUAUGAUGUAUGAGAUGAUCAUGUUAUUGUAAUAGGUUUCACGAAUUGCAUGUCGAUGAGUAUGACAACCGGCAUGAGCCAUAGGAGUUGUCUUAAUUUAUUGUAUGAGAUGCAACGCCAUGUGCUUACUACUUUUACUUCAUUGCUAACGGUUAGCUAUAGUAGUAGUGAUAGUAGUAGUUGGCGUGACGACUUCACGGAGACACGAUGAUGGAGAUCAUGGUGUCACGCCGGUGACAAUGAUGAUCAUGCGAUGCCUGAAGAUGGAGAUCGAAAGAGCAAAGAUGAUAAUGGCCAUAUCAUGUCACUAUAUGAUUGCAUUGUGAUGUUUAUCAUGUUUUACAUCUUAUUGCUUAAAACGACGGUAGCAUAAUAAGAUGAUCCCUCUUAAAAUUUCGAGAACGUAUUACCCUAAGUGUGCACCGUUGCGAAGGUUCGUUGUCUCGAAGCACCACGUGAUGAUCGGGUGUGAUAGAUUCUAACGUUCGCAUACAACGGGUGUAAGCCAGAUUUACACACGCAGAACACCUAGGUUGACUCGACGAGCUUAGCAUGUACAUACAUGACCUCGAAUACAAGAGACCGAAAGGUCGAACAUGAGUCGUAUGGUUGAAUACGAUCAACAUGGAGUUGCUCACCAUGGUGACUAGUCCGUCUCACGUGAUGAUCGGACACGGGUUAGUCAACAUGGAUCAUGUAUCACUUAGAUGACUAGAGGGAUGUCGAUUUAAGUGGGAGUUCAUACUUAAUUUGAUUAAAUGAACUUAAUUGUCAUGAACUUAGUCUAAAAGUUGUCUUUAUAAAUAUUGUAGAUGUCCAACGUCAACCUCAACUUCAAUGCAUUCCUAGAGAAAAACAAGCUGAAAGAUGAUGGUAGCAACUAUGCGGACUGGGUUCGCAACCUGAAGCUCAUCGUUGAAGCAGCUAAAAAGGCUUAUGUCCUUAAUGCGCCGCUAGGUGACCCUCCCGCUCCCACAGCAGCCCAGGACAUUCUAAACGUCUGGCAAGCGCGGAGUGAUGACUACUCUCUGGUCAGGUGUGGCAUGUUAUACAGUUUAGAAACGGGGCUCCAAAGACGUUUUGAGCAACACGGGGCAUAUGAGAUGUUCCAAGAGCUGAAGCUAGUUUUUCAAGCUCAUGCCCGUGUCGAGAGAUAUGAAGUCCCCGACAAGUUCUUCAGCUGUAAGAUGGAGGAGAACAGUUCUGUCAGCGAGCACAUACUCAAAAUGUCUGGGUUACACGGUCGUCUGACUUCACUUGGAGUCGAACUUCCGGAUGAUGCUAUCAUUGACAGAAUCCUCCAGUCUCUCCCACCAAGCUACAAAGGCUUUGUGCUUAACUACAACAUGCAAGGGAUGGAGAAAACCAUUCCCGAGUUGUACUCGAUGCUCAAGUCUGCAGAAGUAGAAAUCAAGAAGGAGCAUCAAGUGUUGAUGGUCAACAAGACCACUAGUUUCAAGAAAGGCAGGGGUAAGAAGAACUUCAAGAAAGACGGCAAAGCUGUUGCCGCACCCGGUAAGCCAGAUGCCGGGAAGAAGAAAAAGAACGGACCCAAGCCUGAGACUGAGUGCUUCUACUGCAAGGGAAAAGGUCACUGGAAGCGGAACUGCCCCAAAUACUUAGCGGACAAGAAGGCCGACAACGUUAAAGGUAUAUAUGAUAUACAUGUUAUUGAUGUGUACCUUACCAGCGCUCGUAGUAGCUCUUGGGUAUUUGAUACCGGUGCUGUUGCUCACAUUUGCAACUCAAAGCAGGAACUGCGGAAUAAGCGGAGAGUGGCCAAGGACGAGGUGACGAUGCAUGUCGGGAAUGGUUCAAAGGUCGAUGUGAUCGCCGUCGGCACGCUACCUCUACAUCUACCGUCGGGAUUAGUUUUAAACCUCAAUAAUUGUUAUUUAGUACCAGCUUUAAGCAUGAACAUUGUAUGAGGGUCUUGCUUAAUGCGAGACGGCUACUCAUUUAAGUCAGAGAAUAAUGGUUGUUCUAUUUAUAUGAGUGAUAUGUUUUAUGGCCAUGCUCCGCUGGUAAAUGGUUUAUUCUUGAUGAAUCUCGAUCGUGAUGUUACACAUAUUCAUAGUGUGAGUACCAAAAGAUGCAAAGUUGAUAAUGAUAGUCCCACAUACUUGUGGCACUGCCGCCUUGGUCAUAUCGGCGUUAAGCGCAUGAAGAAGCUCCAUACUAAUGGGCUAUUAGAGUCUCUUGACUUUGAAUCACUUGACACAUGCGAACCGUGCCUCAUGGGCAAGAUGACUAAGACUCCAUUCUCAGGAAUAAUGGAGAGAGCAACCGACUUAUUGGAAAUAAUACAUACUGAUGUGUGUGGUCCAAUGAACGUUGAAGCUCGCGGUGGUUAUCGUUAUGUUCUCACUCUCAUCGAUGAUUUGAGUAGGUAUGGGUAUAUCUACUUGAUGAAGCACAAAUCUGAGACGUUUGAAAAGUUCAAGGAAUUUCAGAGUGAGGUUGAGAAUCAACGUGACAGAAAAAUUAAAUGUCUACGAUCUGAUCGUGGAGGAGAAUAUUUGAGUCACGAGUUUGGCACACACCUAAGAAAGUGUGGAAUCGUUUCACAACUGACGCCGCCUGGCACACCGCAGCGCAACGGAGUGUCUGAACGUCGUAGUCGCACUUUAUUAGAUAUGGUACGAUCUAUGAUGUCUCUCACCGACUUACCGCUAUCAUUUUGGGGAUACGCAUUAGAAACUGUAGCAUUCACUUUAAACAGGGUACCGUCUAAAUCCGUUGAGACGACACCGUAUGAACUAUGGUUUGGCAAGAAACCUAAGUUGUCGUUUCUUAAAGUUUGGGGCUGCGAUGCUUAUGUGAAGAAACUUCAACCAGAAAAGCUCGAACCCAAAGCGGAGAAAUGCGUAUUCAUAGGAUACCCUAAGGAAACUAUUGGGUAUACCUUCUAUCUUAGAUCCGAAGGUAAAACCUUUGUUGCCAAGAACGGAUCCUUUCUAGAGAAAGAGUUUCUCUCGAAAGAAGUAAGUGGGAGGAAGGUAGAACUUGAUGAGGUAAUUACACCCCCUCUCGAACAGGAAAGUAGCGCAGCGCAAGAAGUUGUUCCUGUGGUGCCUACACCGACUGAAGAGGAAGUUAAUGAUGAUGAUCAUGAAGCUUCGGAUCAAGUUACUACUGAACCGCGAAGGUCCACAAGGGUACGCACCGCACCAGAGUGGUACGGCAACCCAGUGAUGGAAAUCAUGUUGUUAGUCAACGGUGAACCUUCGAACUAUGAAGAAGCGAUGGAGGGCCCGGAUUCCAACAAAUGGCUUGAGGCCAUGAAAUCCGAGAUAGGAUCCAUGUAUGAGAACAAAGUAUGGACUUUGGUGGACUUGCCCGAUGACCGGCGAGCCAUAGAAAAUAAAUGGAUCUUCAAGAAGAAGACUGAUGCAAACGGUAAUGUAACCGUUUACAAAGCUCGACUUGUCGCAAAGGGUUUUCGACAAAUUCAAGGAGUUGACUACGAAGAGACUUUCUCUCCCGUAGCGAAGCUGAAAUCAGUCCGAAUCAUGUUAGCAAUUGCCGCCUUUUAUGAUUAUGAAAUUUGGCAAAUGGACGUCAAAACAGCGUUCCUUAACGGGAACCUUAAGGAAGAGUUGUAUAUGAUGCAACCAGAAGGUUUUGUCGACCCUAAGGGUGCUAACAAAGUGUGCAAGCUCCAGCGCUCCAUAUAUGGGCUGGUGGAAGCAUCUCGGAGUUGGAACAUUCGCUUUAAUGAGGUGAUUAAAGCGUUUGGGUUCAUACAGGUUUACGGAGAAGCCUGUCUGUACAAGAAAGUGAGUGGGAGCUCUGUAGCUUUCCUCGUACUAUAUGUGGAUGACAUAUUAUUGAUGGGGAAUGAUAUAGAGAUGUUGGAGAGCAUAAAGGCCUAUUUGAACAAGAGUUUUUCAAUGAAGGACCUUGGAGAAGCUGCAUACAUAUUAGGCAUCAAGAUCUAUAGAGAUAGAUUGAGACGCCUCAUAGGUCUUUCGCAAAGUACAUACCUUGACAAGAUAUUGAAGAAGUUCAAUAUGGAAAACUCAAAGAAAGGGUUCUUGCCAGUUUUGCAAGGUAUAAGAUUGAGUAAGACUCAGUCGCCGACCACGGCAGCAGAUAGAGAGAUGAUGAGUUCUGUCCCCUACGCUUCAGCCGUGGGCUCUCUAAUGUAUGCCAUGCUGUGUACCAGACCUGAUAUAAACCUUGCCAUAAGCUUGGUAGGGAGGUACCAAAGUAAUCCCGGUGUAGAACACUGGACAACGGUCAAGAAUAUCCUUAAGUACCUGAAAAGGACUAAGGAAAUGUUUCUCGUUUAUGGAGGUGACGAAGAGCUCGUCGUAAAGGGUUACGUCGACGCUAGCUUCGACACAGAUCCGGAUGACUCUAAGUCACAAACCGGAUACGUAUAUGUGUUGAAUGGUGGGGCAGUGAGCUGGUGCAGCAGCAAGCAAGAAGUCGUGGCAGCAUCUACAUGUGAAGCGGAGUACAUAGCUGCUUCAGAAGCGGCUCAUGAAGGAAUUUGGAUGAAGGAGCUCAUCACCGACCUUGGAGUGGUUCCAAGCGCGUCGGGUCCUAUGACACUCUUCUGUGAUAACACUGGAGCCAUUUCCAUAGCUAAGGAGCCCAGGUUUCACCGGAAGACGAAGCACAUCAAGCGCCGCUACAACUCCAUCCAGGACCAUGUCCAGAGUGGAGUGAUAGAUAUUUGUAAAGUACACACGGAUCUGAAUAUUGCAGACCCGUUGACUAAACCUCUUCCACGAGCAAAACAUGAUCAACACCAUGAUGCUAUGGGUGUUCGAUACAUCACAAUGUAACUAGAUUAUUGACUCUAGUGCAAGUGGGAGACUGUUGCAAAUAUGCCCUAGAGGCAAUAAUAAAAUGGUUAUUAUCAUAUUUCCUUGUUCAUGAUAAUCGUCUAUCGUUCAUGCUAUAAUUGUAUUAAUAGGAAACAGUAAUACAUGUGUGAAUGAAUAGAUCACAAUGUGUCCCUAGAAAGCCUCUAGUUGGCUAGCUCGUUAGUCAAUAGAUGAUCAUUGUUUCCUGAUCAUGGACAUUGGAUGUCAUUGAUAACGGGAUCACAUCAUUGGGAGAAUGAUGUGGUGGACAAGACCCAAUCCUAAGCCUAGCACUAGAUCGUAUUGUUCGUAUGCUAAUGCUUUUCUAAUGUCAAGUAUCUUUUCCUUCGACCGUGAGAUUGUGCAACUCCCGGAUACCGUAGGAGUGCUUUGGGUGUAUCAAACGUCACAACGUAACUGGGUGACUAUAAAGGUGCACUACGGGUACCUCCGAAAGUGUCUGUUGGGUUGGCACGAAUCGAGAUCGGGAUUUGUCACUCCGUGUGACGGAGAGGUAUCUCUGGGCCCACUCGGUAGAACAUCAUCAUGAGCUCAAUGUGACUAAGGAGUUAGUCACACGAUGACGUGCUACGGAACGAGUAAAGAGACUUACCGGUAACGAGAUUGAACAAGGUAUAGGUAUACCGACGAUCGAAUCUCGGGCAAGUUCUAUACCGACAGACAAAGGGAAUCGUAUACGGGAUUGAUUGAAUCCUUGACAUCGUGGUUCAUCCGAUGAGAUCAUCGUGGAGCUAGUGGGAGCCACCAUGGGUAUCCAGACCCCGCUGAUGGUUAUUGGCCAGAGAGGUGUCUCGGUCAUGUCUGCCUGUCUCCCGAACCCGUAGGGUCUACACACUUAAGGUUCGAUGACGCUAGGGUUAUAGGGAAUUGUUAUACGAGAUUACCGAAAGUUGUUCGGAGUCCCGGAUGAGAUCCCGGACGUCACGAGGAGCUCCGGAAUGGUCCGGAGGUAAAGAUUGAUAUAUAGGACGGAUGGUUUCGGACACCGGAAGUGUUUCGGGCAUCACCGGUAACGUACCGGGACCACCGGGACCACCGGAGGUGGUCCCGGGGGACCACCGAAGGGGGGUGACGACCCCGGGAGGCUAGAUGGGCUAAGUGGGGAAGGGAACCAGCCCCUAAGUGNNNNNNNNNNNNNNNNNNNNNNNNNNNNNNNNNNNNNNNNNNNNNNNNNNNNNNNNNNNNNNNNNNNNNNNNNNNNNNNNNNNNNNNNNNNNNNNNNNNNNNNNNNNNNNNNUGUUUCCUGAUCAUGGACAUUGGAUGUCAUUGAUAACGGGAUCACAUCAUUGGGAGAAUGAUGUGGUGGACAAGACCCAAUCCUAAGCCUAGCACUAGAUCGUAUUGUUCGUAUGCUAAUGCUUUUCUAAUGUCAAGUAUCUUUUCCUUCGACCGUGAGAUUGUGCAACUCCCGGAUACCGUAGGAGUGCUUUGGGUGUAUCAAACGUCACAACGUAACUGGGUGACUAUAAAGGUGCACUACGGGUACCUCCGAAAGUGUCUGUUGGGUUGGCACGAAUCGAGAUCGGGAUUUGUCACUCCGUGUGACGGAGAGGUAUCUCUGGGCCCACUCGGUAGAACAUCAUCAUGAGCUCAAUGUGACUAAGGAGUUAGUCACACGAUGACGUGCUACGGAACGAGUAAAGAGACUUACCGGUAACGAGAUUGAACAAGGUAUAGGUAUACCGACGAUCGAAUCUCGGGCAAGUUCUAUACCGACAGACAAAGGGAAUCGUAUACGGGAUUGAUUGAAUCCUUGACAUCGUGGUUCAUCCGAUGAGAUCAUCGUGGAGCUAGUGGGAGCCACCAUGGGUAUCCAGACCCCGCUGAUGGUUAUUGGCCAGAGAGGUGUCUCGGUCAUGUCUGCCUGUCUCCCGAACCCGUAGGGUCUACACACUUAAGGUUCGAUGACGCUAGGGUUAUAGGGAAUUGUUAUACGAGAUUACCGAAAGUUGUUCGGAGUCCCGGAUGAGAUCCCGGACGUCACGAGGAGCUCCGGAAUGGUCCGGAGGUAAAGAUUGAUAUAUAGGACGGAUGGUUUCGGACACCGGAAGUGUUUCGGGCAUCACCGGUAACGUACCGGGACCACCGGGACCACCGGAGGUGGUCCCGGGGGACCACCGAAGGGGGGUGACGACCCCGGGAGGCUAGAUGGGCUAAGUGGGGAAGGGAACCAGCCCCUAAGUGGGCUGGUGCGCCCCCACCCAGCCCAUGUGCACCAGAAAAAAGGGGAAGGGGGGGGGGAACCCUAACUAAGGUGGGCCUUAGGCCCACCAGAGGGGUGCGCCAUCCCUCCUCCUUGCCCUGGCCGCCACUCCCCCCAUCUGGGAGGGCUGCCGCACCCCCUAGGGUGGGAACCCUAGGGGUGGCACCCCCUCUCCCCUUCCCCUAUAUACAGUGGGCACUUUUGGCCUUUGGAGGACACGGUUUUCCCUCUCCCUCGGCGCAGCCCUGCACUUCUUCCUCCUCCUCUCUGCCGGCGCUUGGCGAAGCCCUGCCGGGAGACCUCGUCUCUCCACCAACACCACGCCGUCGUGUUGCUGGUCUUCUUCCCCAACCUCUCCCUCCUCCUUGCUGGAUCAAGGUGCGGGAGACGUCACCGGGCUGCACGUGUGUUGAACGCGGAGGUGCCGUUGUUCGGCACUAGAUCGGAAUCGCUGCGAGUACGACUCCAUCAACCACGUUCUAGCAACGCUUCCACUUAGCGAUCUUCAAAGGUAUGAAGAUGCUCUUACCCCUCUCUCGUUGCUGGUCUCUCCAUAGGAAGAUCUGAACAUGCGUAGGAAAAUUUUGAAUUUAUGCUACGUUACCCAACAUAAAAGAGGUGAGGUAUCUAUGUUGAAUUGGUUGCUCAAGUGCUUAGAGACACCCAACAAAAAUACUCAGCCAUUCUCCCACAAAAUUCACUGUCCAAAAGCCUAAACAUCAAAAUCGGUGCUUGAUACGUUAAGUUUUGAUUGUUGCAUGUUAUUAUAUUAUCUAUUUUGGAUGUUUUAUGUGCAUUUAUAUGCCGUUUUAUAUUAUUUUUAUGACUAACCUAUUAAUCUAGAGCCUAGUGCCAGUUUCUGUUUUUUCUACGUUUUUGAGCAUUGCAAAUAAGGAAUAUUGAACGGGGUCCAAACGGAAUAAAAUAUCCUGAAAGAUUUUUCUUGGACUAGAAGACACGCAACAGACUUGAAGUAGGGGGCAAGCCAAUUGCCGGGAGGCCACAAGCCUGCAGGGCGAGCCAUGGGGGGAUGGCCGCGCCCCUUGGCUUGUGGGCCCCCCUAGAGGUCUCCUAACCCAAUUCUUCGGCAUAUAAAUUCCCAAAUAUGUAGUACUUGAUGAGUUAUGCAUGCCCGCUUAUACAACCCAGCUUUCAGUGGAUCCUACUAAUCAUAGAUCCCGACGAGGCAAAAGUUGAAGUACUGGACUCACUGGAAAAAAGAUCGUAAAGAGUAAAUGACCUGAAGUUGAUGUCCGACAGGUAAUUUCAAUCAUUAUCGCACUAUGUCGGCCUCUUUAGUUCCUUUCCUGAUAUCAAGUAAUCAAUGACUCCUUUAUUCUUUUUCUUUGCCGGGCAGACUUUAGACACGGUUCAUCCAGAAGGUUCGUGGUGAAUGGAAACCAAAGCUGAUAUGGGUACGAUCUAAGGUAAUAAAGUAGUACUAGCUACGUCCGCGCAUCUACUUGGUUCUAGUUUUAAUAUCAUUAUAAUGCUUGAUUAUUAUCUGACUGCAUUCUAUUCUCGUAAUGUGGUGCAUGCGGCAGGAACAAGAGACUAAUCUAUGUGCAUACUAUGUUUGCGACAACAUUCGCUUUAUGACCGAACGGCGCCCAGAUGCAAGAACUCUUUGGAUACGUAAACAUGGUCUAAUAUAUACACACAACUAAUAUAUUCAUAUUGGUCUCCUUUUUUAAAGAUGAAGGGGAUGCGGGAUAGGCUCCUACCAAAGGAACGCAUAUAAGCACUUUAAGUGAAAAUUGCGGGAUUUUUGCUUGAGCAGGUCAUAGAUCCCGACGUAGAAUACCACUACACCAAUUAAUACAUGCAUGUAAUGAUCUGCAAGUUGUAGGACAAAUUGUAUACUAUAUAAUACGACCAUUUGGGGCACCUAGGUGUCCAGGCUCCUUGACUUUUCACCGUUCGAUUGCAUUAUGGGUCAACCAUCAUAAAUUACAGAUUUGGAAAUAAUCACGCCAUGCAUGGUAACUUUUUUGUGGGAAGAAAAUGAUGACAUGCAUGCUACCUUCCUUAUUAAGAAACGUUUGUAAUAAGAAUUGGAGAGAAAACUAGUAAUUAAGGCCUUAUUAUUGUGUCUUGAACGUCCAUGACGUUGCGUAUAUGUACAUUUUUUUCAUAUGUGUGCAUACACAUUGGGUUGAUACAUACAAUUUUUUAUUAAUUAUUUCAAAUUAAGUUAGUAUUUUCUUUUCCAACCAUUUUGUGACUUUGGGUAACAUAUACCUGUGGAUGCCAUAUUUCACGUAGACAAAUAUAUGUAGCCAUACUUUACUUUAUAUACAUUGAUGAGAUACCUACAAUAUUUUCGUAUCUUUUUUGACCUAGUCGGGUACAUACGUGUAUAUAUUAGGUAUAUUAGGUAUAAUACCUACAAAUUGAUAUCACGGUCUAAGAAAAUGUACACGUGAUAUCUCGCGUACAUACAUAAAAGAUGUGACAUUUAUAGGUAUAUAUACAAAUAUAAUUCACAUCAAGUUAUUUAUAUUUAUAUGUAUGUUUUUAUUAGGUAUAUCAUCAAUAUGUACAUAUUCAUUUGUAUAAUCACAUCGAGGUAUGUAUAUAUUCAUGUGUAUAUUCACAUCAAAGUAUGCAUAUUUUCACUUGGUACAAUAACAACACAUAGAUAUUAAAAGUAUGACAUUUAUGUCUACAUUUUCAUUGGGUAUAACUUUGACAUGUCCAUGUUUCGUCAAGUAUAAUACCCACUAACUAGUAUCACUGUCUAUGAGGAUAUACAUAUGUACAUAUCCAGUAUGAAUGUUCAUACCAUGUUGGUUUCUGAAAGCAAUUAUUGACCAUUUAAUAUACUACUAGUACAUGCAAAUAAAAUAUGAAAAGUCAUUAUUUUGUCAAUUGAAUGUCAUGCACUAAUGAAUAUGACUUGCCAUAACCAGCCUAGGUGCACAGGCUCCUAGGUGCCCCAUAUAUAUAGGUGUCCCGCGUGGUAGUAUAUGGAACACGUGGGGUAACUACCCCUGGGUGGUAGGAUGUAUUUUUCCUAUAACGCGUGUGUGUGUGUNUCUACAAGAAAUUCUAUAAUAUAUGCAUAACGUGUAUUGUAUGUAGUAGCGUAAGAUAUAUUUGAAAUGAAAGAAAUUAAAUAGAAAACUGAAAAUGAAAAGAAAAAAUAAAUAAUAAACCCCAAAAUCUCAAAAUCCCAAAACCCCAAAUCUCCGAAGCCGUUAGUCCCGGUUGGUGUUACCAACCGGGACUAAAGGUCCCCGUUCCCCGAUGCGCGCUGCCAGCCAAGUGGAAAGGAAUUAAUCCCUGGUCGUGGCAAACCGGGACUAGGGGGGAGGGGCUUUAGUCGCAAGUUAUUAGCCCCGAUUGAUGAACCGUGACUAAAGGCCCUUACCAACCGGGAGUAAGAGCGUCUCCAUCCGCGCCCCCAACACGCCCCUCCUAGGUCUUUUUUUGCCGGCGGGCCAAAAACGCCCCAGUCGCGCCCCCAGAAACCUGUUUUCGCCGAUUAGAGCCAAAAUUAGCCCCGACGGUCUCAGGCCGAACCCAGCGCACUGGGGACCCCCAGGAGCGCCGACACUAUUAUUUGCAUGCAAAAGGCCCACUGUCAGCCUCCCACUCCCUCUCUUCCUCCUCUCUAUCUCUUGCAUGCAACAGGCCCACCCAUGUGCAUGCCUCGCCCACUUCAUCUCUUUUUCCUCUCAUCUCUCUUGACUUGUAGUGUUGGGUGGGGGCAUAGCUGGAAAACUUUUCCUCCCCAUGUCAAAAAUUUCGCCGGUAUAACCCCAACCGGGUGAAAAAGUGCCUCCUGGGAGGCCAAUGAGCGGAGAUGCUCUAAAGCCCCGUUUUCUACUAAUGAUGUAGCUAUAUCAAUGAACUCCAUUAAUAAAUUUUGGUGUCGUGCUCGUGUGAUUGCUUGGUCUUUAGAUGAUCAAUGAAAUGCGUCGAAUUAUUUUAACGACAACUGUACAAUGGAGAACUCGUGGUCAAGGCACAUGCCCAAGACUGCUUGAGCCCAUUUAUGCUUCCUCUUAACGUGCAUGAUCGAGCCCUGCUAUCCUGGCAUAAUCAAACUUGUGGGAGUAACAUUAGAAAAUUAUAUAUUACAAAUUUUUCAUAUAUCAAUGGUACGUCUAUGUUCCAUGGAUCAAUAGAAUAUCCGUUCAAUGAAAGAAGAUGUUUCUGUCGAAAGCAAAACGUCAUUGGUACUUCUUCAAUCUUAAGAACCAUUAGCUCAUUCUUUUGGGUGUGUUCAUAAGAGUAUGAUGUGCUUGAAUGUGUUUAUGCGAAUGAGUGUGUAUACGUAUUGUAGAGCUCAAGGUCACUGCCGCCAGUAUCAUAUUGUUAACUAAUCAGCCGCAUCAUUUUCACCUCUGAUAGUAAAAACACGAGGGGCGCACAGUCAAGGCACAUGUUCAUGACAAAGUAUGGUUAAGUGUAUUUAUUUCUUCAAUUUUAUAACUAACUUAUGGACGUCUUACUGAUGAACCAUAUUGGAAAGGAAAAUGAAGUGCAGGGUCAUGAUGAUCACACUACUAGAAUUUUCAACUAUGCCUACAGCCAGAUGCCGUCGGCAUAGCGCUCCUACCGUCGGCAUAGCUCUAUGCCGACGGCAGCCGUCGGCAUAUCCCCGUCGCCAUAGAACACGUCAGCGUAGAUGCCACGGCCGUCGGCACAGAAAAGCUGUCGGCAUAGGUAUCUAUGCCUACGGCUUUCUUACAGCCGUCGGCGUAGUUUGACCCUCGGCAUAUUUUUUCAUGAAACGGUUUCUAACGGCGCCGUUACUCCACCGGCCGUCCAGCGGAGUGACGCGUGGCGCAUCUAUGCCUACAGCCAGGCCAUCGACAUAGAUUGUAGAUGUCCUGCGCCGGCCGUCUUUCGUAAUGACACGUGCCUCAUGUAUGCCUACGGCAAUGCCGUCGGCAGAGAUCGUAAAUAUAUGCCGACAGCUAGGCCGUAGGCAUAGAUUCGCCACGUGUCGGCUACUGGUGGCAUACCUAUACGCCGACGGUCUAGCCGUCGGCACAAAUGUGGCACGUGGCAGCAACUGGCUACUUGGCCAUAUCUAUGCCGACAGCAAAGCUGUAGGCAUAGUUACACUCUGUUUUUUUUAUAUAUUUCUUGUUUUGACAAUUUCAUUCAAAAUCAACACAAUAAUAUGACAGCAAAUAUGACAUCACACUAAGAUCAUCAUAAAGUCCAACAUCAUCAUCAUCAUCUCACAUAAAGUUCAACAACAUCAUCAUCAUCCCACAUAAAAGUUCAACAUCAUCAUCUCACAAAUAUCACAUAAAGUUCAAUAUGACAACACAUAUCAUGAUUAUCUCAAGAACAUCAUCUAAUGAACACAAGUAGAAACUUAAAGAACAUCAUCAAAACUCGACGGAGCAGCAGUCGAGUCACCAGUCCCCUACAUGUUUGAGAAAAGAUUGUAAGGAUAAAUAUAAUAUAAUAGUGUUGAUUGAACGAGAGCUAGUUUGUCAAUCGUUAGGUAAAUGUACUAACCGGAGUCUGACUGCAUAGUGUCACCCAUUCAUCGAAUGUGGGUACAUGUGGGGGUUCUCCAGUAGGUGGUGGUGGGGGUACCAUUUGUGGUGGCUCCGCGCGGUUAUUCCAAGACGCCGCUAUAGCCUGGAUGUUAGUUAACCAAGCAAACUAGAAGGUCAGAAGGAAUGAAUGUGCAAAUUUUAGCUUGGUUUGAAGAGGGCAAAACUAACCGCCAUCAUCCCACGAUUGUAAUUCACGUUUGCCUUCAUUAGGCGCAUGUACUCCUGCACCUCGAGAUUCCUACGCUCGACAAAGGCCAUGUAUGCCUACAAAAAUUAGGUUGUUUGUAAGUGAACAAUGUUGAAAAUAAAUUAAAAAAGUGAGAAAGAAAGAUGAUAAGGGGAUAAUUACUUACAUCAUGCUGGGGGUCUGAGGGAGGUUGCGAACGCCCCUUACUGCUGCACGGGCUCGGAUUGGUAGCCCGCAGUUGUGUGUAAGAGACUGAAGGAGUGAUCAAGCCAUCGAAACACGGAUAGCGGCCAUGGGCCUUCCCCUGAAUAGACAUCACCGCCGUCUCAUCAAUCUGAGAUUCGAUCACGUCAGGAGCAUCCGGACCAGGCGGAUGCAACCUCUCAAAUUGUUCCUUGUAGGACUCUAUCUGCUCCUCUGUAUUGCCAUAGUACUUGCUCUCGCCUUCCUUGGGAUUAGUCCUAGCACGGGCCAUCACCCAUGACUGUAUGUCUGAGAGUGACCUCUUCAACUUGGCCUCCUGCAACGUCAGACGAAAGUUAGCCAUACAUAGAAAACAUGAUGGUAAAUAUAAAAAGAAGAACAAAAAUGAACCAUGCAUAUAGAUAUACCUUCAUUGCCUUGAAGCCCCAGUGGUUCCUGUUUCCUUGGCCGUGUGUCCCGUCUUUUCCACGGUUAGCCCGGGCCCUGCUGCUCUUGGCAGCAAACUCUGCAUCGUCGCCGAGCCACCUAUCCACCGACCUAGCCCAUCCAUCACCCUUUCCCAAGCACCAUUUAGGAAUAACCUAAAAAAUGGAAGCAUGACAUGUCAGCACAGAACAACAUGUCAGCACAAAACAAUGAAAUUGAUUGCUUAUACGUUGGAUUGAAAAGUCUCUAAUACUUACCAUCAUGUACUGCUCCCUGUUCAAGGUAAGUCGUUGCUUCAUUUUUGCUCAUCUUUUGAUUAAGGUAGGUGUGAUAGUAGUGCGAGACGGCAACCCAACGCACCUCGUACAGGAACUGACGAGCUUUAUUCUUCACAGCCGCCAGCAAGACCCCAUCGGCUAUGGCCUUGUGCUCGUCAAGAACUCUAUAGAAUUCCUGCAAUCAUGCAUAAAACCAGAAGUAAACAAGGCAUGAGUUGAGUGAUUCAAUGACAAACUAUGACUGAAACUGAAGACAAGUGAUUCAGAAGAGAACUUACCCAAAAUUUGGUGAUCACGGCCUUAGCGGCCGUCCCGUAUGCCGCGUGGCUGGAAGCCUCGGAGUGGGCCCAGCUCGUGGCCAAAACCCACAGCUCCGACUCCUUGUCUGGCCGCGGCUGGAAUAGGCCCGGCCAAAACUCCUUCAACAGGACAGUGAUAAGGCCGUUCGGUUUACGGCCCUUUCCGUGAACCUCCCAGUUACUGCAAAAGAAUCAAAGAAUUGGCAUAUGUACAAUAAGAAAAUGUUGUCAUGUGUUCAAAAAUAUGAUUGAGAGGCACUUACUCUAUCCCCUUCGGUGUAAUGAGCACCUUGUCCGCCUCGACAGAAGGUGGUGUAGGUAGUUUUGCAAUACCACGUAGCCACCCCUUCAGAGCACCAGACGGCAAAUCACCCCACAACUCGGCGUCAACCUCCCCUCCACCACCCUCCCCCUCACCGUCCUCCUCCUCCUCCUCGCACUCCUCCUCACCCUCCGCACCCUCACACUNCCUCCACCACCCUCCCCCUCACCGUCCUCCUCCUCCUCCUCAGACUCAGAAGCUGCCUCAGUAUAGGAGGGCAUCGAAGAAGACCCCCCUAUUUCGGACACAACCCGGAGUUUUUUGAUUCUUUUGCCUCUCCCCCCACCUCCUCCUCCUCUAGGGGCUCCCCCCCACCCCUCCUCCUCUAGGGUCUCCUCCCCCGACCCCUCGACCUCCAUGUGAGGUGUCAUCGUCGCAUAGUCGGGGGGAACCUUGGGGACUCGUCCACUCCGAGUAAGUCCUUUGCAUUUGCUGAGGAAACCGGCGCCGCUAGACUUGCCCAUGAUUAGCUGCUUCCUUAGGGUAUUCUGUAUCGAAUGACUUCCAUGCUUCACCUUCUGAUGGAUGUACAAUUUUAUUUGGAUUGUACCUUUUCCCUUCCUUGUGCCACUUCAUCAUUUUGGCAGACUCCUCGGUGAUGAAAAGGCGCUGCAGUCUUUCUAUGAAAUGAAGAUACCGAAGAACCUUCAUAGGGAUUUUUAGCUGCUUCUUCUGACCCUGCUCAUCGACCACCUCAACAUACCGAGAGGAACCGCACUUCCUACAGUAGUUGUCACUCGCAUACUCAUGCCUAAACAAAAGGCAAUUCUUUGGACAAACAUCUAUUUUCUCAUAAUCCAUGGAGAGCGCCUUCAUUAUUUUCUUCGUAGCGUACAUGGUUUUCGGCAGUUCAUGGCCCUCAGGGAGGCUGUUAGCCCAUACUCCUAGAAAUGCUUCGAAGCAAUUUUGGCUACAGCCGUACUCGGCCUUCACUGUCAUCAGUUGCGAGAUGGCAUCCAACACAGAGAGCUUGGCACCCUCAUAAAGAGGUUUCUUUGACGAGGCCAAGAUAUCCAGGACAAGAUAUCCAGGAAGGCCUUUGUGGUUUCCUCCGGCUCCUCCGGUUCAUUCGCAGAAUGUGAUGCAGGUGCCGGUUGUGCAGCAAAGACAUCAUCUAGCAUGUCUCUAACCCCAUCGUCCUCAUAACCAACGAUGCGUUGUCGUAUCACCUCCUCUCUACCACGGUCCGUUGGGCAAAGUUUAUCGGCAUAUUAAAGUUUGGCAUAAAUCCAUGCGUGCGAAGGUGAUUAGUCAUCUCACUCUUAUCUCUGCGCAUACGUCUCUUACAUUUGGCACAGGGGCAUUCUGGCACCAUCCUCAUUGGACUGCGGUGUCUCUUUCAAAAACACAUCAGUUUUCUCGACCCACUCUGCUGUUACUUGAUUCCGACGGAAAAACCCACUAUACAUCCAUUGAUUAUCUGCCAUCUCUGAUUUAUUGGAGCCACAGAACAAAAUUAAGGAUUUAUUUAAAUUACUCACAUCAAUGUUUUAUUUUUUAUAGGGUUGACGAGAAACGACAUCUAAUUAACCUACAUCUCUAAUAGGUAAAGAUGGGUCCUAAUCCCACCCAAGAAUGUAUAGAUUGAGUACGUUGUCCAUGCUCUACCCCAUUCCGAGACAGAAUUUCGGCAACACCUCCCCGCUGUUCUCCAAAUACACGUCUCGGAAAAUACCGGGAGAAUGUGCAUCCGAAAAACAACGGGGAGGUGCCGCCGAAAUCCUGUCUCGCAACGGGGUAGAGCAUGGACAACGUACCCAAUCUACACAUCCUCGGACUGUCCGUGGAAAACGCUGGACAAUCCGAAAGAGUUGCGGUGAUAAAUAUGCAAUUGAAUGCAUAUUUAUCGAUGCAACGCUUUCGGACGGGAGACGCCUAGGUUAGGCGACUUGAUGUGAAAAUGAAAUCUAGUGACAUGGAAAAAAAGCAAACGAGGUGCUGGAAUUGUUACUCACCCUCCAAUGUAGAGGAUGUAGUGGAUCAGAGGAGGUACGAUCGUCGACCAACACCUCCAACGUCGAUGAUCUCUCCACGAAGAUGAAACAUCACAAAUCCUGUUAAUUCCACCGAAUGAAAAAAAUAGGUCAUCACGUCACAUUAAGCAUUGACACUUUAAACCAUAGGUUUGAGGCACUGAUAAGAUAAAAGUAGAAAAAAUCUUCACUUAAACAGCAUGCCUUUAAAAAAUUUAAAUAGGAGUAUAAGACAAUACUAUAGAUAAAUAGACAAUUACAAACAAGACGCCCAAGGGAGCAACGCCGAAACUAGUGACACGUCUGAAGGAAGCCUGACUAAAUUCAGAGAUUCAUGGUAGAGGCGUUGUCUGUGUCAUCUUCUACUGGUCUGAAGCCUGAACAGGCCAUUCUGUGUGUGGUUUAGAAUGUGCUUAAAAGAGGUCAAAAUAUGAUGGCUAACUAUUUUCAGAAGGUGAAGAUCAAUUGGCUAAAUAAUUGCGGGGAACAUAUGAACUUAUCCUCUGGACAAUACGGUUCCAUGUAAUAAGUGCAAUGCUUGUACACACAUUUGACUUAUUAAUAUAUACACUUGUGUGCUAUAUCAUGUGCGUUUAGCUGGGCUGGUGUAUGUUAUACAGUAUAUGUUUACAUAAUAACGAAGCUAGCAGCUGUAAUAUCAGCAGCACUUAAUUAUUGUCCCUUGGAGCGAAGUUUUAUGCAGACCGGAGGUUUCUCAGAUAUUUGUUCAUCUUGACAGAAUUAGUAACAUGCUCACUCAUGACCAGACAAGAAAUUUCCUAAAGCUGACCAUAUUCACCUACACAUCUAGAACGUUGUUAGAUCUUCUUAUCACGGGGCUCCACUCCCCUUCAGUUUCUUUAUUCUCAGAAAACAGCAAGUUAAUAUAUAUGGGUAGCAUAAUAGGUCCAUCAGAUUUCAUUUUUCAGAGAACCGAUGGAGCUCUGCUAUGCCCGGAAGUUUUCCUGUGAAAUCUCUUCUCCACGAACAAGGCUAUAUUUACUUUGCAAACUGAGAACACCACCAAGUGAGGAACUGUGAAUCACUUUGUAGUUGUAUCCUGCUAUUUUCCCGUGUCAGGACCAUGUGUGUACAAGCAGGUGGAGGCCCCAGGACCAUGUACAAGAACAAGAAACUGUACAAGGCCUAACCUGGGAGUGGCGGUGAUGGCGGCAGGGGGGAGGUGACGGCGGCGGCGGCCGCAGGUGGAGGAGGCGACGGCGGCAGCAGGUGGAGGCNCGACGGCGGCAGGUGGAGGCGGCGGCGGCGCGGGUGUGGACGAGAUGGAGUUUUACCGUGGCUGAGAGGAUAAGUUACCUCGUGGCUCUGUUACCUCGUGGCUGGGAGGAUAAGUCCUCUCUAUGCCGACGGCUUAGCCGUAGGCAUACAUGAGGACCCACAUGGCACGGAGUAGAGGAGGUAUGCCGCCCGACCAGAUAUUGCCGCGGAUCAGUGACGUGGCAGGGAAUGUGCCGACAGCUAGGCCGUCGGCGUACCUCCAUUUAAUUUUUNNNNNNNNNNNNNNNNNNNNNNNNCUUUAUUUUUAUAUAAUUUUUUAAGAACUUUUUUUAUGUGCAGUAUUUUUAAAAAACUUUUUUAUAUAUACCGACGCGCACCUUUGCCCCGCUCACAAAGACGGCACCAGUGCAUGAGGACCCAACGCAGCUAUUUUCCCCCUCAAAGUGACGGCGACACUGCCGUACAUGAAGGGGGGCACACCCCGGAGCGUCGCGACGGGUGUCUACGCAUGUCACAUCACUUUCACACAUGCAUGAGGACCCAACGCGAUGUUUUGGUGGCAUAGCUACCCCCGACACCCACCCGAUCGGACUAACCCUACCCCGUUGACCCGUAGAUCUAGGCCUUUGACUUGCGUCGGACGGGCUUUGACCAGUCGUUUCGAUAGGUCAGCCCAUAGGAACAUGUAAGAACAUGGUCUCAGUCCAACCCAUCACUAGGUUCCCUCCAUGUCGACCCGACGCGGCUAUUUCCCCCCUCAAAGAGACGGCGACAGUGUCGUACAUGAAGGGGGGCACAACCCGGAGCGUCGGGACGGGUGUCUACGCAUGUCACAUCACUUUCACACAUGCAUGAGGACCCGACGCGAUGUUUCGGUGGCAUAGCUACCCCCGACAGCCACCCAACCGGACUAACCCUAGCCCCGUUGACACGGAGAUCUAGGCCUUUGACUUUCGCCGAAACAGGCUUUGAACAGUGCACUCGUCAGCCUGGUUAUGAUAGCUCAGCCCGUAGAAUCAUCCAUGAACACGGCCUCGGCCCAACCCACCACUAGAUUUCCUCCGGCUUGACCCGACGCACACGUUUCCCCCUCAAAGUGACUGCGGCAGUGCCAUCCAUGAUGGGGGGACACACACCGGAGCAUCGCGACGUGCGUCUCUCGAUGUCACAUCACUUUCACACAUGCAUGAGGACCCGAUGCGAUGUUUCGGUGGCAUAGCUACCCCCGACAGCCACCCGAUCGGACUAACCCUAGCCCCGUUGACCCGUAGAUCUAGGCCUUUGACUUGCGUCGGAUGGACUUUGACCAAUGGACUCUUCCACCUCGUCCCGAUAGGUGAGCACAUAGAAACAUGUAAGAACAUUGUCUGAGUCCAACUCAUCACUAGGUUCCCUCCAUGUCGACCCGACACGGUUAUUUUCCCCCUCAAAGUGACGACGACAUUGUCGUACAUAAAGGGGGGACACACACGGGAGCGCCGCGACGGGCGUCUACGCAUGUCACAUCACUUUCACACAUGCAUGAGGACCCGAGCGAUGUUUUGUUAGCAUAUCUACCCCUGACGGCCACCCGAUCGCAAUAACCCUAGCCCCGUUGAACCGUAGAUGCCUUUGACUUCUGUCGGACGGGCUUUGACCAGUUGACUCUUCCACCUCGUUUCAAUAGGUCAGCCCAUAGGAACAUGUAAGAACAUGGUCUGGGUCCAACCCAUCACUAGGUUACCUCCAUGUCGACCCGACACGGCUAUUUCCCCCCCUCAAAGAGACGACGGUAUUGCCGUACAUGAAGGGGGCACACCCGGAAAGCCGCGACGGGCGUCUAUGCAUGUCACAUCGCUUUCACACAUGCAUGAGAAUCCGAGCGAUGUUUCGGUGGCAUAGCUACCCCCGACAGCCAUCCGAUUGCACUAACCCUAGCCCAGUUUACCCGUAGAUCUAGGCCUUUGACUUGCGUCGGACGGGCUUUGACCAGUGGACUCUUCCACCUUGUUUCGAUAGGUCAGCCCAUAGGAACAUGUAAGAACAUGGUCUAAGUCCAACCCAUCACUAGGUUACCUCCAUGUCGACCCGACGCGGCUAUUUCCCCCCUCAAAGUGACGGCGGCAUUGCCGUACAUGAAGGGGGCACACACCGGAGAGCCACGACAGUUGUCUACGCAUGUCACUGUUGGAAUUAUGCCCUAGAGGCAAUAAUAAAUAUAUAGUUAUUAUUAUAACUCCUGUAUCAAGAUAAUAGUUUAUUGUCCAUGCUAUAAUUGUAUUGAAUGAAGACUCAUUUACAUGUGUGGAUACAUAGACAAAACACCGUCCCUAGCAUGCCUCUAGUUGGCUAGCCAGUUGAUCGAUGAUAGUCAGUGUCUUCUGAUUAUGAACAAGGUGUUGUUGCUUGAUAACUGGAUCACGUCAUUGGGAGAAUCACGUGAUGGACUAGACCCAAACUAAUAGACGUAGCAUGUUGAUCGUGUCAUUUUGUUGCUACUGUUUUCUGCGUGUCAAGUAUUUAUUCCUAUGACCAUGAGAUCAUAUAACUCACUGACACCGGAGGAAUGCUUUGUGUGUAUCAAACGUCGCAACGUAACUGGGUGACUAUAAAGAUGCUCUACAGGUAUCUCCGAAGGUGUUAGUUGAGUUAGUAUGGAUCAAGACUGGGAUUUGUCACUCCGUGUGACGGAGAGGUAUCUCGGGGCCCACUCGGUAAUACAACAUCACACACAAGCCUUGCAAGCAAUGUAACUUAGUGUAAGUUGCGGGAUCUUGUAUUACGGAACGAGUAAAGAGACUUGCCGGUAAACGAGAUUGAAAUAGGUAUGCGGAUACUGACGAUCGAAUCUCGGGCAAGUAACAUACCGAAGGACAAAGGGAAUGACAUACGGGAUUAUACGAAUCCUUGGCACUGAGGUUCAAACGAUAAGAUCUUCGUAGAAUAUGUAGGAUCCAAUAUGGGCAUCCAGGUCCCGCUAUUGGAUAUUGACCGAGGAGUCUCUCGGGUCAUGUCUACAUAGUUCUCGAACCCGCAGGGUCUGCACACUUAAGGUUCGACGUUGUUUUAUGCGUAUUUGAGUUAUAUGGUUGGUUACCGAAUGUUGUUCGGAGUCCCGGAUGAGAUCACGGACGUCACGAGGGUUUCCGGAAUGGUCCGGAAACGAAGAUUGAUAUAUAGGAUGACCUCAUUUGAUUACCGGAAGGUUUUCGUGCAUUACCGGAAAAGUUUCGGGCUCAUCGGUAGUGUACCGGGAGUGCCGGGAGGGGUGCCGGGGACCAUCGGGAGGGGUGUCACGCCCCAAGGGGUCUCAUGGGCUAUGGGAAGAGAUAAACCAGCCCCUAGUGGGCUGGAAUAAGUUCCCACUAAGACCCAUAAGGUUUGAGAAGGAAAAAACACAAGGUGGAAAGAGUUUCCAAGUGGGAAGGUGGAAUCCUACUCCAAGUAGGAUUGGAGUAGGACUCCUCCACCUCCAAUUUCGGCCAAACCUUUAGGUUUUGAGGCUGCCUCCUCCCCUCCCUCCCACCUAUAUAUACGGAGGUUUUAGGGCUGAUUUGAGACGACUUUCUCACGGCUGCCCGACCACAUACCUCCAUAGUUUUUCCUCUAGAUCGCGUUUCUGCGGAGCUUGGGCGGAGCCCUGCUGAGACAAGAUCAUCACCAACCUCCGGAGCGCCGUCACGCUGCCGGAGAACUCUUAUACCUCUCCGUCUCUCUUGCUGGAUCAAGAAGGCCGAGAUCAUCGUCGAGUUGUACGUGUGCUGUACGCGGAGGUGCCGUCCGUUCGGUACUAGAUCGUGGGACUGAUCGCGGGAUUGUUCGCGGGGCGGAUCGAGGGACGUGAGGACGUUCCACUACAUCAACCGCGUUCACUAACGCUUCUGCUGUACGAUCUACAAGGGUACGUAGAUCACUCAUCCCCUCUCGUAGAUGGACAUCACCAUGAUAGGUCUUCGUGCGCGUAGGAAUUUUUUUGUUUCCCUUGCGACGUUCCCCAACAGUGGCAUCAUGAGCUAGGUUCAUGCGUAGAUGUCUUCUCGAGUAGAACACAAAAGGUUUUGUGGGCGGUGAUGUGCGUUUUGCUGCCCUCCUUAGUCUUUUCUUGAUUCCGCGGUAUUGUUGGAUUGAAGCGGCUUGGACCGACAUUACUCGUACGCUUACGAGAGACUGGUUUCAUCGUUACGAGUAACCCCCUUUGCUCAAAGAUGACUGGCAAGUGUUGGUUUCUCCAACUUUAGUUGAAUCGGAUUUGACCGAGGAGGUCCUUGGAUGAGGUUAAAUAGCAACUCAUAUAUCUCCGUUGUGGUGUUUGCGUAAGUAAGAUGCGAUCCUACUAGAUACCCUUGGUCACCACGUAAAACAUGCAACAACAAAAUUAGAGGACGUCUAACUUGUUUUUGCAGGGUAUGAUUGUGAUAUGAUGUGGCCAACGAUGUGAUGUGAUAUAUUGGAUGUAUGAGAUGAUCAUGUUGUAAUAGAAAUAUCGACUUGCACGUCGAUGGUACGGCAACCGGCAGGAGCCAUAGGGUUGUCUUUAUACUAACAUAUGUGCUUGCAGAUGCGUUUACUAUUUUGCUAGGCUGUAGCUUUAGUAGUGAUAGCAUAAGUAGCACGACAACCACGAUGGCAACACGUUGAUGGAUGAUCAUGGUGUGGCGCCGGUGACAAGAAGAUCGUGCCGGUGCUUUGGUGAUGGAGAUCAAGAAGCACGUGAUGAUGGCCAUAUCAUGUCACUUAUGAAUUGCAUGUGAUGUUAAUCCUUUUAUGCACCUUAUUUUGCUUAGAACGACGGUAGCAUUAUGAGGUGAUCUCUCACUAAAAUUUCAAGACGAAAUUGUGUUCUCCCCGACUGUGCACCGUUGCGACAGUUCUUCGUUUCGAGACACCACGUGAUGAUCGGGUGUGAUAGACUCAACGUUCACAUACAACGGGUGCAAAACAGUUGCACACGCAGAACACUCGGGUUAAGCUUGACGAGCCUAGCAUGUGCAGACAUGGCCUCGGAACACAUGAGACCGAAAGGUCGAGCAUGAAUCGUAUAGUUGAUAUGAUUAGCAUAGGGAUGCUUACCACUGAAACUAUUCUCGACUCACGUGAUGAUCGGACUUGAGAUAGUGGAUUUGGAUCAUGUACCACUCAAAUGACUAGAGAGAUGUACUUUUUGAGUGGGAGUUCUUAAGUAAUAUGAUUAAUUGAACUAAUUGUCAUGAACAUAGUCUAAUGGUCUUUGCGAAUUACGAUGUAGCUUGCGCUAUAGCUCUUCUGUUUUUUUAUGUUCCUAGAGAAAAUUUAGUUGAAAAUUGAUAGUAGCAAACUUUGCAGACUGAGUCUGUAAAACCGAGGAUUGUCCUCGUUGCUGCGCAGAAGGCUUAUGUCCUUAAUGCACCACUCGGUGUGCUGCACCUCGAGCGUCGUCUGUGGAUGCUGUGAACAUCCGACAUACACGUUCCUGAUGACUACACGAUAGUUCAGUGCAAAGUACUUAAUGGCUUGGAAGCAAGGCACCGAAAACGUUUUAAACGUCACGGAACAUAAGUGAUGUUCUAAAGAGAUGAAAUUGUGAUUUCAUGCUUGUGCCCUUGUUAAGAGGUACGAGACCUCCAACAAAAUUCUUUGACCACAAAGUAAAGGAGAAAAGCUCAAUCGUUGAGCGUGUGCUCAGAUUGUCUGAGUACGACAAUCACUUGAAUCAAGUGGGAGCUAAUCUUCCAGAUGAGAUAGUGAUGGUUCUCCAAAAGUCACUGCCACCAAGCUUUGAGAGCUUCGUGAUGAACUAUAACAUAUCAAGGAUAGAUACAAUGAUCUUUGAGAGAUUCGCGACGUUUGACACUGCGAAAGUAGAAAUCAAGAAGGAGCAUCAAUAGUUGAUGGGGGGGGGGGGGGGGGGAGUUUCAAGAAAGGCGAGGGCUAGAAGGGAUACUUCGUGAAACGGCAAAACAGUUGCUGCACUAAUGAAGAGACCCAAGAUUAAACCCAAACCCGAGACUAAGUGCUUCUGUAAUAAGGGGAACAUUCACUGAGGUGGAGCAACUCUAGAUACUUGGUAGAUAAGAAGGCUGGCAAAAGUCGAGAGAAGUAUAUUUGAUAUACAUAAUAUUGAUGUGUACUUUACUAGUACUCCUAGUAGCACGAGGGUAUUGGAUACUGGUUCGGUUGCUAAGUGAUUAGUAACGCGAAAUGAAAGCUACGGCAUAAACGGAGACUAGCUAAAGGCGAGGUGACGAUACGUGUUGGAAGUGUUUCCAAGGUUGAUAUGAUCAAACGUCACACGCCCCCUUUACCAUCGGGAUUGGUGUUGAACCUAAAUAAUUGUUAUUUGGUGCUUGCGUUAAGCAUGAACAUGAUUGGAUCGUGUUUAUUGCAAUACGAUUAUUCAUUCAAAAGGAAUAAUGGUUACUCUAUUUGCUUGAAUGAUCACCUUCAAUGGUUUAUUGAAUCUCGAUUGUAGUGUUACACAUUGGUGCCAAAAGAUACGAGUUAAAUGAUGAUAGUACCACUUACUUGUGGCAGUGCCGCUUGAGUCAUGUUAGUAUAAAUUGCAUGAAGAGGCUCCAUGAUGAUGGAUCUUUACUCACCUGAUUUCGAAUCACUAGUGACAUGCAAAUCAUACCACAUGAGAAAGGCCUUGUUUUCAUUGAGAUGAAACAAGAUAGUAACUUGUUGGAAGUGAUACAUUUUGAUGUAUGCAGUCCAGUGAGUGUUGAGGCACGCAGUGGAUAUCAUUAUGUUCUUACUUCACUGACGACUUGAGUAGAUACAGGAGUAUUUACUUAAUGAAUCACAAGUCUGAAAUAUUGAAAAGUUCAAUUCUGUUUCAGAGUGAAGUUCGUCGUAACAAGAGGAUGAACUGUCUACGAUAUGAUCAUAGAAAUGAAUAUCUGAGUUACGAAUUUUUGGUACACAGUUAAGACAAUGUGGAAAUUGUUUCACAGUUCAUGCCACCUGGAACAUCAUGGUGUGAUGAUGUGUCUGAACGUCAUAGCCACGCACUAUUUAGUAUGGUGCAUGCUGGGAUGUCUCUUAUCGAAUUACCACUAUCGUUUAUGGGUUAUGCAUUAGAGACAACCACAUUCACUUUAAAUGGGGCACCGCGUAUUUCCGUUGAGAUGACACAGUAUAGACUGAGGUUUAGAGAAAUCUAAACUGUCGUUUCUUGAAAGUUUGGGGCUUCGAAACUUAUGUGAAAAAGUUUCAGUCUGAUAAGCUCGAACCCAAAGCGGAUAAAUGCAUCUUCACAGGAUAUCCAAAACAGUUGGGUACAUCUCCUAUCUCAGAUCCGAAAGCAAAGUGUUUGUUUCUAGAAAUGGAUCCUUUCUCGAGAAAAGGUUUCUCUCGAAAGAAUUGAGUGGGAGGGUAGUAGAACUUGAUGAGGUUAUUGAACCAUCACUUCAACCAGUGUGUAGCAGGGCGUAGGAAGUUGUUCCUGUGGCGCCUACACCAAUUGAAGUGGAAGCUGAUGAUGGUGAUCAUUAAGCUUCGAAUCAAGUUACUACAAACCUCGUAGGUCGACAAGGUCGCGUACUGCUGCAGAGUAGUACGGUAACCCUGUCUUGGAGGUCAUGUUGUUGAGCAACAGUGAACCUACGAGUUAUGGAGAAAGCGAUGGUGGGCCCAGAUUCCGACAAAUGGCUGGAAGCCAUAAAAUCCGAGAGAGGAUCCAUGUGUGAAAACAAAGUGUAGACUUUGGUAGAACUACUUGAUGGUCAUGGGACUAUUGGGUAAAAUGGAUCUUUAAAAGAAGACAGACGAUGAUGGUGAUAAGUCACUAUUAAGAAAAGCUCGACUUGUCGCAAAGAUGUUUUCGACAAGAUCAAACAGUUGACUAUGAUGAGUCUUUCUCACUCGUAGCGAUGCUAAAGGUCUGUUAGAAUUAUUUUAGUAGUUGCUGCAUUAUUUAUGAAAUAUUGCACGUAGGAUGUCAAAACAUUGUUUCCUCGACGGUUUCCUUGAGCAAACAUUGUAUGUGAUACAACCAGAAGGUUUUGUCGAUCCUAAAGAUACUAGCAAGUAUGCAAGCUCCAGUGAUCCUUCAAUGGACUGGUGCAAGCAUCUCGGAGUUGGAAUAAGCACUUUGAUGAGAUGAUCAAAGAUUUUGGGUGUGUACAAGGUUUAUGAGAAACUUGUAUUUCCAAAGAAGUGAGUGGGAGCACUAUAGAAUUUCUGAUAGGUAUAUGUGGUUGACAUAUUGUGGAUCAGAAGUAAUGUAGAAUUUCUGUAAAGCAUACAAGGUUGUUUGAAAGAAGUUUUCAAAGGAGUACCUGGAUUACGCUACUUGAAGGUUGAGCAUCAAAGAUCUAUGGAGAUAGAUCGAAAGCGCUUAAUAGAAGUUUCAACAAGAUGCAUGCCUUGACAAGUUUUUGAAAGAGUUCAAAAUAGACCAGCAAAGAAGGAGUUCUUGGUUGCGUUGUGAGGUGUGAAUUUGAGUAAGACUCAAAACCCGACCACGGCAGAAUAAAGAGAAUAGAUGAAGGUCGUCUUCUAUGCCUUAGCCGUAGAAUCUAAAGUAUGCCAUGCUGUGUACCGCACCUGAAGUGUGCCUUGACUCAAAGUAUGUUGAGAGGUACAGAGAGUGAUCCAUGUUUGAAUCACUAGCAGCGGUCAAAAUUUAUCCUUAGUAACAAAUGGACUAAGGAAUUUUUCUCGAUUAUGGAGGUGGUUAAAGAGUUCGUCGUAAAGGGUAACGUCGAUGCAAGCUUUGACACUAAUCUGAAUAACUAUGAGUAGUGAAACGGAUUCAUAUAGUAGAGUGGAUAUUUGGAGCAUUUCUGAAUAGCACGUAGUAGCAGCAUCUAUAAGAUGACAUAAAGAUUUGUAAAGAACGCACGGAUCUGAAAGUUUCAGAACCGUUGACUAAAACCUCUCUCACAAGCAAGACAUGAUCAGACCCCAUAACUAUAUGGGUGUUGGAUUCGUUGGAAUCACAUGGUGAUGUGAACUAGAUUAUUGACUCUAGUGCAAGUGGGAGACUGUUGGAAAUAUGCCCUAGAGGCAAUAAUAAAUUAGUUAUUAUUAUAUUUCUUAGUUCAUGAUAAUCGUUUAUUAUCCAUGCUAUAAUUGUAUUGAUUGGAAACACAAUACUUGUGUGGAUACAUAGACAAAACACUGUCCCUAGUAAGCCUCUAGUUGACUAGCUCGUUGAUCAAAGAUGGUCAAGGUUUCCUGGCCAUAGGCAAGUGUUGUCACUUGAUAACGGGAUCACAUCAUUAGGAGAAUCAUGUGAUGGACUAGACCCAAACUAAUAGACGUAGCAUGUUGAUCGUGUCAUUUUGUUGCUACUGUUUUCUGCGUGUCAAGUAUUUAUUCCUAUGACCAUGAGAUCAUAUAACUCACUGACACCGGAGGAAUGCUUUGUGUGUAUCAAACGUCGCAACGUAACUGGGUGACUAUAAAGAUGCUCUACAGGUAUCUCCGAAGGUGUUAGUUGAGUUAGUAUGGAUCAAGACUGGGAUUUGUCACUCCGUGUGAACGGAGAGGUAUCUCGGGGCCCACUCGGUAAUACAACAUCACACACAAGCCUUGCAAGCAAUGUAACUUAGUGUAAGUUGCGGGAUCUUGUAUUACGGAACGAGUAAAGAGACUUGCCAGUAAACGAGAUUGAAAUAGGUAUACGGAUACUGACGAUCGAAUCUCGGGCAAGUAACAUACCGAAGGACAAAGGGAAUGACAUACGGGAUUAUACGAAUCCUUGGCACUGAGGUUCAAACGAUNNNNNNNNNNNNNNNNNNNNNNNNNNNNNNNNNNNNNNNNNNNNNNNNNNNNNNNNNNNNNNNNNNNNNNNNNNNNNNNNNNNNNNNNNNNNNNNNNNNNNNNNNNNNNNNNNNNNNNNNNNNNNNNNNNNNNNNNNNNNNNNNNNNNNNNNNNNNNNNNNNNNNNNNNNNNNNNNNNNNNNNNNNNNNNNNNNNNNNNNNNNNNNNNNNNNNNNNNNNNNNNNNNNNNNNNNNNNNNNNNNNNNNNNNNNNNNNNNNNNNNNNNNNNNNNNNNNNNNNNNNNNNNNNNNNNNNNNNNNNNNNNNNNNNNNNNNNNNNNNNNNNNNNNNNNNNNNNNNNNNNNNNNNNNNNNNNNNNNNNNNNNNNNNNNNNNNNNNNNNNNNNNNNNNNNNNNNNNNNNNNNNNNNNNNNNNNNNNNNNNNNNNNNNNNNNNNNNNNNNNNNNNNNNNNNNNNNNNNNNNNNNNNNNNNNNNNNNNNNNNNNNNNNNNNNNNNNNNNNNNNNNNNNNNNNNNNNNNNNNNNNNNNNNNNNNNNNNNNNNNNNNNNNNNNNNNNNNNNNNNNNNNNNNNNNNNNNNNNNNNNNNNNNNNNNNNNNNNNNNNNNNNNNNNNNNNNNNNNNNNNNNNNNNNNNNNNNNNNNNNNNNNNNNNNNNNNNNNNNNNNNNNNNNNNNNNNNNNNNNNNNNNNNNNNNNNNNNNNNNNNNNNNNNNNNNNNNNNNNNNNNNNNNNNNNNNNNNNNNNNNNNNNNNNNNNNNNNNNNNNNNNNNNNNNNNNNNNNNNNNNNNNNNNNNNNNNNNNNNNNNNNNNNNNNNNNNNNNNNNNNNNNNNNNNNNNNNNNNNNNNNNNNNNNNNNNNNNNNNNNNNNNNNNNNNNNNNNNNNNNNNNNNNNNNNNNNNNNNNNNNNNNNNNNNNNNNNNNNNNNNNNNNNNNNNNNNNNNNNNNNNNNNNNNNNNNNNNNNNNNNNNNNNNNNNNNNNNNNNNNNNNNNNNNNNNNNNNNNNNNNNNNNNNNNNNNNNNNNNNNNNNNNNNNNNNNNNNNNNNNNNNNNNNNNNNNNNNNNNNNNNNNNNNNNNNNNNNNNNNNNNNNNNNNNNNNNNNNNNNNNNNNNNNNNNNNNNNNNNNNNNNNNNNNNNNNNNNNNNNNNNNNNNNNNNNNNNNNNNNNNNNNNNNNNNNNNNNNNNNNNNNNNNNNNNNNNNNNNNNNNNNNNNNNNNNNNNNNNNNNNNNNNNNNNNNNNNNNNNNNNNNNNNNNNNNNNNNNNNNNNNNNNNNNNNNNNNNNNNNNNNNNNNNNNNNNNNNNNNNNNNNNNNNNNNNNNNNNNNNNNNNNNNNNNNNNNNNNNNNNNNNNNNNNNNNNNNNNNNNNNNNNNNNNNNNUCCGGAAACGAAGAUUGAUAUAUAGGAUGACCUCAUUUGGUUACCGGAAGGUUUUCGUGCAUUACCGGAAAAGUUUCGGGCUCAUCGGUAGUGUACCGGGAGUGCCGGGAGGGGUGCCGGGGACCAUCGGGAGGGGUGUCACGCCCCAAGGGGUCUCAUGGGCUAUGGGAAGAGAUAAACCAGCCCCUAGUGGGCUGGAAUAAGUUCCCACUAAGGCCCAUAAGGUUUGAGAAGGAAAAAACACAAGGUGGAAAGAGUUUCCAAGUGGGAAGGUGGAAUCCUACUCCAAGUAGGAUUGGAGUAGGACUCCUCCACCUCCAAUUUCGGCCAAACCUUUAGGUUUUGAGGCUGCCUCCUCCCCUCCCUCCCACCUAUAUAUACGGAGGUUUUAGGGCUGAUUUGAGACGACUUUCUCACGGCUGCCCAACCACAUACCUCCAUAGUUUUUCCUCUAGAUCGCGUUUCUGCGGAGCUCGGGCGGAGCCCUGCUGAGACAAGAUCAUCACCAACCUCCGGAGCGCCGUCACGCUGCCGGAGAACUCUUCUACCUCUCCGUCUCUCUUGCUGGAUCAAGAAGGCCGAGAUCAUCGUCGAGUUGUACGUGUGCUGAACGCGGAGGUGCCGUCCGUUCGGUACUAGAUCGUGGGACUGAUCGCGGGAUUGUUCGCGGGGCGGAUCGAGGGACGUGAGGACGUUCCACUACAUCAACCGCGUUCACUAACGCUUCUGCUGUACGAUCUACAAGGGUACGUAGAUCACUCAUCCCCUCUCGUAGAUGGACAUCACCAUGAUAGGUCUUCGUGCGCGUAGGAAAUUUUUUGUUUCCCUUGCGACGUUCCCCAACAGAUAGUGAUACGCAUAUACAUAACAUUGAGGCCAAAAGAGUUAGAGUAAACAAUGAUAGCGCCAUAUUUUUGUGGCACUGCCGCUUGGGUCAUAUUGGUGUAAAGCGCAUGAAGAAACUCCAUGCUGAUGGACUUUUGGAGUCACUUGACUUUGAUUCACUUGACACGUGCGAACCAUGCCUCAUGGGCAAGAUGACUAAGACUCUGUUCUCCGAAACAAUGGAACGUGCAAGUGAUUUGUUGGAAAUCAUACAUACCGAUGUGUGUGGUCCAAUGAGUGUAGAGGCACGCGGCGGAUAUCGUUAUUUUCUCACCUUCACUGAUGAUUUAAGUAGAUAUGGUUAUGUCUACUUGAUGAAGCACAAGUCUGAAACAUUUGAAAAGUUCAAGCAAUUUCAGAGUGAAGUGGAAAAUCAUCGUAACAAGAAGAUCAAGUUCCUAUGGUCUGAUCGUGGGGGUGAAUAUCUGAGUUUCGAGUUUGGUGCUCACUUAAGACAAUGUGGAAUUGUUUCGCAGUUAACACCGCCUGGAACACCACAGCGUAAUGGUGUGUCCGAACGUCGUAAUCGUACUUUGUUAGAGAUGGUGCGAUCUAUGAUGUCUCUUACUGAUUUGCCGUUAUCAUUUUGGGGUUAUGCAUUAGAAACAGCUGCAUUCACUUUAAAUAGGGCACCAUCAAAAUCCGUUGAGACGACACCAUACGAACUGUGGUAUGGCAAAAGGCCAAAGUUGUCGUUUCUUAAAGUUUGGGGAUGUGAUGCUUAUGUCAAAAAGCUUCAGCCUGAAAAGCUGGAACCCAAAGCGGAAAGGUGCGUCUUCAUAGGUUACCCAAAAGAGACAGUUGGGUACACCUUCUAUCUCAAAUCCGAGGGCAAAGUGUUUGUUGCUAAAAACGGAGCUUUUCUCGAGAAGGAGUUUUCUCUCGAGAGAAUUGAGUGGGACGAAGAUAGAACUUGACGAGGUUGUCGAACCUCUCACCCCUCUGGAUGGUGGCGCAGGGCAAGGGGAAACCUCUGUCGUUGCGACGCCGGUUGAGGAGGAAGUUAAUGAUGAUGAUCAUGAAACUCCAGUUCAAGUUUCUGUUGAACCACGCAGGUCGACGAGAUCACGCGCUGCUCCAGAGUGGUACGGUAAUCCCGUCUUAUCAAUCAUGUUGUUGGACAACAAUGAACCUGCAAAUUAUGAAGAAGCAAUGGUGGGCCCAGAUUCCAACAAAUGGCUAGUAGCCAUGAAAUCCGAGAUAGGAUCCAUGUAUGAGAACAAAGUGUGGACUUUGGAGAUACUACCCGAGGGCCGCAAGGCUAUUCAGAACAAAUGGAUCUUUAAGAAGAAGACGGACGCUGACGGUAAUGUGACCGUUUAUAAAGCUCGACUUGUGGCAAAGGGUUUUUCACAAGUUCCAGGAGUUGACUACGAUGAGACUUUCUCACCCGUAGCGAUGCUUAAGUCCAUCAGAAUCAUGUUAGCAAUAGUUGGAUUUUUCGAUUAUUAAAUCUGGCAGAUGGAUGUCAAAAUGGCGUUCCUUAACGGUUUCCUUAAGGAAGAGUUGUAUAUGAUGCAACCCGAAGGUUUUGUCGAUCUUAAAAAUGCUGACAAGGUGUGCAAGCUCCAACGAUCCAUUUAUGGACUGGUGCAAGCAUCUCGGAGUUGGAACAAACGCUUUGAUGAGGUGAUCAAAGCAUUUGGGGUUUAUACAAGUGGUUGGAGAAUCUUGUAUUUACAAGAAAGUGAGUGGGAGCUCUGUGGCGUUUCUAAUAUUAUAUGUGGAUGACAUAUUACUGAUUGGAAACAACGUAGAGCUUUUGGAGAGCAUAAAAGGUUACUUGAAUAAAAGUUUCUCUAUGAAAGACCUAGGAGAAGCUGCUUACAUUCUAGGCAUUAAGAUCUAUAGGGAUAGAUCAAAACGCCUGAUAGGACUUUCACAAAGCACAUACCUUGAUAAAGUUUUGAAGAGGUUCAAAAUGGAACAGUCCAAGAAAGGGUUCUUGCCAGUUUUACAAGGUACGAGAUUGAGUAAGACUCAGUGCCCAGCAACUGAUGAAGAUAGAGAGCAUAUGCGCUCCGUCCCCUAUGCUUCAGCCAUAGGUUCUAUCAUGUAUGCGAUGCUGUGCACUAGACCGGAUGUUAGCCUGGCCAUAAGUAUGGCAGGCAGGUUCCAGAGUAAUCCAGGAGUGGAUCACUGGACAGCGGUCAAGAAUAUCCUGAAGUACCUGAAAAGGACUAAGGAGAUCUUUCUCGUGUAUGGAGGUGACGAAGAGCUCGCCGUAAAAGGUUACGUCGAUGCAAGCUUUGACACAGAUCCGGACGACUCUAAGUCGCAAACCGGAUACGUAUUUAUUCUUAAUGGGGGCGCAGUAAGCUGGUGCAGUUCCAAGCAAAGCGUCGUAGCAGAUUCUACAUGUGAAGCGGAGUACAUGGCUGCCUCGGAGGCGGCUAAGGAGGGUGUCUGGAUGAAGCAGUUCAUGACGGAUCUUGGAGUGGUACCAAGUGCACUUGAUCCAAUAACCUUGUUCUGUGACAACACUGGUGCCAUUGCCUUAGCAAAGGAACCACGGUUUCACAAGAAGACCAGACACAUCAAACGACGCUUCAACCUCAUCCGCGACUACGUCGAGGAAGAGGACNNNNNNNNNNNNNNNNNNNNNNNNNNNNNNNNNNNNNNNNNNNNNNNNNNNNNNNNNNNNNNNNNNNNNNNNNNNNNNNNNNNNNNNNNNNNNNNNNNNNNNNNNNNNNNNNNNNNNNNAUAACCUUGUUCUGUGACAACACUGGUGCCAUUGCCUUAGCAAAGGAACCACGGUUUCACAAGAAGACCAGACACAUCAAACGACGCUUCAACCUCAUCCGCGACUACGUCGAGGAAGAGGACAUAAAUAUAUGCAAAGUGCACACGGAUCUGAAUGUAGCAGACCCGCUGACUAAACCUCUUCCACGGCCAAAACAUGAUCGACACCAGAACUGUAUGGGUGUUAGAUUUAUUACAAUGUAAUUCACAUGGUGAUGGGAGGGCUAAAUUGUUGACUCUAGUGCAAGUGGGAGACUGUUGGAAUUAUGCCCUAGAGGCAAUAAUAAAUAUAUAGUUAUUAUUAUAAUUCCUGUAUCAAGAUAAUAGUUUAUUGUCCAUGCUAUAAUUGUAUUGAAUGAAGACUCAUUUACAUGUGUGGAUACAUAGACAAAACACAGUCCCUAGCAUGCCUCUAGUUGGCUAGCCAGUUGAUCGAUGAUAGUCAGUGUCUUCUAAUUAUGAACAAGGUGUUGUUGCUUGAUAACUGGGUCACGUCAUUGGGAGAAUCACGUGAUGGACUAGACCCAAACUAAUAGACGUAGCAUGUUGAUCGUGUCAUUUUGUUGCCACUGUUUUCUGCGUGUCAAGCAUUUAUUCCUAUGACCAUGAGAUCAUAUAACUCACUGACACCGGAGGAAUGCUUUGUGUGUAUCAAACGUCGCAACGUAACUGGGUGACUAUAAAGAUGCUCUACAGGUAUCUCCGAAGGUGUUAGUUGAGUUAGUAUGGAUCAAGACUGGGAUUUCUCACUCCGUGUGACGGAGAGGUAUCUCGGGGCCCACUCGGUAAUACAACAUCACACACAAGCCUUGCAAGCAAUGUAACUUAGUGUAAGUUGCGGGAUCUUGUAUUACGGAACGAGUAAAGAGACUUGCCGGUAAAUGAGAUUGAAAUAGGUAUGCGGAUACUGACGAUCGAAUCUCGGGCAAGUAACAUACCGAAGGACAAAGGGAAUGACAUACGGGAUUAUACGAAUCCUUGGCACUGAGGUUCAAACGAUAAGAUCUUCGUAGAAUAUGUAGGAUCCAAUAUGGGCAUCCAGGUCCCGCUAUUGGAUAUUGACCGAGGAGUCUCUCGGGUCAUGUCUACAUAGUUCUCGAACCCGCAGGGUCUGCACACUUAAGGUUCGACGUUGUUUUAUGCGUAUUUGAGUUAUAUGGUUGGUUACUAAAUAUUGUUCGGAGUCCCGGAUGAGAUCACGGACGUCACGAGGGUUUCCGGAAUGGUCCGGAAACGAAGAUUGAUAUAUAGGAUGACCUCAUUUGAUUACCGGAAGGUUUUCGGAGUUACCGGGAAUGUACCGGAAAUGACGAAUGGGUUCCGGGAGUUCACCGGGGGGUGGGCAACCCACCCCGGGGAAGCCCAUAGGCUAUAAGGGUGGCGCACCAGCCCUUAGUGGGCUGGUGGGACAGCCCAAAAGGGCCCUAUGCGCCAAGGAUAAGAAAUCAAAGGAAAAAGGAAAAAAAAGGGAGGAGGUGGGAAGGGAGGGGGACUCCCUCCCACCAAACCUAGUCCAACUCGGUUUGGGGGGGGGGGGGAUAGUCCUCCCCCUUGGCUCGGCCGACUCCAUGAGGGUCCUUGGACCCCAAGGCAAGGCCCCCUCCCUCCCACCUAUAUAUACGGAGGUUUUAGGGCUGAUUUGAGACGACUUUUCCACGGCAGCCCGACCACAUACCUCCAUGGUUUUUCCUCUAGACCGCGUUUCCGCGGAGCUCGGGCGGAGCCCUGCUGAGACAAGGUCAUCACCAACCUCCGGAGCGCCGUCACGCUGCCGGAGAAAUCUUCUACCUCUCCGUCUCUCUUGCUGGAUCAAGAAGGCCGAGAUCAUCGUCGAGCUGUACGUGUGCUGAACGCGGAGGUGCCGUCCGUUCGGUACUAGAUCGUGGGACUGAUCGCGGGAUUGUUCGCGAGGCGGAUCGAGGGACGUGAGGACGUUCCACUACAUCAACCGCGUUCUCUAACGCUUCUGCUGUACGGUCUACAAGGGUACGUAGAUCAUUCAUCCCCUCUCGUAGAUGGACAUCACCAUGAUAGGUCUUCGUGCGCGUAGGAAAAUUUUUGUUUCCCAUGCGACGUUCCCAAACAGUCACAUCACUUUCCCACAUGCAUGAGGAUCCGACGCGAUGUUUCGGUGGCAUAGCUACCCCCGGAAGCCACCCGACCGGACUAAUUAACCCUAGCCCCAUUGACACGGAGAUGUAGGCCUUUGACUUUCGCCGGAUGGGGUUUGAACAAAGGACUCGUCCACCUGGUUACGAUAGCUCAGCCCAUAGGAUCAUGUGUGAACACGGCCUGGGCCCAACCCACCACUAGAUUUCCUCCGACUUGACCCGGUGCGCACGUUUCCCCCCUCAAAGUGCCGCGGCAGUAUCGUACAUGAAGGGGGGACACAUCCGGGACCACCGCGACGGGCGUCUACGCAUGUCAGAUCAGUUUCACACAUGCAUGAGGACCCGACGCGAUGUUUCAGCGGCAUAGCUACCCCCAUCAGCCACCCGGUCGGACUAACCCUAGCCCCGUUGACCCGUAGAUCUAGGCCUUUGACUUGCGUCGGACGGGCUUUGACCANNNNNNNNNNNNNNNNNNNNNNNNNNNNNNNNNNNNNNNNNNNNNNNNNNNNNNNNNNNNNNNNNNNNNNNNNNNNNNNNNNNNNNNNNNNNNNNNNNNNAUUAGCUCAUUCUUUUGGGUGUGUUCAUAAGAGUAUGAUGUGCUUGAAUGUGUUUAUGCGAAUGAGUGUGCAUACGUAUUGCAGAGCUCAAGGUCACUGCCGCCAGUAUCAUAUUGUUAACUAAUCAGCCGCAUCAUUUUCACCUCUGAUGGUAAAAACACGAGGGGCGCACAGUCAAGGCACAUGUUCAUGACAAAGUAUGCUUAAGUGUAUUUAUUUCUUCAAUUUUGUAACUAACUUAUGGACGUCUUACUGAUGAACCAUAUUGGAAAGGAAAAUGAAGUGCAGGGGUCAUGAUGAUCAGGCAAUGUCCGAGGUGUCAUUUUGUAUGAUUUGUCCAUGAAAAAGAAAAGAAAACAGAUAGAUACAUCAUACGUCUACAAGGUGGCCGAUUGGUGUACUUAACGGGAGCGCCUGUGACUUGUGAGGCACAUCACCACAGUACCUUGACAUGAGAGUGCAUAGUCAAGGUCUCAAGGAACAUGUCCAUGACUAAGUAUGGUCAAGUGUACUCUAUUAAUUUAUGUAUUCAAUUGUACAACUUAUGGAGCUUUGACUGGAAAACUGGAAAACUGAUGUGCAGGCUGAUCUACAAGCAAUGUUCGAGUUGUCAAAUUUUAUGCCACACUAAGGAUGUGGCGCCUAUAUAUAUAGAAAAGGUGUUCGUGAGUCUUAUCCCACACUAAAAGGCAUUUCUAUUUGUGCUGCAAGCAAACCUGAUGGUGAUGAUGAUGGAGCAAAGCGCAGCCACCCUCAUGCUCCUCACUCUCGCCUCACUCGUCGUCCUUGCAUCGGUACUGAGCCGCAAACCGAAAAACCAUAGGCGGCCUCCAGGCCCAUGGCGCCUCCCCUUGAUCGGAAGCCUCCACCACGUCCUCACGUCGCAGCCGCAGGUCGCCCUCCGGGNNNNNNNNNNNNNNNNNNNNNNNNNNNNNNNNNNNNNNNNNNNNNNNNNNNNNNNNNNNNNNNNNNNNNNNNNNNNNNNNNNNNNNNNNNNNNNNNNNNNNNNNNNNNNNNNNNNNNNNNNNNNNNNNNNNNNNNNNNNNNNNNNNNNNNNNNNNNNNNNNNNNNNNNNNNNNNNNNNNNNNNNNNNNNNNNNNNNNNNNNNNNNNNNNNNNNNNNNNNNNNNNNNNNNNNNNNNNNNNNNNNNNNNNNNNNNNNNNNNNNNNNNNNNNNNNNNNNNNNNNNNNNNNNNNNNNNNNNNNNNNNNNNNNNNNNNNNNNNNNNNNNNNNNNNNNNNNNNNNNNNNNNNNNNNNNNNNNNNNNNNNNNNNNNNNNNNNNNNNNNNNNNNNNNNNNNNNNNNNNNNNNNNNNNNNNNNNNNNNNNNNNNNNNNNNNNNNNNNNNNNNNNNNNNNNNNNNNNNNNNNNNNNNNNNNNNNNNNNNNNNNNNNNNNNNNNNNNNNNNNNNNNNNNNNNNNNNNNNNNNNNNNNNNNNNNNNNNNNNNNNNNNNNNNNNNNNNNNNNNNNNNNNNNNNNNNNNNNNNNNNNNNNNNNNNNNNNNNNNNNNNNNNNNNNNNNNNNNNNNNNNNNNNNNNNNNNNNNNNNNNNNNNNNNNNNNNNNNNNNNNNNNNNNNNNNNNNNNNNNNNNNNNNNNNNNNNNNNNNNNNNNNNNNNNNNNNNNNNNNNNNNNNNNNNNNNNNNNNNNNNNNNNNNNNNNNNNNNNNNNNNNNNNNNNNNNNNNNNNNNNNNNNNNNNNNNNNNNNNNNNNNNNNNNNNNNNNNNNNNNNNNNNNNNNNNNNNNNNNNNNNNNNNNNNNNNNNNNNNNNNNNNNNNNNNNNNNNNNNNNNNNNNNNNNNNNNNNNNNNNNNNNNNNNNNNNNNNNNNNNNNNNNNNNNNNNNNNNNNNNNNNNNNNNNNNNNNNNNNNNNNNNNNNNNNNNNNNNNNNNNNNNNNNNNNNNNNNNNNNNNNNNNNNNNNNNNNNNNNNNNNNNNNNNNNNNNNNNNNNNNNNNNNNNNNNNNNNNNNNNNNNNNNNNNNNNNNNNNNNNNNNNNNNNNNNNNNNNNNNNNNNNNNNNNNNNNNNNNNNNNNNNNNNNNNNNNNNNNNNNNNNNNNNNNNNNNNNNNNNNNNNNNNNNNNNNNNNNNNNNNNNNNNNNNNNNNNNNNNNNNNNNNNNNNNNNNNNNNNNNNNNNNNNNNNNNNNNNNNNNNNNNNNNNNNNNNNNNNNNNNNNNNNNNNNNNNNNNNNNNNNNNNNNNNNNNNNNNNNNNNNNNNNNNNNNNNNNNNNNNNNNNNNNNNNNNNNNNNNNNNNNNNNNNNNNNNNNNNNNNNNNNNNNNNNNNNNNNNNNNNNNNNNNNNNNNNNNNNNNNNNNNNNNNNNNNNNNNNNNNNNNNNNNNNNNNNNNNNNNNNNNNNNNNNNNNNNNNNNNNNNNNNNNNNNNNNNNNNNNNNNNNNNNNNNNNNNNNNNNNNNNNNNNNNNNNNNNNNNNNNNNNNNNNNNNNNNNNNNNNNNNNNNNNNNNNNNNNNNNNNNNNNNNNNNNNNNNNNNNNNNNNNNNNNNNNNNNNNNNNNNNNNNNNNNNNNNNNNNNNNNNNNNNNNNNNNNNNNNNNNNNNNNNNNNNNNNNNNNNNNNNNNNNNNNNNNNNNNNNNNNNNNNNNNNNNNNNNNNNNNNNNNNNNNNNNNNNNNNNNNNNNNNNNNNNNNNNNNNNNNNNNNNNNNNNNNNNNNNNNNNNNNNNNNNNNNNNNNNNNNNNNNNNNNNNNNNNNNNNNNNNNNNNNNNNNNNNNNNNNNNNNNNNNNNNNNNNNNNNNNNNNNNNNNNNNNNNNNNNNNNNNNNNNNNNNNNNNNNNNNNNNNNNNNNNNNNNNNNNNNNNNNNNNNNNNNNNNNNNNNNNNNNNNNNNNACCCUUUCUAACCUAUGCGAUGUGUGCCUAGUCUACUUCUGCUGCCUCACGGUGUCCGCCAUUGAUACACAUGGGCGAUGGUGCUCAGGUCUUCGAAUUCACUAUUGAAUUCUUUCCGUCUAAAGUGAAGCUAGUUGAUGGUAGUGUGCGAGACACACAGAGAGAUACAAUUGUGAAAUGAGAGGUUGAAUUUGCAGAAAUUGACCCAUAGGAAAUACAGAGAUGGAAGAGAGGGGCAUGAGGAAUUUUGAGGAGAAAGUUGGGGAGAGCAUUUUUUGGGUCCAGGGUAAGAGGUAUAAUUGUUACUGUUUGAUAAUUGAAAGGGUAAGUAUGUGAGAAUUGAGAAUGGUGAAGAGAUGGUUGAUGAAAUCGAUCGGCAAGACUGCUGGGUAAGCAAAAAAGACUACCAUUCAUGCAUAGCUCGUUGAUGUGAAAUCGAUCGGCAAGACUACUAGGCAAGUUCGAUUCAUAGAUGAUAUAUGAUGAUUGGGAUUCAUAGAAACAGAUAACGUCCAUGUGUACGGGGAAGUGACGGUAAUAGAGGGGGCUGUUCAACAUGCACAAGAGGGCUAUCAUGGUGUUGUAAGGGUUAUUUUUGUUGAUUGGAAUACAGUACAAUUAGAAGACAUUACUGAUUUGGCCAUUGCAUCAAUGGCUGACACUGAGAUGGCCAAUUUUUUGGCAUUCCAGUAGAUGAUCAAGAUAAGGAAGAGAGGGGUCAAUCGAGUUUGCCUAAUGAUGCUAACAUAGAUGCUUGUAGCCCCGGCUAACUCUGUGCCCAACAACUACGGUAAGACGGGAGGGGGGGGUGUUCUUCAGAAUGACUACGCGUAUAGGCAUUUAUGCGGUGAAUCAGGUUGAAAGCGAAAGUUGCCAAAAAGUGGCAGAAUUUAAAGUGCUAGUUAUCGAUGAAAGCACAUAUAUGCUCCCUUGAUGGUUUUUAUAAUUAAUGAUAACAUACAUUGUCUGUUCAACUAAUACUUUUACCUAGUAUAUUUCAGAUAUAGUCCACAGAGAUGACUGGCUAAUGGAUUGUGUGGAGAAGCCCCAAGGAAGGAAAGGAAUAAGAUUGGCCAGCUUCAAGCUACAAGACUCUACAUUUUAUAUUUGUGAGAAAUCACUUUUAGGUCCAUAGGAAAGCCAAUACUAUUAAAAGAGGUGAGGUAUCUAUGAUGAAUUGGUUGCUGAAGUGCUUAGAGACACCCAACAAAAAUACUCAGCCAUUCUCCCACAAAAUUCACUGUCCAAAAGCCUAAACAUCAAAAUCGGUGCGUGAUAUGUUAAGUUUUGAUUGUUGCAUGUUAUUAUAUUAUCUAUUUUGGAUGUUUUAUAUGCAUUUAUAUGCCGUUUUAUAUUAUUUUUGUGACUAACCUAUUAAUCUAGAGCCUAGUGCCAGUUUCUGUUUUUUCUACGUUUUUGAGUAUUACAAAUAAGGAAUAUUUAAUGGGGUCCAAACGGAAUAAAAUAUCCUGAAAGAUUUUUCUUGGACUAGAAGACAAGCAACUGACUUGGAGUAGGGGGCAAGCCAAUUGCCGGGAGGCGACAAGCCUGCAGGGCGAGCCCUGGGGGGAUGGCCGCGCCCCCUGGCUUGUGGGCCCCCCUGGAGGUCUCCUAACCCUAUUCUUCGGCCUAUAAAUUCCCAAAUAUGUAGUACUUGAUGAGUUAUGCAUGCCCGCUUAUACAACCCAGCUUUCAGUGGAUCCUGCUAAUCAUAGAUCCCGACGAGGCAAAAGUUGAAGUACUGGACUCACUGGAAAAAAGACCGUAAAGAGUAAAUGACCUGAAGUUGAUGUCCCACAGGUAAUUUCAAUCAUUAUCGCACUAUGUCGGCCUCUUUAGUUCAGUUCCUGAUAUCAAGUAAUCAAUGACUCCUUUAUUCUUUUUCUUUGCCAGGCAGACUUUAGACACGGUUCAUCCAGAAGGUUCGUGGUGAAUGGAAACCAAAGCUGAUAUGGGUACGACCUAAGGUAAUUAAGCAGUACUAACUACGUCCGUGCAUCUACUUAGUUCUAGUUUUAAUAUCAUUAUAAUGCUUGAUUAUUAUCUGAGUGCAUUCUAUUCUCGUAAUGUGGUGCAUGCGGCAGGAACAAGAGACUAAUCUAUGUGCAUACUAUGUUUGCGACAACAUUCGCUUUAUGACCGAACGGCGCCCAGAUGCAAGAACUCUUUGGGUACGUAAACAUGGUCUAAUAUAUAUACACACAACUAAUAUAUUCAUAUUGGUCCCCUUUUUUAAAGAUGAAGGGGAUGCGGGAUAGGCUCCUACCAAAGGAACGUAUAUGAGCACUUUAAGUGAAAAUUGCGGGAUUUUUUGCUUGAGCAGGUCAUAGAUCCCGACGUAGAAUACCACUACACCAAUUAAUGCAUGCAUGUAAUGCUCUGCAAGUUGUAGGAGAAAUUGUAUACUAUAACAAAUAUGACGGUGGGUGAACGAAUUACUGUCGAGCAAUUGAUAGAACCGCGCAAAGUCAUGAAAAUAUCUAAGACAAUGAUCAUACAUAUAGGCAUCACGUCCGAGACAAGUAGACUGAUACUUUCUGCAUCUACUACUAUUACUCCACACAUCGACCGCUAUCCAGCAUGCAUCUGUUGUAUUGAGUUCAUGACAAACAGAGUAACGCCUUAAGCAAGAUGACAUGAUGUAGAGGGAUAAAUUCAUGCAAUAGAUAUAAACCCCAUCUUUUUACCCUUGAUGGCAACAACAUGAUGCGUGCCUCGCUACCCCUUCUAUCACUGGGUGAGGUCACCACACGGUAUGAACCCAAAACCAAGCACUUCUCCCAUUGCAAGAAUCAUAGAUCAAGUUGGCAAACAAAAUCCACAACUUGAAGAGAAUUACAAGGAUAUGAAAUCAUGCACAUAAGAGAUCAGAAGAAACUCAAAUAAGAUUCAUAGAUAAUCUGAUCAUAAAUCCAUAAUUCAUCGGAUCUCGACAAACACACUGCAAAAUAAGAUUACAUCGGAUAGAUCUCCAUGAAGAUCAUGGAGAACUUUGUAUUGAAGAUCGAAGAGAGAGAAUAAGCCAUAUAACUACUAGCUAUGGACCCGAAGGUCUAUGGUGAACUACUCACGCAUCAUCUGAGAGGCAAUGAUGUUGUUGAAGAAGCCCUCCGUGUCCGAAUCCCCCCUCCGUCAAGGCACCAGAACGUGCCCCAGAUGGGAUCUUGCGGAGACAGAAACUUGCGGCGGAGGAAAAAUAUUUUUGUGGCUCUCUCCCGUGGUUUUAGAUUUUUCGGGGAUUUAUAGGCGGAAGAAGUAAGGCAGAGGAGCCACAGGGGGCCCACAAGCCUGCUAGGCGCGGGCCACCCAGGCCGCGGCUAGGGGGCUUGUGGCCUCCCCUGGUGCCCUCUGCCUUGGUUCUCAAGCUCCCUGCGUAUCUUCUGUUCCGGAAAAAAUCUUUUCGAAGGUUUUAUUCCGUUUGGACUCCGUUUAAUAUUCUCCUCUGGAAAAGGUUAAAAACGCGGAAAAAACAGGAACUGGCACUUGGCACUGAGUUAAUAAGUUAGUCCCAAAAAAGAUAUAAAAGGCAUACAAAACAUCCAAAGUUUGACAAGAUAAUAGCAUGGAACCAUCAAAAAUUAUAAAUACAUUGGAGACGUAUCACUAGCCACAGAGGGUUCGUCACGGGAGCCAAAACGGAAAGUAGUUACUUGAGGUGGACACUCCAGCAUGAGCAGGGGCGGGACCGCCGGUACUACAUAGUCACGCUCUUCCUCAUGCUGAUCGAUCUUCUCUUCUACAUCAUGUUGUAGAUAGAGAUGACGAAACUUGUGGGUGUGCCAUGACCAUGCAGUUGCACUUAUUCGAGCCAUGACAUGAUCGCACUUAUGUAUCGCUAUUUUUGAGAUGAUGUGAUGAUAUUUUGUGUUGAAUGAUGAUGAUGAUGGUAUGACGAGACUACUGUAUGUCUAUGAUAUGUGAGAAUGGUGUAUGUUUAAUAUGAUGUGAUGAAACUAUUAUAUAGAAUUCGUAUCAAUACAUCACAAAUACGUACAGGGUGCAAAUCUGUGAAUGUAGUAAAAGUUAGCAGUAGCACUAGUAAAUACUUACCAGUAGCGCUGCUAACGCUUUCUAUGAGCAAGCGCUACUACUGUAGUUAGCAGUAGCGCUAGACAGGGAAGCGCUACUGCUAACACUACUUAACAGUAGCGCUGCCAUAACAGCACUACUACUAGGGUUUAGCUGUAGCGCGAUAGCAGUAGCGCUUGGUCCAGCGCUACUGGUAUGCAUAUUUCGAACACUACUACUAGGGUUUUUCCUAGUAGUGUUAGCUCAAAGAAUAAACUAACAACAAAAAUAAUGAAGUGAAAAAGACUCAACUAAAACAUUAAGUAAAAAAGAAUGAACUAAACAGAAUCAACUAAAAUUAUCAAAGUAUUUAUUUGUUAAAAAUAAUCAAGUAAAACAUUAACUAAAAAGAAUCAAAAAAAUAUCAAGUGAAAAGAAUUUUCAUAAAGUUUUUUUGUUAAAAUCAUUUAUAGAAAACUAAAGGGGGGGGGAAAAGAGAAAAAAAUCUUUAAUAGCAAAGAAUUAAAAUAUAAACUCGGACUAAAAAUUAUUAAAGUAAAAAAAUUUAAAAAAAUGCCACCUACUAGGCCAUCACGACGUGCAUACGACUAGAAACCCUAGAACCUAGAUGGACGAGGAUGCAUGCCCGCAGAAGGCCCAGUAGGACCACAUGGUAGAGAGAGUGCGUUUAGGCCCAUAGGCCUGCGUUUGAGAGGAGCUCGAGAGGAUUAGUGCAGCGGGGCUUAUAAACCACUCUCAACUCCUCUCAACUAGCGAGGUGGGACUAAACAUUUGGCCGCGGCAUCACCNNNNNNNNNNNNNNNNNNNNNNNNNNNNNNNNNNNNNNNNNNNNNNNNNNNNNNNNNNNNNNNNNNNNNNNNNNNNNNNNNNNNNNNNNNNNNNNNNNNNGUCAAGGUCUCAAGGAACAUGUCCAUGACUAAGUAUGGUCAAGUGUACUCUAUUAAUUUAUGUAUUCAAUUGUACAACUUAUGGAGCUUUGACUGGAAAACUGGAAAACUGAUGUGCAGGCUGAUCUACAAGCAAUGUUCGAGUUGUCAAAUUUUAUGCCACACUAAGGAUGUGGCGCCUAUAUAUAUAGAAAAGGUGUUCGUGAGUCUUAUCCCACACUAAAAGGCAUUUCUAUUUGUGCUGCAAGCAAACCUGAUGGUGAUGAUGAUGGAGCAAAGCGCAGCCACCCUCAUGCUCCUCACUCUCGCCUCACUCGUCGUCCUUGCAUCGGUACUGAGCCGCAAACCGAAAAACCAUAGGCGGCCUCCAGGCCCAUGGCGCCUCCCCUUGAUCGGAAGCCUCCACCACGUCCUCACGUCGCAGCCGCAGGUCGCCCUCCGGGACCUGGCCAAGAAGCACGGCCCGGUCAUGUACCUCCGGUUCGGCCAGAUGGACACCGUCGUCGUCUCCUCGCCGGCCGCGGCGCAGGAGGUGCUCCGGGACAAGGACCUCUCAUUCGCGUCGCGGCCCAACAUCCUGGUCUCAGAGAUCUUCUGCUACGGGGGCCGCAAUGUCAUCCUCGCGCCCUACGGCCCCUACUGGCGGAUGACGCGUAAGCUCUGCACGGUUGAGCUCCCGUGCGGCAGUUCGCGCCCUUCAGAGACAGCGAGACCAUGUCCCUUGUCGAGAACAUCCGCGCCGCCGGUCGGGGCGGCGCGUCAUUGAACCUUGGCAAGCUGCUCAUUUCCUGCACCAACACUAUCACCGCCAAGGCUACGUUCGGCCAGGUGUGCGACGAGGAGCUCCAGGAUCGCUUCAUGGCCGUGACCGGCCUGGCGAUCAAGGACCCCGGCGGAUCCAGCGUCGGGGACCUGGUCCCGUCGCUGUGGUUCGUCGACGCCCUCACUGGGCUGAGAGGCCGUCUGUGGCGUGCGCGCCGGCAGCUGGAUGCCAUCCUGGACAAGAUCAUCGCUGAUGAACGCAGGGAGGGGCGGCGAGGUGACCACCUUCUCGGAGUUCUGCUUAGGAUCAAGGAUGAGGGGAACCUUGAAUUCCCCAUCGACAUGACAAACAUCAAGGCCAUCAUAUUGGUACGUGUCAAGCUUCAUGCACUAGCNNNNNNNNNNNNNNNNNNNNNNNNNNNNNNNNNNNNNNNNNNNNNNNNNNNNNNNNNNNNNNNNNNNNNNNNNNNNNNNNNNNNNNNNNNNNNNNNNNNNACGGCUAGACGUCUGGCCGUCGGCAUAGAUACACAAAGCCACGUCAUCGAUCCGGGGCGCACCGAUCAGCAUCUAUACCGACGGCUGCCGUCGGCAUAUCUGCCACGUCAUCGAUCCGCAGCGCGUCGACCACCGGCCCUGGCCGUAUCUAUGCCGAUGGCUUUGCCGUAGGCAUAGUUUUUUUUUCUUUUCUUUGCACAAUGUGUGUAUAUAUAUAGGGGAAUUUGAUUAACUUACAUGUACCAUGUGUAAAUAUACAUGUAUUAUUAUUUUUAUGAAUAUAUAUGUACUUUGUACUUUUUUCGAAUACGUUAAUGAUGUGUCGUCAUUUUCUUUGAAUAUAGGUCCUUAUAUUUUAUUAAAAUCAAAAACAGCUCUGCCUACAGAAAUAUUGUGGUGGUUGCAAACGCCCUACACGCGUCUCCGGGAUGUGACCCCCCUCACGUCCGGGGUGUGCCCCCCUCACGGAAAGUCAAAGGCUAGAUCUCGUGUUCAAUCGUUACACGGUUAGGCGGGACGGGGGCCCUGGGGUAGCAGUGUGACCAGAGCGUCGCACCGGGCCCUCAUACAUGUCGUACGGGGCUAAGGUAAGUCCGAUCGGGUGGCUGUCGGGGGUAGCUAUGACAUGGAAACAUUGCAUCGGGUCCUCGUGCAUGUGUGAAAGUGAUCUGACAUGCGUAGACGCCCGUCGUGACGCUCCCGUGUGUGUCCCCCUUCAUGUACGACAAUGUCGUCGCCACUUUAAGGGGAGAAAUAGUCGUGUCGGGUCGACAUGGAGGGAACCUAGUGAUGGCUUGGACUCAGACAAUGUUCUUACAUGUUUCUAUGGGUUGACCUAUCGAAACGAGGUGGAAGAUUCCACUGGUCAAAGCCUGUCCGACGCAAGUCAAAGGCCUAAAUCUACGGGUCAACGGGGCUAGAGUUAGUCAGAUCGGGUGGCUGUCGGGGGGUAGCUAUGCCACCGAAACAUCGCAUCGGGUCCUCAUGCAUGUGUGAAAGUGAUGUGACAUGCAUAGACGCCCAUCGCGGCGCUCCCGUGUGUGUCCCCCCUUCAUGUACGACAAUGUCGCCGUCACUUUGAGGGGGGAAAUAUCCGCGUCGGGUCGACAUGAAGGGAACCUAGUGAUGGGUUGGACUGAGACCAUGUUCUUACAAGUUCAUAUGGGCUGACCUAUCAAAACGAGGUGGAAGAGUCCAGUGGUCAAAGCCCGUCCAACACAAGUCAAAGGCCUAGAUCUACGGGUCAACGGGGCUAGGGUUAGUGCAAUCAGAUGGCUGUCGGGGAUAGCUAUGCCAUUGAAACAUCACUCGGGUCCUCAUGCAUGUGUGAAAGUGAUGUGACAUGCGUAGACGCCCGUCGCGGCUCUCCGGGGUGUGCCCCCUUCAUGUACGGCAAUGCCGUCGUCACUUUGAGGGGAGAAAUAGCUGUGUCGGGUCGACAUGGAGGUAACCUAGUGAUGGGUUGGACCCAAACCAUGUUGUUACAUGUUUCUAUGGGCUAAUCUAUUAAAAUGAGGUGGAAGAGUUCACUGGUCAAAGCCCGUCCGACGCAAGUCAAAGGCAUAGAUCUACGGGUCAACGAGGCUAGGNNNNNNNNNNNNNNNNNNNNNNNNNNNNNNNNNNNNNNNNNNNNNNNNNNNNNNNNNNNNNNNNNNNNNNNNNNNNNNNNNNNNNNNNNNNNNNNNNNNNAGAUAGUGGCGUACGUGACUAGAGGCAAGAGAGCCAAAAGUCGGUCUCGGGUACAGUCGCACCGAAUAUUGCAGGUAUGUGUAUCACUUGUUAUGAAAUACUAUUGGAAGCUAGUUCCACGCAACCGGCUCCUUUUACCGUGAGCGUAGGAUAUAAUAUUAGAUUAUUUCCCUGUGACGAAAAAUUAACAAUAAUAUAUAGAGCUUAUCCAUUAGGGGGAAGUCAAAGAGAUUUACUCGUGAGCGUAAGAGAUUUACAAGAACAAAUAGCGAUAAAAUUUGUAGAUCAUCCUAGUACGAGCCUAGAUAGCUUGUGGUAUAUAAAAGGACGCGAAGAAUUUUUAGAUUUACUUGCGACUGUGCCUCACAUUACUGAGAUCAUCGAAGCGUAACCUCGUAAGUAUGGAAAUUUAUACCGAUCUUAGAUUUGGUUAUGAAGGUGCCUUAGGAGAUCAUGAGAGAGAAUUAGCUCGAGCUACGGGUAUUGUUGAAGUUAUGGAAAUACUUACAACUUUCCAGACUUAUUAUAGAAAGAGCUUUAUUGAAAAUAAAUUGAGACAAGUAAUGAAGGACAAUUACUAUCUUUUUGCUGAAAAAUAUUCUCAUUUACGAAAACAUAUUCCAAACGGAGUACGUUUUUAUAACGGAUAUCGUAUUUGUACCAGAUAUUUACACGGUUUUGGAAGUUGGGAUUUCCAAUUAAAACAUGCUGCGGCAAUUAGAGCUUGCUUUGAAAAAAUGGAUACAGUCCUAAUUAUGGAAGAAGGAAGAAAGUUAACUUGCAAUUAUUGGAUCAAAAUUUUCAAUACUGCUCCCAAUGUCAUUUGCAAUGGUACAUUUAGAAUGGAAUCCACAGGAGGAUAUUGGAUAGAUCAAGAUGAUUAUGUCCUCAAUUUAAAUAAGCAUUUCUAUAACUACGCUGAUUCUACUUAUUGUCCUUAUGGUAGAUUUCAUGCUAGAUCGGAUCGUUGCCAAUUGAAAAGUUUCUAUUACGGAGGUUACGAAUUCCAUCAAUUCAAUGAUUAUGUUAAGGCAGUAAAUUACGCAGUCUAUUUACUUUUGACCAUGUUAAGAAAAGUUAACGUUUUUAAAGUAGAUAUGGAAGAUAAUGGACAAUUUGGUCUUCAUAUUAUGAAAAAGAUAUUUGCUAUUAUUCAGUUGCUUAACAUUGCUAAAGAUUGUUACGAUUUACCUUUUGAAGGGUUAAAUUAUUACAGUGAUUUAUGUGAAACUCGACAAUAUUAUUAUAGUUUUCUAUAAUGUCAUCUGACGAAUGUCGAAGCGAGGAAGAGAUGCCGCCUCAAAAGAAACAGAAACUCGCGCAGCCAAAGUACUCGUUACUGGACGUUGUAAACCAAGUAAAGGAAGAGAAACCAGAUGCGUACAAGGAGAAGUGGGAUCCGGAAUCAGUAGUGGAGGGAUUGUCGGAUAUUGCUCUGAAAUUCACAUUAACGAAGACACAGGAAAAAGCAUUGAAGAAUUUAACUAUUUUGAUAAAAGAGGUAGAGAAAGAAACAGUUUCGAAGAAUGGCUCAAACGAUGGCCAGGAGAUAUCCGUCAUUACGUUGAAAAAUUAUCUUCUCUCCCACUCAAAAGAGUCGUAUUGCAUGAUAUUAUAUCCCCAAUCAACGAAGAAACUGCUAGUAAACUUUCUGAGCAUCUUAGGGGAAGACGGAGUGAAAACAGCUUUAUUCUCCUUGCGUUCCACCCUGAAAGAGAAACCGAAAGAGAAGUCAUCGGACAUUGUCACCUUGUCCACGACUGCACCUUCCACCAGUCAAACUGCCGAUGUUCCGCCAUCCGAUCGAUCAAUUGCCUUGGAUUGUCCAUCAAGCCCAGAUCCCAUGGAGGAAAUAAUAUCCGACCCAGCUAUUUGUUUACAAAAGUCGUCGCCGCGAAUCUUGUGGCGUACCUCUCAAGUGUAAGUAUCACUUAUAUAUUAAGUAGUGAGUUGUUUCUAAAACUUUUUGUUCGUCACAUUCCAUUUUGGAAGAUGAUAGGGGCAUGGGUUUCCUGUAAUCGGCUCUUAUAGAUUACUUUGGAGCUACCGGGGGAUCCUGCUCUGCAUUUAAUUUGAACAUUUUCAUCUCAAUUUAUUUGUCUAAGAGUUAUUGGAAACAACAAUGGUUAAUAUUUAUGUGAUACUUAACAGGCUCCAAGGAAAAUUACGCUCGCACGAGGUAGAGACGGAACCGAAGAUGUCAACUUUAAAAAUGCACAUCACCUCUACGAAAGCCGCCCAAAAAGGAAUAGCUUGGAAUCAACAACCGAGGAUAUCAUUGGAGAUGCAAUUGAACAAGGAGGAUCAGACUUAUCAAGAAGUGAUGGGAAUAAUUCGAAGGGAGCAACAGGCUAUUACAGCACAUCCGGAACACCGAGAGAAAGAGUACUCCGUCAAAUAUCAGAAACAAUCUUCAAAUACGGAGCAACCCCGCUAGGAAACGCGAGUGCUUUUCCAUCAUUUUUAGAAGAACCAAUAUGGUCAUUUAGUAAAGGUAAUAAAAUUUACGAAGAAGGACUACAUAUAGCAGAAGAUCGCUUUAGAGAUAUGAGUACUUUAGACUUUAUUAAAUACCAUACUGACCAUAAAGCUUACUUUGAUAUAUGUAAACAUAAGGAUAAUCUAUAUUAUGAUUUGCAAGAAAGCUUUGAUGUUUUAGAUUUCCUUUUACAUUAUCAAUUUCAAACUAAAGAGGCGGUAACCGAGUUUCUUCAAACGUUUAUCGAUGUCAUGGAUAGAUUAAUUCCAAAAAUGAACUGUAUUCAGGUCAUUGGACCUACUUGUUCGGGAAAAAAUUAUCUAUUUGAUUGUUUUUUAGCUUUCUAUUUAUCUAUCGGUGAAAUGAAAAAUCCUAGUAAGCAUAAUCAAUUUCCAUUCGACGAGUGUGAUAAUAAGAGACUUAUUAGGUGGAAUGAACCCUUAAUGGGGGAUGAAUUUAUCGAUACGAUGAAAAAGUUAACUGCCGGGGAUCCUCUAUCUAUUAAUUGUAAAUAUAGAAGAGGUACUGCUUUAUCAAAAACACCAAUAAUUAUAACUACCAAUAAUGAAAUUUUGAGACAAAUUGAAUUUCAAUCAAGAAUAAAAAGAUACUAUUGGCAAUCUUGCGAUGAACUUAAAAAUUAUGACAAAUAUCCACAUCCAACUGUGUUAAUUAAAUUUAUAAAUGAAUACAACAUUGUAAUCAAAAAAGAUUAAUAAACUUUAUUCACUUUCAAAUUCUUCUUCUUCCAUUACAAUUUCUUCGACAGCUUUUCUUUUAGGAGCGUACAAUUUUGGUACAGCAACACCAGUACCGACAGUAAUAUCGUAAUCAUGAUUUUCCAUUCGUUUAUAUUGCAUAGGUAAGUCGGUAAGUAUCGGUUCGCAAUUCAUAUUAGCUGAUUUGCCACCAAUUCUAACCCAAGUAUCAUUAAAUGUUUGAACAGCAUAAUUAUUAAAAAUUCUUAAUGUUAUAAUAUUUCCAGUUAAUGACACUUUAAUCAUAUUAUGUGGUUCUUCAUAAUUAAUUCCUUUAACAUGUCUAUAGCUAUGACCUCUAACAGUCACUUUUACCAUCCAUUCUACAUCAACUGCUGUAAACUUAACAUCACUAGUAUUACUUACAUUACUUUGAAUAGGUCUUACUCCGAAACAUAAUUUAGGUGGCAUAUCGUUAUUAUCAAAAGGAUUAUCUAAAGCUUGUAUUAAUCCACAUUUUUCUACUGGUAAAGUUACCAUAUGUUCGUAAUCCGACAAACUGCCACCAUAUAAAGUAUCUUCCAAAUGUUGCCUAUGAUUUAUAAAUGUGCUAGUUACAUCUCCAGUUUUAUAUGGUUCUUGGGCGUCUCCUUCUUUUUCAUUAUCGUAAAAAUAUCUUAAAGUAGUAGCCCCUUGAACUUGAUGAAUAUAUUGACCCUUUUCACCCCAUCCGUUAAUUGGUCUAAAUCUUUCCAUAUUUGGCCUUCUCCAUUUAAUUAAUCCGUGUUUAAAUUUAUGGUGGUAGUUUAUAAGUGGAUCAGUGCCACUUUUUUCAGAAUCAAAAUCAAAUUCAUUAACUUGACUAUGCCACAUAAUAGGUUCGUUUUCCGUAAAUCCUGCGGCUAAUUGUUCUUUACCAGUUAAAUUACCUUUGCCCAUUGUAAAUAAACAAGUAUAAAAAGGUAAAUGUCUGGGAACACCCAUAAUGACUCCGAAAUCAUCUUUGUUAGAAUCCGUAGCAUUUCUCCAACCCCAAACAAAUUCUUUCCACCCCUUUGUUGGUUUGGCAGGAAAUGCCUGUGUGCUUAAACCGGUUGGUACACAUGGUUCUGCAUCAGAAUGGGUAUAAGAAAAUUCUAAAGAUGGUCUAGUUAAUCCAUGACCAAUAUACCACGAGCCAUAACAAUCCAUUUGACUAUUAGCUGUACCUGGUGAAGCAGCGUUAGUACUAAAAGGGGUUCUUUUUAAAUGAGGUUUAACCGUAAUUAAACAAUCAUCAAUGUAACUGUAAUGUUCUAAAUCAUCAUAAAAAACUCUAGGCAUAAAUACACCUAAAUUAUUAGUGGGAAAAUUAGCCAAAUGGGUAGUAGUUAUAUCUACAGAAUCAAAUUUACCACCAGGAGCAUUAUAAUCAACUGGCUUAGACAUAUUUUUUAACCAAGUUUGAACUCUAUCUCCUAUUCCAGCUACAGCAAUAGCACUUAAAGGCAUUUGUUUAUACGCGUACGGAAAUGUUUUUACUUUUCCUUGCCAUGAAUAAUGCCAUUUUACUUGCGAUUUGUCCACAAAUUUUCCAAAAGCAGUAUAACGAGUUUUUCCUCUAGUUGAAUCUGCAUUAGAAGCGCUUCCUCCAGCUCCUACACCAGCCGCUGCUUGUUGUGGUGGCGGUGCCAAUGGUGAUUGAAUUGCUGCUGUUUUAUCCAUAUUAAAAGUCUCAUAAGCCGAAUCUUCUUGAAAAGACGGUGUAUCUGGUCUUGGAUUUGGUGAUUCUAUCUGAGCUCGAGGACUUAGACUGUCCAAAAAAUUUGCAGGUAAUUUGGGUGACUCUUGAUGAGAUGGUCCAGCAAUUGGCGAUUGUUCUUGGGUUUCUGGUUCUUCUGGACUGAAUAACUGCUUUUUUUGAGGACUUGUUCCUUUUUUCUUCGGAGUAUCAAAAUCGUCAGCAUCAAAUUGAUCUGGAUUAAGUUCGAAAUGUCGUAUUUCGUCAGUUAAAUAAUCCGCUUCCUCUCGGGUAAAUGUACUAAGAAAAUCAGACCAACCUGGGGAAAAGAAGUUCCGUCUUAGAUUUCGAUAAUGUUCAUUAUACCUAUUUAUGACUUCAUUAUGCUCGGCUUCAGGUAAUUUGGCAAAUUUCGCCUGUGGGUCUAUUGCAUGAAACGUAUCAAAACUAACUUCGUGACCUGGGUUUAAUCUCUGAUGUUCGUGCCUAUUGAAGUCAUCUAAAUAUCUUUCUAUGUCUUUUAUUUGCCAUGAAUCGGUUAAUUUUUGUAAUUCUUUUUUUCUAGUAGGAGCCAUUACCUAGAUUUGGAUUAAUUCGUUUAUACGCUUUCAGUUGUUCCGUUAGUCUGUUCUUUAAAUUAACUUUUCCUCUUUCGUAUUGUAGUUGAUUUUUUUGUUCACGACUUUUAUAGUUAUAAUCUUGUUCAGUUUCUGGCGGACUAAUUUGAGCUACUUCGUUGCCCGUAGCUUUGUACUCUGGUCUUUUGCCAGUAUCUAAUAAAGCGUUAAAAUUGACCUUUUCUUGUUGAUAAUCAGGGUGAUUUGGAUCAGCUAAUAUAUCUAAUUGUUCGCGAGUUGGAUAAGAUCUACCCACGUGUUUUAAUGCAUCUCUUAUAUUAUUUUCGUCAAUAUGAGCGUUUUUUCCACCGUUAUAUAUUUCUCCAAAACCUAAUUCUAAAAUACGUUUCAAUGAUAGCCCAGCUGCACCUAUUAAGGAAUGAAUAUUUCCUUUACGAGCAGAAUCAUAAAAUUCAUAAAUAGCUAUAUCAUCCGAUAUCGGAACGCUAGCUCCUCUGGCAUAAUCCUCGUCAUGUAACCUAGCAAUAGAAUCAUCCUCAUCAACAGGUUUAACUCCAUCUAAUUCAUUACCGGGCCCUACAUAGUUAUGCCCUGGUAGUAAUAUUCCUUUUCGUUUUGACAUACCUAAAUAUUCGGUGCGACUGUACCCGAGACCGACUUUUGGCUCUCUUGCCUCUAGUCACGUACGCCACUAUCUNNNNNNNNNNNNNNNNNNNNNNNNNNNNNNNNNNNNNNNNNNNNNNNNNNNNNNNNNNNNNNNNNNNNNNNNNNNNNNNNNNNNNNNNNNNNNNNNNNNNGUCUAUUAGUUUGGGUCUAGUCCAUCACGUGAUUCUCCCAAUGACGUGAUCCAGUUAUCAAGCAACAACACCUUGUUCAUAAUCAGAAGACACUGACUAUCAUCGAUCAACUGGCUAGCCAACUAGAGGCAUGCUAGGGACGGUGUUUUGUCUAUGUAUCCACACAUGUAAAUGAGUCUUCAUUCAAUACAAUUAUAGCAUGGAUAAUAAACUAUUAUCUUGAUACAGGAAUUAUAAUAAUAACUAUAUAUUUAUUAUUGCCUCUAGGGCAUAAUUCCAACAGCCUCCCACUUGCACUAGAGUCAAUAAUCUAGCCCGCACAUCACCAUGUGAAUUACAUUGUAAUAAAUCUAACACCCAUACAGUUCUGGUGUCGAUCAUGUUUUGGCCGUGGAAGAGGUUUAGUCAGCGGGUCUGCUACAUUCAGAUCCGUGUGCACCUUGCAUAUAUUUACGUCCUCUUCCUCGACGUAGUCGCGGAUGAGGUUGAAGCGUCGUUUGAUGUGUCUGGUCUUCUUGUGAAACCGUGGUUCCUUUGCUAAGGCAAUGGCACCAGUGUUGUCACAGAACAAGGUUAUUGGAUUCAGUGCGAUUGGCACCACUCCAAGAUCCGUCAUGAACUGCUUCAUCCAGACACCCUCCUUAGCCGCCUCCGAGGCAGCCAUGUACUCUGCUUCACAUGUAGAAUCUGCUACGACGCUUUGCUUGGAACUGCACCAGCUUACUGCACCCCCAUUAAGAAUAAAUACGUAUCCGGUUUGCGACUUAGAGUCGUCCGGAUCUGUGUCAAAGCUUGCAUCGACGUAACCUUUUACGGCGAGCUCUUCGUCACCUCCAUACACGAGAAACAUCUCCUUAGUCCUUUUCAGGUACUUCAGGAUAUUCUUGACCGCUGUCCAGUGAUCCACUCCUGGAUUACUCUGGAACCUACCUGCCAUACUUAUGGCCAGCCUAACAUCCGGUCUAGUGCACAGCAUCGCAUACAUGAUAGAACCUACGGCUGAAGCAUAGGGGACGGAGCGCAUAUGCUCUCUAUCUUCAUCAGUUGCUGGGCACUGAGUCUUACUCAAUCUCGUACCUUGUAAAACUGGCAAGAACCCUUUCUUGGACUGUUCCAUUUUGAACCUCUUCAAAACUUUAUCAAGGUAUGUGCUUUGUGAAAGUCCUAUCAGGCGUUUUGAUCUAUCCCUAUAGAUCUUAAUGCCUAGAAUGUAAGCAGCUUCUCCUAGGUCCUUCAUAGAGAAACUUUUAUUCAAGUAACCUUUUAUGCUCUCCAAAAGCUCUACGUUGUUUCCAAUCAGUAAUAUGUCAUCCACAUAUAAUAUCAGAAACGCCACAGAGCUCCCACUCACUUUCUUGUAAAUACAAGAUUCUCCAACCACUUGUAUAAACCCAAAUGCUUUGAUCACCUCAUCAAAGAGUUUGUUCCAACUCCGAGAUGCUUGCACCAGUCCAUAAAUGGAUCGCUGGAGCUUGCACACCUUGUCAGCAUUUUUAGGAUCGACAAAACCUUCGGGUUGCAUCAUAUACAACUCUUCCUUAAGGAACGCCGUUUUGACAUCCAUCUGCCAGAUUUCAUAAUCGAAAAAUACAGCUAUUGCUAACAUGAUUCUGACGGACUUAAGCAUCGCUACGGGUGAGAAAGUCUCAUCGUAGUCAACUCCUGGAACUUGUGAAAAACCCUUUGCCACAAGUCGAGCUUUAUAAACGGUCACAUUACCGUCAGCGUCCGUCUUCUUCUUAAAGAUCCAUUUGUUCUGAAUAGCCUUGCGGCCCUCAGGUAGUAUCUCCAAAGUCCACACUUUGUUCUCAUACAUGGAUCCUAUCUCGGAUUUCAUGGCUUCUAGCCAUUUGUUGGAAUCUGGGCCCACCAUUGCUUCUUCAUAAUUUGCAGGUCCAUUGUUGUCUAACAACAUGAUUGAUAAGACGGGAUUACCGUACCACUCUGGAGCAGCGUGUGAUCUCGUCGACCUGCGUGGUUCAACAGAAACUUGAACUGGAGUUUCAUGAUCAUCAUCAUUAACUUCCUCCUCAACCGGCGUCGCAACGACAGAGGUUUCCCCUUGCCCUGCGCCACCAUCCAGAGGGAUGAGAGGUUCGACAACCUCGUCAAGUUCUAUCUUCCUCCCACUCAAUUCUCUCGAGAGAAACUCCUUCUCGAGAAAAGCUCCGUUUUUAGCAACAAACACUUUGCCCUCGGAUUUGAGGUAGAAGGUGUACCCAACUGUCUCUUUUGGGUAACCUAUGAAGACGCACUUUUCCGCUUUGGGUUCCAGCUUUUCAGGCUGAAGCUUUUUGACAUAAGCAUCACAUCCCCAAACUUUAAGAAACGACAACUUUGGCCUUUUGCCAUACCACAGUUCGUAUGGUGUCGUCUCAACGGAUUUUGAUGGUGCCCUAUUUAAAGUGAAUGCAGCUGUUUCUAAUGCAUAACCCCAAAAUGAUAACGGCAAAUCAGUAAGAGGCAUCAUAGAUCGCACCAUCUCUAACAAAGUACGAUUACGACGUUCGGACACAACAUUACGGUGUGGUGUUCCAGGCGGUGUUAACUGCGAAACAAUUCCACAUUGUCUUAAGUGAGCACCAAACUCGAAACUCAGAUAUUCACCCCCACGAUUAGACCGUAGGAACUUGAUCUUCUUGUUACGAUGAUUUUCCACUUCACUCUAAAAUUGCUUGAACUUUUCAAAUGUUUCAGACUUGUGCUUCAUCAAGUAGACAUAACCAUAUCUACUUAAAUCGUCAGUGAAGGUGAGUAACGAUAUCCGCCAGGUGCCUCUACGCUCAUUGGACCACACACAUCGGUAUGUAUGAUUUCCAACAAGUCACUUGCACGCUCCAUUGUUCCGGAGAACGGAGUCUUAGUCAUCUUGCCCAUGAGGCAUGGUUCGCACGUGUCAAGUGAAUCAAAGUCAAGUGACUCCAAAAGUCCAUCAGCAUGGAGUUUCUUCAUGCGCUUUACACCAAUAUGACCCAAGCAGAAGUGCCACAAAAAUAUGGCGCUAUCAUUGUUUACUCUAAUUCUUUUGGUCUCAAUGUUAUAUAUAUGCGUAUCGCUAUCAAGAUUCAAUAUGAACAAUCCUCUCACAUUCGGUGCAUGACCAUAAAAGAUGUUACUCAUAGAAAUGGAACAACCAUUAUUCUCAGACUUAAAAGAAUAACCGUCUCGCAAUAAACAAGAUCCAGAUAUAAUGUUCAUGCUCAACGCAGGCACUAAAUAACAAUGAUUUAAGUUCAUCACUAAUCCCGAUGGUAGCUGAAGUGACACUGUGCCGACGACGAUUGCAUCAACCUUGGAACCAUUUCCUACGCGCAUCGUCACUUCGUCUUUCGCCAGCCUUCGUCUAUUCCACAGUUCCUGUUUCGAGUUGCAAAUGUGAGCAACAGAACCGGUAUCGAAUACCCAGGCACUACUACGAGAGCCGGUUAAGUACACAUCAAUAACAUGUAUAUCAAAUAUACCUGAUUUUUCUUUGCCCGCCUUCUUAUCUGCCAGAUACUUGGGGCAAUUGCGCUUCCAGUGACCCAUACCCUUGCAAUAGAAGCACUCUGUUUCAGGCUUAGGUCCAGCCUUGGGUUUCUUCGGUGGAUUGGCAACAGGCUUGCCGCUCUUCUUCGAAUUGCCCUUCUUGCCUUUGCCGUUUCUCUUGAAACUAGUGGUCUUGCUCACCAUCAACACUUGAUGCUCUUUACGGAGUUCAGACUCUGCGACUUUCAGCAUCGCAAACAACUCGCCGGGAGACCUGUUCAUCCCUUGCAUGUUGUAGUUCAACACAAAGCCUUUAUAGCUUGGCGGCAGUGAUUGAAGGAUUCUGUCAGUGAUAGCUUCCUGCGGGAGUUCAAUCCCCAGAUCAGCUAGACGGUUUGAGUACCCAGACAUUUUGAGCACAUGUUCACUGACAGAUGAGUUUUCCUCCAUCUUGCAAGCAUAGAAUUUAUCGGAGGUCUCAUACCUCUCGAUCCGGGCGUUCUUCUGAAAGAUAAACUCCAACUCCUGGAACAUCUCAAAUGCUCCAUGACGCUCAAAGCGACGUUGAAGUCCCGGUUCUAAGCCAUACAAGACUGCACAUUGAACUAUUGAGUAGUCCUCCUUACGUGCUAACCAAGCGUUCUUAACAUCCUGAUCAGCCGUAGCGGGUGGUUCAUCUCCUAGCGCAGCAUUAAGGACAUAAUCCUUCUUCCCAGCUUGUAAGAUUAGCUUAAGAUUACGAGCCCAGUCUACAAAGUUGCUUCCAUCAUCUUUCAACUUAGCUUUCUUUAGGAAUGUAUUAAAAUUCAGGAUGACUGUCGCGUGAGCCAUGAUCUACAACACAAAUAUAUUCAAAGUGGACUUAGACUAUGUUCAAGAUAAUUAGAGUUUAACUUAAUCAAAUUAUAUGCUAAACUCCCACUCAAAAAGUACAUCUCUCUAGUCAUUUGAGUGGUUCAUGAUCCACUUACACUAUCCCAAGUCCGAUCAUCACGUGAGUUGAGUAUAGUUUCAGUGGUAAGCAUCCCUAUGCUAAUCAUAUCAACUAUAUGAUUCAUGAUCGACCUUUCGGUCUCAUGUGUUCCGAGGCCAUGUCUGCACAUGCUAGGCUCGUCAAGCUUAACCCGAGUGUUCCGCGUGCGCAACUGUUUUGCACCCGUUGUAUGUGAACGUUGAGUCUAUCACACCCGAUCAUCACGUGGUGUCUCGAAACGACGAACUGUAGCAACGGUGCACAGUCGGGGAGAACACAAUUUCGUCUUGAAAUUUUAGUGAGAGAUCACCUCAAAAUGCUACCGUCGUUCUAAGCAAAACAAGGUGCAUACAAGGAUUAACAUCACAUGCAAUUCAUAAGUGACAUGAUAUGGCCAUCAUCACGUGCUUCUUGAUCUCCAUCACCAAAGCACCGACACGAUCUUCUUGUCACCGGCGCCACACCAUGAUCAUCCAUCAACGUGUUGCCAUCGGGGUUGUCGUGCUACUUAUGCUAUUACUACUAGAGGAAAAACUGUGGAGGUAUGUGGUCGGGCUGCCGUGGAAAAGUCGUCUCAAAUCAGCCCUAAAACCUCCGUAUAUAUAGGUGGGAGGGAGGGGGGCCUUGCCUUGGGGUCCAAGGACCCUCAAGGGGUCGGCCGAGCCAAGGGGGAGGACUCUCCCCCCCCCAAACCGAGUUGGACUAGGUUUGGUGGGAGGGAGUCCCCCUCCCUUCCCACCUCCUCCUUUUUUCCUUUUUCCUUUGAUUUCUUAUCCUUGGCGCAUAGGGCCCUUUUGGGCUGUCCCACCAGCCCACUAAGGGCUGGUGCGCCACCCUUAUAGCCUAUGGGCUUCCCCGGGGUGGGUUGCCCACCCCCCGGUGAACUCCCGGAACCCAUUCGUCAUUUCCGGUACAUUCCCGGUAACUCCGAAAACCUUCCGGUAAUCAAAUGAGGUCAUCCUAUAUAUCAAUCUUCGUUUCCGGACCAUUCCGGAAACCCUCGUGACGUCCGUGAUCUCAUCCGGGACUCCGAACAACAUUCGGUAACCAACCAUAUAACUCAAAUACGCAUAAAACAACGUCGAACCUUAAGUGUGCAGACCCUGCGGGUUCGAGAACUAUGUAGACAUGACCCGAGAGACUCCUCGGUCAAUAUCCAAUAGCGGGACCUGGAUGCCCAUAUUGGAUCCUACAUAUUCUACGAAGAUCUUAUCGUUUGAACCUCAGUGCCAAGGAUUCGUAUAAUCCCGUAUGUCAUUCCCUUUGUCCUUCGGUAUGUUACUUGCCCGAGAUUCGAUCGUCAGUAUCCGCAUACCUAUUUCAAUCUCGUUUACCGGCAAGUCUCUUUACUCGUUCCGUAAUACAAGAUCCCGCAACUUACACUAAGUUACAUUGCUUGCAAGGCUUGUGUGUGAUGUUGUAUUACCGAGUGGGCCCCGAGAUACCUCUCCGUCAUACGGAGUGACAAAUCCCAGUCUUGAUCCAUACUAACUCAACUAACACCUUCGGAGAUACCUGUAGAGCAUCUUUAUAGUCACCCAGUUACGUUGCGACGUUUGAUACACACAAAGCAUUCCUCCGGUGUCAGUGAGUUAUAUGAUCUCAUGGUCAUAGGAAUAAAUACUUGACACGCAGAAAACAGUAGCAACAAAAUGACACGAUCAACAUGCUACGUCUAUUAGUUUGGGUCUAGUCCAUCACGUGAUUCUCCCAAUGACGUGAUCCAGUUAUCAAGCAACAACACCUUGUUCAUAAUCAGAAGACACUGACUAUCAUCGAUCAACUGGCUAGCCAACUAGAGGCAUGCUAGGGACGGUGUUUUGUCUAUGUAUCCACACAUGUAAAUGAGUCUUCAUUCAAUACAAUUAUAGCAUGGAUAAUAAACUAUUAUCUUGAUACAGGAAUUAUAAUAAUAACUAUAUAUUUAUUAUUGCCUCUAGGGCAUAAUUCCAACAUAGCUACCCCCGACAGCCAUCCGAUUGCACUAACCCUAGCCCCGUUGACCCGUAGAUCUAGGCCUUUGACUUGCGUCGGACGGGCUUUGACCAGUGGACUCUUCCACCUUGUUUCGAUAGGUCAGCCCAUAGGAACAUGUAAGAACAUGGUCUCAGUCCAACCCAUCACUAGGUUACCUCCAUGUCGACUCGACGCGGCUAUUUCCCCCCUCAAAGUGUCGGCGGCAUUGCCGUACAUGAAGGGGGCACACACCGGAGAGCCACGACAGUUGUCUACGCAUGUCACAUCACUUUCCCACAUGCAUGAGGAUCCGACGCGAUGUUUCGGUGGCAUAGCUACCCCCGGAAGCCACCCGACCGGACUAAUUAACCCUAGCCCCAUUGACACGGAGAUCUAGGCCUUUGACUUUCGCCGGAUGGGGUUUGAACAAAGGACUCGUCCACCUGGUUACGAUAGCUCAGCCCAUAGGAUCAUGUGUGAACACGGCCUGGGCCCAACCCACCACUAGAUUUCCUCCGACUUGACCCGGUGCGCACGUUUCCCCCCUCAAAGUGCCGCGGCAGUAUCGUACAUGAAGGGGGGACACAUCCGGGACCACCGCGACGGGCGUCUACGCAUGUCAGAUCAGUUUCACACAUCCAUGAGGACCCGACGCGAUGUUUCGGCGGCAUAGCUACCCCCAUCAGCCACCCGAUCGGACUAACCCUAGCCCCGUUGACCCGUAGAUCUAGGCCUUUGACUUGCGUCGGACGGGCUUUGACCAGUAGACUCUUCCACCUCGUUUCGAUAGGUCAGCCCAUAGGAACAUGUAAGAACAUGGCCUUAGUCCAACCCAUCACUAGGUUCCCUACAUGUCGACCCGACGCGACUAUUUCCCCCCUCAAAGUAACGGCGACAUUGUCGUACAUGAAGGGGUCACACCCUGGAGAGCAGCGACGGGCGUCUACACAUGUCACAUCACUUUCACACAUGCAUGAGGACCCGAUGCGAUGUUUCGGUGGCAUAGCUACCCCCCGACAGCCACCCGAUCUGACUAACUCUAGCCCCGUUGACCCGUAGAUUUAGGCCUUUGACUUGCGUCGGACAGGCUUUGACCAGUGGAAUCUUCCACCUCGUUUCGAUAGGUCAACCCAUAGAAACAUGUAAGAACAUUGUCUGAGUCCAAGCCAUCACUAGGUUCCCUCCAUGUCGACCCGACACGACUAUUUCUCCCCUUAAAGUGGCGACGACAUUGUCGUACAUGAAGGGGGACACACACGGGAGCGUCACGACGGGCGUCUACGCAUGUCAGAUCACUUUCACACAUGCACGAGGACCCGAUGCAAUGUUUCCAUGUCAUAGCUACCCCCGACAGCCACCCGAUCGGACUUACCUUAGCCCCGUACGACAUGUAUGAGGGCCCGGUGCGACGCUCUGGUCACACUGCUACCCCAGGGCCCCCGUCCCGCCUAACCGUGUAACGAUUGAACACGAGAUCUAGCCUUUGACUUUCCGUGAGGGGGGCACACCCCGGACGUGAGGGGGGUCACAUCCCGGAGACGCGUGUAGGGCGUUUGCAACCACCACAAUAUUUCUGUAGGCAGAGCUGUUUUUGAUUUUAAUAAAAUAUAAGGACCUAUAUUCAAAGAAAAUGACGACACAUCAUUAACGUAUUCGAAAAAAGUACAAAGUACAUAUAUAUUCAUAAAAAUAAUAAUACAUGUAUAUUUACACAUGGUACAUGUAANACAUGCAUGAGGACCCGACGCGAUGUUUCGGUGGCAUAGCUACCCCUGACAGCCACCCGACCGGACUAACCCUAGCCUCGUUGACCAGUAGAUCUAGGCCUUUGACUUGCGUCGGACGGGCUUUGACCAAUGGACUCUUCCACCUCGUUUCGAUAGGUCAGCCCAUAGAAACAUGUAAGAACAUUGUCUGAGUCCAACUCAUCACUAGGUUCCCUCCAUGUCGACCCGACACGGCUAUUUCCCCCUCAAAGUGACGACGACAUUGUCGUACAUGAAGGGGGACACACACGGGAGCGCCGCGACGGGCGUCUACGCAUGUCACAUCACUUUCACACAUGCAUGAGGGCCCGAGCAAUGUUGCAGUGGCAUAUCUACCCCCGACAGCCACCCAAUUGCAAUAACCCUAGCCUCGUUGACCCGUAGAUCUAUGCCUUUGACUUGCGUCGGACGGGCUUUGACCAGUGAACUCUUCCACCUCAUUUUAAUAGAUUAGCCCAUAGAAACAUGUAACAACAUGGUUUGGGUCCAACCCAUCACUAGGUUACCUCCAUGUCGACCCGACACAGCUAUUUCUCCCCUCAAAGUGACGACGGCAUUGCCGUACAUGAAGGGGGCACACCCCGGAGAGCCGCGACGGGCGUCUACGCAUGUCACAUCACUUUCACACAUGCAUGAGGACCCGAGUGAUGUUUCAAUGGCAUAGCUAUCCCCGACAGCCAUCUGAUUGCACUAACCCUAGCCCCGUUGACCCGUAGAUCUAGGCCUUUGACUUGAGUUGGACGGGCUUUGACCACUGGACUCUUCCACCUCGUUUUGAUAGGUCAGCCCAUAUGAACUUGUAAGAACAUGGUCUCAGUCCAACCCAUCACUAGGUUCCCUCCAUGUCGACCCGACGCGGAUAUUUCCCCCCUCAAAGUGACGGCGGCAUUGCCGUACAUGAAGGGGGGCACAUACCGAGAGCCGCGACGGGUGUCUACGCAUGUCACAUCACUUUCACACAUGCAUGCGGAUUCGACGCGAUGUUUCGGUGGCAUAGCUACCCCCGACAACCACCCGAUUGGACUAACCCUAGCCCCGUUGACCCGUAGAUCUAGGCUUUUGACUUACGUUAGACGGGCUUUGACCAGUGGACUCUUCCACCUCAUUUCGAUAGGUAUGCCCAUAGGAACAUGUAAGAACAUGGUCCGAGUCCAACCCAUCACCAGGUUCCCUCCAUGUCGACCCAACGCGGCUAUUUCCCCCUCAAAGUGACGGCGACAUUGUCGUACAUGAAGGGGGGACACACACGGGAGCGCCGCGAUGGGCGUCUAUGCAUGUCACAUCACUUUCACACAUGCAUGAGGAACCGAUGCGAUGUUUCGGUGGCAUAGCUACCCCCGACAUCCACCCGAUCGGACUAACCCUAGCCCCGUUGACCCGUAGAUCUAGGCCUUUGACUUGCGUCGGAUGGACUUUGACCAAUGGACUCUUCCACCUCGUCCCGAUAGGUGAGCACAUAGAAACAUGUAAGAACAUUGUCUGAGUCCAACUCAUCACUAGGUUCCCUCCAUGUCGACCCGACACGGUUAUUUUCCCCCUCAAAGUGACGACGACAUUGUCGUACAUAAAGGGGGGACACACACGGGAGCGCCGCGACGGGCGUCUACGCAUGUCACAUCACUUUCACACAUGCAUGAGGACCCGAGCGAUGUUUCGUUAGCAUAUCUACCCCUGACGGCCACCCGAUCGCAAUAACCCUAGCCCCGUUGAACCGUAGAUCUAGGCCUUUGACUUGCGUCGGACGGGCUUUGACCAGUUGACUCUUCCACCUCGUUUCAAUAGGUCAGCCCAUAGGAACAUGUAAGAACAUGGUCUGGGUCCAACCCAUCACUAGGUUACCUCCAUGUCGACCCGACACGGCUAUUUCCCCCCCUCAAAGAGACGACGGUAUUGCCGUACAUGAAGGGGGCACACCCGGAGAGCCGCGACGGGCGUCUACGCAUGUCACAUCACUUUCACACAUGCAUGAGAAUCCGAGCGAUGUUUCCGUGGCAUAGCUUGUUGGGGAACGUCGCAUGGGAAACAAAAAUUUUCCUACGCGCACGAAGACCUAUCAUGGUGAUGUCCAUCUAUGAGAGGGGAUGUGUGAUCUACGUACCCUUGUAGACCGUACAGCAAAAGCGUUAGAGAACGCGGUUGAUGUAGUGGAACGUCCUCAGCUCCCUCGAUCCGCCCCGCGAACAAUCCCGCGAUCAGUCCCACGAUCUAUUACCGAACGGACGGCACCUCCGCGUUCAGCACACGUACAGCUCGACGAUGAUCUCGGCCUUCUUGAUCCAGCAAAGAGAGACGGAGAGGUAGAAGAGUUCUCCGGCAGCGUGAUAGCGCUCGGAGGUCGGUGAUGACCUUGUCUCAGCAGGGCUCCGCCCGAGCUCCGCAGAAACGCGAUCUAGAGGAAAAACCGUGGAGGUAUGUGGUCGGGCUGCCAUGGAAAAGUCGUCUCAAAUCAGCCCUAAAACCUCCGUAUAUAUAGGUGGGAGGGAGGGGGGCUUGCCUUGGGGUCCAAGGACCCUCAAGGGGUCGGUCGAGCCAAGGGGGAGGACUCUCCCCCCCCCAAACCGAGUUGGACUAGGUUUGGUGGGAGGGAGUCCCCCUCCCUUCCCACCUCCUCCUUUUUUUUCCUUUUUCCUUUGAUUUCUUAUCCUUGGCGCAUAGGGCCCUUUUGGGCUGUCCCACCAGCCCACUAAGGGCUGGUGCGCCACCCUUAUGGCCUAUGGGCUUCCCCGGGGUGGGUUUCCCCCCCGGUGAACUCCCGGAACCCAUUCGUCAUUCCCGGUACAUUCCCGGUAACUCCGAAAACCUUCCGGUAAUCAAAUGAGGUCAUCCUAUAUAUCAAUCUUCGUUUCCGGACCAUUCCGGAAACCCUCGUGACGUCCGUGAUCUCAUCCGGGACUCCGAACAACAUUCGGUAACCAACCAUAUAACUCAAAUACGCAUAAAACAACGUCGAACCUUAAGUGUGCAGACCCUGCGGGUUCGAGAACUAUGUAGACAUGACCCGAGAGACUCCUCGGUCAAUAUCCAAUAGCGGGACCUGGAUGCCCAUAUUGGAUCCUACAUAUUCUACGAAGAUCUUAUCGUUUGAACCUCAGUGCCAAGGAUUCGUAUAAUCCCGUAUGUCAUUCCCUUUGUCCUUCGGUAUGUUACUUGCCCGAGAUUCGAUCGUCAGUAUCCGCAUACCUAUUUCAAUCUCGUUUACCGGCAAGUCUCUUUACUCGUUCCGUAAUACAAGAUCCCGCAACUUACACUAAGUUACAUUGCUUGCAAGGCUUGUGUGUGAUGUUGUAUUACCGAGUGGGCCCCGAGAUACCUCUCCGUCAUACGGAGUGACAAAUCCCAGUCUUGAUCCAUACUAANCACGCACCUAUGAUUAUAUUGCUUUGUCUUCUGAUCUGGUUACAAGGGGUAGCCUACACGAGUAUAUAAAGAACUAAAGCUAGCCUAAUACACGUCGAGUCGGUUUGAUUGUUCCGGUCCAACCCGGACACGGACAGCGUGGUUAUUUUCAACAAUCACCCCCCCAAACACGAUGUCCUCACUUCACAGCUUGGACGCCGAUCCUUCUCCGCAUCUCUGUAAACUUCUGUCGUCCCAAAGACUUGAUCAGGAUAUCUGCAAGCUGAUCAUCGGUGCAAACAUAGUUGACUUCAAUCUUGCCUUUUUCUACGCACUGCCGUAUGUAGUGAUACCUUAUAUCUAUGUGCUUAGUCCUGUCAUGAUGCACUGGAUUCUUACACAGGGCAAUCGCAGACUUGUUGUCAACAUUGAGCACCACUCUUUCUGGUUCUUUAUCUGUGAGGUCACCGAGUAGCCUUUCUAGCCAUACACCUUGACCCGCUGCGGUUGCAGCUGCUAUAUACUCUGCUUCGCAGGACGAUAAUGCGACCACCUUCUGCUUUUGUGAUAGCCAAGUUACUAUGCUCCUGCCCAAGAAAUAUGCCAGACCCGAGGUACUUUUACGGUCAUCCACAUCUCCUGCCAGGUCGCUAUCACUGUAGCCAAGUAGCUCCACCAUCUCCUUCUUUUUCUCUCUCAAAUAGACACAACCGAAGUUUGUUGUCCCUUUGAUGUACCUGAGUAUAUGUUUGACAGCUGCCCAAUGUUCAGUUGUGGGUGCUUCCAUGAAGCGACUCACUAUGCCAACGGAAUAGGCCAAGUCCGGUCGUGUAUUCACAAGAUACCUUAGGCUUCCGACCACACUUCUAUAAUCCGUUGCAUCAACCGCAGGGGCUUCACUCCUUUUGCUAAGUUUAAGCCGAGGCUCCAUUGGAGCAUAAGUUGGUUUGCAAUCCUCCAUGCUACAACUUUCAAGUAUCUUCUUUGCAUAUGCCUCUUGACAUAUUGUGAUCCCGUUCGGCUUUUGUUGUACCUCGAUCCCGAGGCAGUAUGUCAAGAGCCCUAGAUCACUCAUCUUGAAUAGCUCCUUCAUUUGUAGCUUGAAUCUUGCAAUCUCCUCUUCGUCUGCUCCAGUUAUCAAGAGAUCAUCAACAUAGAUGCCCACUAAGAGACGAUCCUUGCCUUUACCUCGCUUGUACAUAGCAUGCUCGAGUGGACUUUUCUCAAAACCAAGAGAAAUCAAUGUACGGUCAAGCUUGAUGUUCCAUGCCCGAGGAGCUUGAUGUAGCCCGUACAAUGCCUUGUGUAGCUUCAACACCUUGUGUUCUUCUCCUUCUUUGAUGUACCCCGGUGGUUGCUUCACGUAUACUUCUUCUUCCAAUUCCCCGUUCAAAAAAGCGGAUUUUACAUCCAUGUGAUGUAGCCUCCAAGAUUCUUGAGCCGCGAGAGCUAUAACUAGCCUCACCGAUUCCAUCCUUGUGACUGGAGCGAACACUUCCUCGAAGUCCACACCUUGCUCUUGCACGAAUCCUUUAGCUACGAGCCGAGCUUUAUGCUUGACCAAGUUUCCUUCAGCAUCCUUCUUGACUUUGUACACCCACUUGAGCCCUAUGGAUUUGUGACCGUUGGGAAGAUCAGCGAGCUCCCAUACUUUGUUGUCUCGUAUUGAUCCCAACUCUUCAUCCAUAGCACGACGCCAACACUCCUCAGUAUUUGCUUCUUCAAAUUUCGUCGGUUCCUCGACGCUAAGCAAACAUUGUCGUCCUCUUCUUAUAACUUUGACAGGAUUAAUAGUACGAAGUGCUUCCUCCGGAUAUAAAUCCACCACUGGUCGAAGACGAACUGGUGUCGGCGGACGUUCCCUUGUCUCCUGUUCUGUCGAAGACGAGGAAUUUUCAUCUUGUGGAGUUGCCAAACUCCUGUUUUCUGGCGAUCCAGGUUCUCUUCCAGGCGCAGCUCCCAGGCUGCUCCCUUGUGGUACGCAGUCACUUGGUCGAGCGCUUCGAGCAUUGCUUGGUGUGUUUCACGAGCCAUCGCAUGCCUCGUCUGCCGCGUCCUGCUGCGUGCCUUCGCGCGCCUCUAUCCCUGCUUUAUCUGGCGCGUUCGGCUGCGCUCCAUUGUCCAGAGAAUCACUCGGCGUCGUUGUAGUCUCCGGUUGAUUAUCGGCAUGCUCGUAUUCGUUGUAAACAACGUGAAAGAUUUCAUCAGAGAUCGGGUAUACCGGCUCGGUAGAGUUCCAAUUCCAUGAUCUUGCUUCUUCAAAGACCACGUCACGAGUCACAACCACCUUAUUGGUAGAGGGGUUGCACGCACGGUACGCCUUCGAGCCUGCUUCAUAGCCAACCAAUAUCAUUGGAGUACUCCGAUCCGCCAACUUACUUGUAUGCCCGGCCACCGUCUUCACAUGCGCCACACACCCGAAAGUACGAAGAUGAUCAACCGCGGGCUUAUGUCCGUACCAUGCUUCGUACGGCGUCAUCCCAACCACACUCUUGGUUGGAGCCCGGUUCAGCAAAUAAACGGCCGUAUUGACCGCCUCACCCCAAAACUUGCCCGGGACCCCUUUGCUCUUCAUCAUGCUUCGUGCCAUCGCCACCACGGUUUGAUUCCUCCGUUCCACAACACCGUUUUGCUGCGGUGAAUAUGGCGCCGUAAGAUACCGCUUGAUCCCAUGUGCUUCGCAAAAUUCUGUGAAUUCACGAGACUUGAACUCACCCCCCCGACCGGUACGGAGGGCCUUCAGCUUGGCUUCGGAUUCUACCUCGGCCGCCAUCUUUACUUUCCUGAAGGCUUGCAAAGCUUGGUCCUUCGUCUUCAACAACACAAUCCACAUGUAUCUGCUGAAGUCGUCGACGAUGAGUAAGAAGUAUUUGUUUCCAGCUGGGGUAGCCGGUGUAAUGGGUCCGCACAAGUCUCCAUGGACCAACUCAAGAGCUUUACUUGCUCUAAAGUUUCCCUCUCUCGGGAACGAGGCCCGCCUUUGUUUCCCAACAAGGCAACCGUCGCACACUUGCUCAACAUGAUCAAUGCACGGUAGGCCACGUACCAUCUCCUUUUGUCCAAGUUGCCGAAGAGCCUGGAAAUUUAGAUGACCGUAGCGCGCGUGCCACUUCCAUGCCGAGUCCUCCAUGCUUGACAAGAGACAUACUGGAUCCACACGAUCCAAGUUGAGGACGUAGAGUCUGUUUGGCGACCUCUGCACCUUCAUGAUCAGCAUCCUCUGACGGUCAUACCCCCAUAGAUAGCCAUCUUCGAGCACAAUCUUGCAACCACGCUCCUCGAGCUGGCCAAGACUUAUGAUGUUGCUCUUUAGCUUGGGAAUAUAGUACACAUCUGUGAGUACCUUGUGACCGCCAUUCUUCAGCUCAAACAGGACAGUACCUCGCCCUGUGAUGUCAACGGUCCGCCCGUCACCGAACCAAACCGUGCCUCCAACCGAGAGAUUUAGCUCAGAAAACUGGUCCUUGUCACCGGUCAUGUGGUUGCUUGCUCCCGUGUCGAGGUACCACACGUGCCCCGCCGUGUUCACCCUCUUCUUGUCAUGAAGGUAAACCUUCUCUUCGUCGAGCGUGACAACCUCGGUAGCCGGUGCCUUCGGAGUUGGACCAUCCUCGUCCAUAAGCUCGCAUACUUCGACCAUGAGCAUCAUAUCGCUAUCAUCGCCUCCCUUGGCCAUGAGAGCUUUUUCCUUCGGUGGACUCUUGCAAUCAGACUUGAAGUGACCGAGGAUUCCACAAUUGUGACACCUUACUUUUUUAUGUCAAAUUUUCUCCUUGGUUUUCUAGCCUUUUCUUCCUGUCCAGCGAGGUCCUUUUUCGCCGGGCUUUGCUUCUCCUUUGCUUUACUACCGCUUGUGGAUCCACCUUGCUUUCCUUUCGACAGGGCCAUCCAUUGCGCCAUUGUAAGCAUGAGAUGCUCACUCUCCUUCGAAUCGCCGAAGCUGAGACGAAUUCUCUCGUCGUGGGCCUUGAACCUUCCGACGAGAUCCUCGACCGUGAGAGUGUUCAGGUCAAGACAUUGCUCGAUCGAUGUGACGAUUUGGAUGUAGCGUGUCGGCGCGGCGCGCAAAAAUCGUCGGACGAUCGCAACUUCUUCUAGAGUUGAACCAUAGCCGCGUAUGCCGUUGACGAGGGUCUUGAGACGGGAGGCAAACUGAUCAACCGUCUCGCUUUCCUCCAUCUUCAGGCACUCGUAGCUUCUCAUGAGGGACUGAAGGUGUGCUUCCUUGACACGGUCAUGACCCUGGUGCAGGAUCUUGAUGGUCUCCCAUGCCUCCUUCGCCGUUUUCUUUCCGACGAGGUGUUGCAGCACAUCCUUCGGCAUGGCGGAGUAGAUCGCCGUUAACGCCUGACGAUCCAUCCGGUACUUUGCCGCGCCCUUCGCGUACUCGGCGCCGCCGGGAUCGACAGCUUCCCAGAAUUCCGCUCCCUCCAUCGCGACCUCCAUGUUCAUCGCCCAUAGUGCGUAGUCUUCUCGAUCCAGCCGGGGGAAUUGCGACCCCCCAACCAUCGGCAUCGGUGCUCUAGCUCCCGCCACAACGAUCUCCUUGCCCGGGUUUGACAUGAUCCUUCGAUUGCUUUCCGAAGAUCACGUCAAUAAACCAAGCUCUAGAUACCAAUUGUUGGCCCAGAACCGACGCCGAGUACUUUCCGGCGACGGCAGCGACCGACGACGAACGACGACGAAGCGAAGCGAUCGAUCACCCGCAGUGUACAGCUAUCCAAACUAGCAAUCCAUCCUUUGACCUGUGUACGUUGCCUGAUGGAUGUGGUACACACGUACGAAACAGCUGCUAGCUAGUUACGAGCGGCUUAAUCAACUUCGCCGAGAGCAACACACGACACGGGAUUUUGAUGGCUAUAGGUGCGUGUCGCACCUAUGAUUAUAUUGCUUUGUCUUCUGAUCUGGUUACAAGGGGUAGUCUACACGAGUAUAUAAAGAACUAAAGCUAGCCUAAUACACGUCGAGUCGGUUUAAUUGUUCCGGUCCAACCCGGACACGGACAGCGUGGUUAUUUCCAACAGGGGCGGCGCGUCAUUGAACCUUGGCAAGCUGCUCAUUUCCUGCACCAACACUAUCACCGCCAAGGCUACGUUCGGCCAGGUGUGCGACGAGGAGCUCCAGGAUCGGUUCAUGGCCGUGACCGGCCUGGCGAUCAAGGCCUCCGGCGGAUCCAGCGUCGGGGACCUGGUCCCGUCGCUGUGGUUCGUCGACGCCCUCACUGGGCUGAGAGGCCGUCUGUGGCGUGCGCGCCGGCAGCUGGAUGCCAUCCUGGACAAGAUCAUCGCUGAUGAACGCAGGGAGGGGCGGCGAGGUGACCACCUUCUCGGAGUUCUGCUUAGGAUCAAGGAUGAGGGGAACCUUGAAUUCCCCAUCGACAUGACAAACAUCAAGGCCAUCAUAUUGGUACGUGUCAAGCUUCAUGCACUAGCUAACGUAAUAAAAGUCUAAAUAGAUUGAAAAUGCUAGACAAUCCAUGAUAUACACUCCAACAAUAUGAUACUAAAUAGAUCUAAUUUCUUUUAUCCGAGAGUAACUUAAUUUUCAUUUUUGUUCAUGCCCCAUUCAGGAUAUGUUCACGGCAGGGACGGAGACGACGUCGGCAGUGGCCGAGUGGGUCAUGGCCGAACUCAUUAGGAACCCAAAGGUGAUGGCCAAGGCGCAGGCUGAAGUGCGUCGUACCUUGGACACCAAGAACCCAAUAGACCAUGAAGAAUACAUAGAUGAUCUGCACUACACCAAAAUGGUGAUCAAGGAGACCAUGAGGUUAAACCCUGUGGUGCCGUUGCUUGUCCCUCAUCUCUGUCAGGAAACCUGCGAUGUUGGCGGAUUUGAGGUCAAGGAGGGCACCAGGGUCUUGGUCAAUGCAUGGGCAANAACCGUGCCUCCAACCGAGAGAUUUAGCUCAGAAAACUGGUCCUUGUCACCGGUCAUGUGGUUGCUUGCUCCCGUGUCGAGGUACCACACGUGCCCCGCCGUGUUCACCCUCUUCUUGUCAUGAAGGUAAACCUUCUCUUCGUCGAGCGUGACAACCUCGGUAGCCGGUGCCUUCGGAGUUGGACCAUCCUCGUCCAUAAGCUCGCAUACUUCGACCAUGAGCAUCAUAUCGCUAUCAUCGCCUCCCUUGGCCAUGAGAGCUUUUUCCUUCGGUGGACUCUUGCAAUCAGACUUGAAGUGACCGAGGAUUCCACAAUUGUGACACCUUACUUUUUUAUGUCAAAUUUUCUCCUUGGUUUUCUAGCCUUUUCUUCCUGUCCAGCGAGGUCCUUUUUCGCCGGGCUUUGCUUCUCCUUUGCUUUACUACCGCUUGUGGAUCCACCUUGCUUUCCUUUCGACAGGGCCAUCCAUUGCGCCAUUGUAAGCAUGAGAUGCUCACUCUCCUUCGAAUCGCCGAAGCUGAGACGAAUUCUCUCGUCGUGGGCCUUGAACCUUCCGACGAGAUCCUCGACCGUGAGAGUGUUCAGGUCAAGACAUUGCUCGAUCGAUGUGACGAUUUGGAUGUAGCGUGUCGGCGCGGCGCGCAAAAAUCGUCGGACGAUCGCAACUUCUUCUAGAGUUGAACCAUAGCCGCGUAUGCCGUUGACGAGGGUCUUGAGACGGGAGGCAAACUGAUCAACCGUCUCGCUUUCCUCCAUCUUCAGGCACUCGUAGCUUCUCAUGAGGGACUGAAGGUGUGCUUCCUUGACACGGUCAUGACCCUGGUGCAGGAUCUUGAUGGUCUCCCAUGCCUCCUUCGCCGUUUUCUUUCCGACGAGGUGUUGCAGCACAUCCUUCGGCAUGGCGGAGUAGAUCGCCGUUAACGCCUGACGAUCCAUCCGGUACUUUGCCGCGCCCUUCGCGUACUCGGCGCCGCCGGGAUCGACAGCUUCCCAGAAUUCCGCUCCCUCCAUCGCGACCUCCAUGUUCAUCGCCCAUAGUGCGUAGUCUUCUCGAUCCAGCCGGGGGAAUUGCGACCCCCCAACCAUCGGCAUCGGUGCUCUAGCUCCCGCCACAACGAUCUCCUUGCCCGGGUUUGACAUGAUCCUUCGAUUGCUUUCCGAAGAUCACGUCAAUAAACCAAGCUCUAGAUACCAAUUGUUGGCCCAGAACCGACGCCGAGUACUUUCCGGCGACGGCAGCGACCGACGACGAACGACGACGAAGCGAAGCGAUCGAUCACCCGCAGUGUACAGCUAUCCAAACUAGCAAUCCAUCCUUUGACCUGUGUACGUUGCCUGAUGGAUGUGGUACACACGUACGAAACAGCUGCUAGCUAGUUACGAGCGGCUUAAUCAACUUCGCCGAGAGCAACACACGACACGGGAUUUUGAUGGCUAUAGGUGCGUGUCGCACCUAUGAUUAUAUUGCUUUGUCUUCUGAUCUGGUUACAAGGGGUAGUCUACACGAGUAUAUAAAGAACUNCACCCUUUCUAACCUAUGCGAUGUGUGCCUAGUCUACUUCUGCUGCCUCACGGUGUCCGCCAUUGAUACACAUGGGCGAUGGUGCUCAGGUCUUCGAAUUCACUAUUGAAUUCUUUCCGUCUAAAGUGAAGCUAGUUGAUGGUAGUGUGCGAGACACACAGAGAGAUACAAUUGUGAAAUGAGAGGUUGAAUUUGCAGAAAUUGACCCAUAGCAAAUACAGAGAUGGAAGAGAGGGGCCUGAGGAAGUUUGAGGAGAAAGUUGGGGAGAGCAUUUUUUGGGUCCAGGGUAAGAGGUAUAAUUGUUACUGUUUGAUAAUUGAAAGGGUAAGUAUGUGAGAAUUGAGAAUGGUGAAGAGAUGGUUGAUGAAAUCGAUCGGCAAGACUGCUGGGUAAGCAAAAAAGACUACCAUUCAUGCAUAGCUCGUUGAUGCGAAAUCGAUCGGCAAGACUACUAGGCAAGUUCGAUUCAUAGAUGAUAUAUGAUGAUUGGAAUUCGUAGAAACAGAUAACGUCCAUGUGUACGGGGAAGUGACGGUAAUAGAGGGGGCUGAUCAACAUGCACAAGAGGGCUAUCAUGGUGCUGUAAGGGUUAUUUUUGCUGAUUGGAAUACAGUACAAUUAGAAGACAUUACUGAUUUGGCCAUUGCAUCAAUGGCUGACACUAAGAUGGCCAAUUUUUUGGCAUUCCAGUAGAUGAUCAAGAUAAGGAAGAGAGGGGUCAAUCGAGUUUGCCUAAUGAUGCUAACGUAGAUGCUUGUAGCCCCGACUAACUCUGUGCCCAACAACUACGGUAAGACGGGAGGGGGGGGGUGUUCUUCGGAAUGACUACGCGUAAAGGCAUUUAUGCGGUGAAUCAGGUUGAAAGUGAAAGUUGCCAAAAAGUGGCAGAAUUUAAAGUGCUAGUUAUUGAUGAAAGCACAUAUGCUCCCUUGAUGGUUUUUAUAAUUCAUGGUAACAUACAUUGUCUGUUCGACUAAUACUUUUACCUAGUACAUUUCAGAUAUAGUCCACAGAGAUAACUGACUAAUGGAUUGUGUGGAGAAGCCCCAAGGAAGGAAAGGAAUAAGAUUGGCCAGCUUCAAGCUACAAGACUCUACAUUUUAUAUUUGUGAGAAAUCACUUUUAGGUCCAUAGGAAAGCCAAUACUAUUAAAAGAGGUGAGGUAUCUAUGAUGAAUUGGUUGCUGAAGUGCUUAGAGACACCCAACAAAAAUACUCAGCCAUUCUCCCACAAAAUUCAAUGUCCAAAAGCCUAAACAUCAAAAUCGGUGCGUGAUACGUUAAGUUUUGAUUGUUGCAUGUUAUUAUAUUAUCUAUUUUGGAUGUUUUAUAUGCAUUUGUAUGCCGUUUUAUAUUAUUUUUGUGACUAACCUAUUAAACUAGAGCCUAGUGCCAGUUUCUGUUUUUUCUACCUUUUUGAGCAUUGCAAAUAAGGAAUAUUGAGCGGGGUCCAAACGGAAUAAAAUAUCCUGAAAGAUUUUUCUUGGACUAGAAGACACGCAACAGACUUGGAGUAGGGGGCAAGCCAAUUGCCGGGAGGCCACAAGCCUGCAGGGCGAGCCCUGGGGGGAUGGCCGCGCCCCCUGGCUUAUGGGCCCCCCUGGAGGUCUCCUAACUCUAUUCUUCGGCCUAUAAAUUUCCAAAUAUGUAGUACUUGAUGAGUUAUGCAUGCCCGCUUAUACAACCAGCUUUCAGUGGAUCCUGCUAAUCAUAGAUCCCGACGAGGCAAAAGUUGAAGUACUGGACUCACUGGAAAAAAGAUCGUAAAGAGUAAAUGACCUGAAGUUGAUAUCCGAGAGGUAAUUUCAAUCAUUAUCGCACUAUGUCGGCCUCUUUAGUUCAUUUCCUGAUAUCAAGUAAUCAAUGACUCCUUUAUUCUUUUUCUUUGCCGGGUAGACUUUAGACACGGUUCAUCCAGAAGGUUCGUGGUGAAUGGAAACCAAAGCUGAUAGGGGUACGACCUAAGGUAAUUAAGUAGUACUAGCUACGUCCGCGCAUCUACUUAGUUCUAAUUUUAAUAUCAUUAUAAUGCUUGAUUAUUAUCUGAGUGCAUUCUAUUCUCGUAAUCUGGUGCAUGCGGCAGGAACAAGAGACUAAUCUAUGUGCAUAUUAUGUUUGCGACAACAUUCGCUUUAUGACCGAACGGCGCCCAGAUGCAAGAACUCUUUGGGUACGUAAACAUGGUCUAAUAUAUAUACACACAAAUAAUAUAUUCAUAUUGGUCUCCUUUUUGAAAGAUGAAGGGGAUACGGGAUAGGCUCCUACCAAAGGAACGCAUAUGAGCACUUUAAGUGAAAAUUGUGGGAUUUUUGCUUGAGAAGGUCAUAGAUCCCGACGUAGAAUACCACUACACCAAUUAAUGCAUGCAUGUAAUGAUCUGCAAGUUGUAGGAGAAAUUGUAUGCUAUAUAGGACGACCAUUUGGGGCACCUAGGUGUCCAGGCUCCUUGACUUUUCACCGUUCGAUUGCAUUACGGGUCAACCAUCAUAAAUUACAGAUUUGGAAAUAAUCACGUCAUGCAUGGUAACUUUUUUGUGGGAUGACAUGCAUGCUACCUUCCUUAUUAAGAGACGUUUGUAAUAAGAAUUGGAGAGAAAACUAGUAAUUAAGGCCUUAUUAUUGUGUCUUGAACGUCCAUGACGUUGCGUAUAUGUACAUUUUUUUCAUAUGUGUGCAUACACAUUGGGUUGAUACAUACGAUUUUUUAUUAAUUAUUUCAAAUUAAGUUAGUAUUUUCUUUUUCAACCAUUUUAUGACUUUGGGUAUCAUAUACCUGUGGAUGCCAUAUUUCACGUAGACAAAUAUAUGUAGCCAUACUUUACUUUAUAUACGUUGAUGAGAUACCUACAAUAUUUUCGUAUCUUUUUUGACCUAGUCGGGUACAUACGUGUGUAUAUUAGGUAUAUUAGGUAUAAUACCUACAAAUUGGUAUCACGGUCUAAGAAAAUGUACACGUGAUAUCUCGGGUACAUACAUAAAAGAUGUGAGAUUUAUAGGUAUAUAUACAAAUAUAAUUCACAUCAAGUUAUUUAUAUAUAUAUGUAUGUUUUUAUUAGGUAUAUCAUCAACAUGUACAUAUUCAUUUGUAUAAUCACAUCGAGGCAUGUAUAUAUUCAUGUGUAUAUUCACAUCAAAGUAUGCAUAUUUUCACUUGGUACAACAACAAUACAUAGAUAUUAAAAGUAUGACAUUUAUGUCUACAUUUUCGUUAGAUAUAACUUGGACAUGUCCAUAUUUCGUUAAGUAUAAUACCCACUAACUAGUAUCACUGUGUACGUGGAUAUACAUAUGUACAUAUCCUAGUAUGAAUGUUCAUACCAUGUUUGUUUCUGAAAGCAAUUAUUGACCAUUUAAUAUACUAGUAGUACAUGCAAAUAAAAUAUGAAAAGUCAUUAUUUUGUCAAUUGAAUGUCAUGCACUAAUGAAUAUGACUUGCCAUAACCAGCCUAGGUGCACAGGCUCCUAGGUGCCCCAUAUAUAUAGGUGUCACGUGUGGUGGUAUAUGGAACACGUGGGGUAACUACCCCUGGGUGGUAGGAUGUAUAUAUAUAUAUGGUUGUACGAGGAAAUUCUAUGAUAUAUGAUUGGUCCUACGAGAAAUUUUAUGAUAUAUGCAUAACGUGUAUUGUAUGUAGUAGCGUAAGAUAUAUUUGAAAUGAAAAAAAUUAAAUAGAAAACUGAAAAUGAAAAGAAAAAAUAAAUAAUAAACCCCAAAAUCUCAAAAUCCCAAAACCCCAAAUCCCCGAAGCCGUUAGUCCCGGUUGGUGUUACCAACCGGGACUAAAGGUCCCCGCCCCCCGAUGCGCGCUGCCAGCCAAGUGGAAAGGAAUUAAUCCCUGGUCGUGGCAAACCGGGACCAGGGGGGAGGGGCUUUAGUCGCAAGUUAUUAGCCCCGAUUGGUGAACCGUGACUAAAGGCCCUUACCAACCGGGAGUAAGAGCGUCUCCAUCCGCGCCCCCAACACGCCCCUCCUAGGUCGUUUUUUUUCGCCGGCGGGCCAAAAAGGCCCCAGUCGCGCCCCCAGAAACCUGUUUUCGUCGAUUAGAGCCAAAAUUAGCCUCGACGGUCUCAGGCCGAACUCAGCGCAUUGGGGACCCCCAGGAGCGCCGACACUAUUAUUUGCAUGCAACAGGCCCACUGUCAGCCUCCCACUCCCUCUCUUCCUCCUCCCUAUCUCUUGCAUGCAACAGGCCCACCCAUGUGCAUGCCUCGCCCACUUCAUCUCUUUUUCCUCUCAUCUCUCUUGACUUGUAGUGUUGGGUGGGGGCAUAGCUGGAAAACUUUUCCUCCCCAUGCCAAAAAUUUCGCCGGUAUAACCCCAACCGGGUGAAAAAGUGCCUCCUGGGAGGCCAACCAGCGGAGAUGCUCUAAAGCCCCGUUUUCUACUAAGGAUGUAGCCAUAUGAAUGAACUCCGUUAACAAAUUUCGGUGUGUACUCGUGUGAUUGCUUGGUCUUUGAAUGAUCAAUGAAAUGCGUCGAAUUAUUUUAACGACGACUGUACGAUGGAGAACUCGUGGUCAAGGCACAUGCCCAAGACUGCUUGAGCCCAUUUAUGCUUGCUCUUAACGNUAAUAUAUUCAUAUUGGUCUCCUUUUUGAAAGAUGAAGGGGAUACGGGAUAGGCUCCUACCAAAGGAACGCAUAUGAGCACUUUAAGUGAAAAUUGUGGGAUUUUUGCUUGAGAAGGUCAUAGAUCCCGACGUAGAAUACCACUACACCAAUUAAUGCAUGCAUGUAAUGAUCUGCAAGUUGUAGGAGAAAUUGUAUGCUAUAUAGGACGACCAUUUGGGGCACCUAGGUGUCCAGGCUCCUUGACUUUUCACCGUUCGAUUGCAUUACGGGUCAACCAUCAUAAAUUACAGAUUUGGAAAUAAUCACGUCAUGCAUGGUAACUUUUUUGUGGGAUGACAUGCAUGCUACCUUCCUUAUUAAGAGACGUUUGUAAUAAGAAUUGGAGAGAAAACUAGUAAUUAAGGCCUUAUUAUUGUGUCUUGAACGUCCAUGACGUUGCGUAUAUGUACAUUUUUUUCAUAUGUGUGCAUACACAUUGGGUUGAUACAUACGAUUUUUUAUUAAUUAUUUCAAAUUAAGUUAGUAUUUUCUUUUUCAACCAUUUUAUGACUUUGGGUAUCAUAUACCUGUGGAUGCCAUAUUUCACGUAGACAAAUAUAUGUAGCCAUACUUUACUUUAUAUACGUUGAUGAGAUACCUACAAUAUUUUCGUAUCUUUUUUGACCUAGUCGGGUACAUACGUGUGUAUAUUAGGUAUAUUAGGUAUAAUACCUACAAAUUGGUAUCACGGUCUAAGAAAAUGUACACGUGAUAUCUCGGGUACAUACAUAAAAGAUGUGAGAUUUAUAGGUAUAUAUACAAAUAUAAUUCACAUCAAGUUAUUUACCCCCCCCCCCCCCCCCCCAUAUAUAUGUAUGUUUUUAUUAGGUAUAUCAUCAACAUGUACAUAUUCAUUUGUAUAAUCACAUCGAGGCAUGUAUAUAUUCAUGUGUAUAUUCACAUCAAAGUAUGCAUAUUUUCACUUGGUACAACAACAAUACAUAGAUAUUAAAAGUAUGACAUUUAUGUCUACAUUUUCGUUAGAUAUAACUUGGACAUGUCCAUAUUUCGUUAAGUAUAAUACCCACUAACUAGUAUCACUGUGUACGUGGAUAUACAUAUGUACAUAUCCUAGUAUGAAUGUUCAUACCAUGUUUGUUUCUGAAAGCAAUUAUUGACCAUUUAAUAUACUAGUAGUACAUGCAAAUAAAAUAUGAAAAGUCAUUAUUUUGUCAAUUGAAUGUCAUGCACUAAUGAAUAUGACUUGCCAUAACCAGCCUAGGUGCACAGGCUCCUAGGUGCCCCAUAUAUAUAGGUGUCACGUGUGGUGGUAUAUGGAACACGUGGGGUAACUACCCCUGGGUGGUAGGAUGUAUAUAUAUAUAUGGUUGUACGAGGAAAUUCUAUGAUAUAUGAUUGGUCCUACGAGAAAUUUUAUGAUAUAUGCAUAACGUGUAUUGUAUGUAGUAGCGUAAGAUAUAUUUGAAAUGAAAAAAAUUAAAUAGAAAACUGAAAAUGAAAAGAAAAAAUAAAUAAUAAACCCCAAAAUCUCAAAAUCCCAAAACCCCAAAUCCCCGAAGCCGUUAGUCCCGGUUGGUGUUACCAACCGGGACUAAAGGUCCCCGCCCCCCGAUGCGCGCUGCCAGCCAAGUGGAAAGGAAUUAAUCCCUGGUCGUGGCAAACCGGGACCAGGGGGGAGGGGCUUUAGUCGCAAGUUAUUAGCCCCGAUUGGUGAACCGUGACUAAAGGCCCUUACCAACCGGGAGUAAGAGCGUCUCCAUCCGCGCCCCCAACACGCCCCUCCUAGGUCGUUUUUUUUCGCCGGCGGGCCAAAAAGGCCCCAGUCGCGCCCCCAGAAACCUGUUUUCGUCGAUUAGAGCCAAAAUUAGCCUCGACGGUCUCAGGCCGAACUCAGCGCAUUGGGGACCCCCAGGAGCGCCGACACUAUUAUUUGCAUGCAACAGGCCCACUGUCAGCCUCCCACUCCCUCUCUUCCUCCUCCCUAUCUCUUGCAUGCAACAGGCCCACCCAUGUGCAUGCCUCGCCCACUUCAUCUCUUUUUCCUCUCAUCUCUCUUGACUUGUAGUGUUGGGUGGGGGCAUAGCUGGAAAACUUUUCCUCCCCAUGCCAAAAAUUUCGCCGGUAUAACCCCAACCGGGUGAAAAAGUGCCUCCUGGGAGGCCAACCAGCGGAGAUGCUCUAAAGCCCCGUUUUCUACUAAGGAUGUAGCCAUAUGAAUGAACUCCGUUAACAAAUUUCGGUGUGUACUCGUGUGAUUGCUUGGUCUUUGAAUGAUCAAUGAAAUGCGUCGAAUUAUUUUAACGACGACUGUACGAUGGAGAACUCGUGGUCAAGGCACAUGCCCAAGACUGCUUGAGCCCAUUUAUGCUUGCUCUUAACGUGCAUGAUCGAGCCCUGCUAUCCUGGCAUAAUCAAACUUGUGGGAGUAACAUUAGAAAAUUAUAUAUUACAAAUUUUUCAUAUAUCAAUGGUACGUCUAUGUUCCAUGGAUCAAUAGAAUAUCCGUUCAAUGAAAGAAGAUGUUUCUGUCGAAAGCAAAACGUCAUUGGUACUUCUUCAAUCUUAAGAACCAUUAGCUCAUUCUUUUGGGUGUGUUCAUAAGAGUAUGAUGUGCUUGAAUGUGUUUAUGCGAAUGAGUGUGCAUACGUAUUGCAGAGCUCAAGGUCACUGCCGCCAGUAUCAUAUUGUUAACUAAUCAGCCGCAUCAUUUUCACCUCUGAUGGUAAAAACACGAGGGGCGCACAGUCAAGGCACAUGUUCAUGACAAAGUAUGCUUAAGUGUAUUUAUUUCUUCAAUUUUGUAACUAACUUAUGGACGUCUUACUGAUGAACCAUAUUGGAAAGGAAAAUGAAGUGCAGGGGUCAUGAUGAUCAGGCAAUGUCCGAGGUGUCAUUUUGUAUGAUUUGUCCAUGAAAAAGAAAAGAAAACAGAUAGAUACAUCAUACGUCUACAAGGUGGCCGAUUGGUGUACUUAACGGGAGCGCCUGUGACUUGUGAGGCACAUCACCACAGUACCUUGCCCCCCCCCCCCCCCGUCAAGGUCUCAAGGAACAUGUCCAUGACUAAGUAUGGUCAAGUGUACUCUAUUAAUUUAUGUAUUCAAUUGUACAACUUAUGGAGCUUUGACUGGAAAACUGGAAAACUGAUGUGCAGGCUGAUCUACAAGCAAUGUUCGAGUUGUCAAAUUUUAUGCCACACUAAGGAUGUGGCGCCUAUAUAUAUAGAAAAGGUGUUCGUGAGUCUUAUCCCACACUAAAAGGCAUUUCUAUUUGUGCUGCAAGCAAACCUGAUGGUGAUGAUGAUGGAGCAAAGCGCAGCCACCCUCAUGCUCCUCACUCUCGCCUCACUCGUCGUCCUUGCAUCGGUACUGAGCCGCAAACCGAAAAACCAUAGGCGGCCUCCAGGCCCAUGGCGCCUCCCCUUGAUCGGAAGCCUCCACCACGUCCUCACGUCGCAGCCGCAGGUCGCCCUCCGGGACCUGGCCAAGAAGCACGGCCCGGUCAUGUACCUCCGGUUCGGCCAGAUGGACACCGUCGUCGUCUCCUCGCCGGCCGCGGCGCAGGAGGUGCUCCGGGACAAGGACCUCUCAUUCGCGUCGCGGCCCAACAUCCUGGUCUCAGAGAUCUUCUGCUACGGGGGCCGCAACGUCAUCCUCGCGCCCUACGGCCCCUACUGGCGGAUGACGCGUAAGCUCUGCACGGUUGAGCUCCUGAGCGAACGCAAGGUGCGGCAGUUCGCGCCCUUCAGAGACAGCGAGACCAUGUCCCUUGUCGAGAACAUCCGCGCCGCCGGUCGGGGCUGUUGGCCCAGAACCGACCCCGAGUACUUUCUGGCGACGGCAGCGACCGACGACGAAGCGAAGCGAUCGAUCACCCGCAGUGUACAGCUAUCCAAACUAGCAAUCCAUCCUUUGACCUGUGUACGUUGCCUGAUGGAUGUGGUACACACGUACGAAACAGCUGCUAGCUAGUUACGAGCGGCUUAAUCAACUUCGCCGAGAGCAACACACGACACGGGAUUUUGAUGGCUAUAGGUGCGACACGCACCUAUGAUUAUAUUGCUUUGUCUUCUGAUCUGGUUACAAGGGGUAGCCUACACGAGUAUAUAAAGAACUAAAGCUAGCCUAAUACACGUCGAGUCGGUUUGAUUGUUCCGGUCCAACCCGGACACGGACAGCGUGGUUAUUUUCAACAAUCACCCCCCCAAACACGAUGUCCUCACUUCACAGCUUGGACGCCGAUCCUUCUCCGCAUCUCUGUAAACUUCUGUCGUCCCAAAGACUUGAUCAGGAUAUCUGCAAGCUGAUCAUCGGUGCAAACAUAGUUGACUUCAAUCUUGCCUUUUUCUACGCACUGCCGUAUGUAGUGAUACCUUAUAUCUAUGUGCUUAGUCCUGUCAUGAUGCACUGGAUUCUUACACAGGGCAAUCGCAGACUUGUUGUCAACAUUGAGCACCACUCUUUCUGGUUCUUUAUCUGUGAGGUCACCGAGUAGCCUUUCUAGCCAUACACCUUGACCCGCUGCGGUUGCAGCUGCUAUAUACUCUGCUUCGCAGGACGAUAAUGCGACCACCUUCUGCUUUUGUGAUAGCCAAGUUACUAUGCUCCUGCCCAAGAAAUAUGCCAGACCCGAGGUACUUUUACGGUCAUCCACAUCUCCUGCCAGGUCGCUAUCACUGUAGCCAAGUAGCUCCACCAUCUCCUUCUUUUUCUCUCUCAAAUAGACACAACCGAAGUUUGUUGUCCCUUUGAUGUACCUGAGUAUAUGUUUGACAGCUGCCCAAUGUUCAGUUGUGGGUGCUUCCAUGAAGCGACUCACUAUGCCAACGGAAUAGGCCAAGUCCGGUCGUGUAUUCACAAGAUACCUUAGGCUUCCGACCACACUUCUAUAAUCCGUUGCAUCAACCGCAGGGGCUUCACUCCUUUUGCUAAGUUUAAGCCGAGGCUCCAUUGGAGCAUAAGUUGGUUUGCAAUCCUCCAUGCUACAACUUUCAAGUAUCUUCUUUGCAUAUGCCUCUUGACAUAUUGUGAUCCCGUUCGGCUUUUGUUGUACCUCGAUCCCGAGGCAGUAUGUCAAGAGCCCUAGAUCACUCAUCUUGAAUAGCUCCUUCAUUUGUAGCUUGAAUCUUGCAAUCUCCUCUUCGUCUGCUCCAGUUAUCAAGAGAUCAUCAACAUAGAUGCCCACUAAGAGACGAUCCUUGCCUUUACCUCGCUUGUACAUAGCAUGCUCGAGUGGACUUUUCUCAAAACCAAGAGAAAUCAAUGUACGGUCAAGCUUGAUGUUCCAUGCCCGAGGAGCUUGAUGUAGCCCGUACAAUGCCUUGUGUAGCUUCAACACCUUGUGUUCUUCUCCUUCUUUGAUGUACCCCGGUGGUUGCUUCACGUAUACUUCUUCUUCCAAUUCCCCGUUCAAAAAAGCGGAUUUUACAUCCAUGUGAUGUAGCCUCCAAGAUUCUUGAGCCGCGAGAGCUAUAACUAGCCUCACCGAUUCCAUCCUUGUGACUGGAGCGAACACUUCCUCGAAGUCCACACCUUGCUCUUGCACGAAUCCUUUAGCUACGAGCCGAGCUUUAUGCUUGACCAAGUUUCCUUCAGCAUCCUUCUUGACUUUGUACACCCACUUGAGCCCUAUGGAUUUGUGACCGUUGGGAAGAUCAGCGAGCUCCCAUACUUUGUUGUCUCGUAUUGAUCCCAACUCUUCAUCCAUAGCACGACGCCAACACUCCUCAGUAUUUGCUUCUUCAAAUUUCGUCGGUUCCUCGACGCUAAGCAAACAUUGUCGUCCUCUUCUUAUAACUUUGACAGGAUUAAUAGUACGAAGUGCUUCCUCCGGAUAUAAAUCCACCACUGGUCGAAGACGAACUGGUGUCGGCGGACGUUCCCUUGUCUCCUGUUCUGUCGAAGACGAGGAAUUUUCAUCUUGUGGAGUUGCCAAACUCCUGUUUUCUGGCGAUCCAGGUUCUCUUCCAGGCGCAGCUCCCAGGCUGCUCCCUUGUGGUACGCAGUCACUUGGUCGAGCGCUUCGAGCAUUGCUUGGUGUGUUUCACGAGCCAUCGCAUGCCUCGUCUGCCGCGUCCUGCUGCGUGCCUUCGCGCGCCUCUAUCCCUGCUUUAUCUGGCGCGUUCGGCUGCGCUCCAUUGUCCAGAGAAUCACUCGGCGUCGUUGUAGUCUCCGGUUGAUUAUCGGCAUGCUCGUAUUCGUUGUAAACAACGUGAAAGAUUUCAUCAGAGAUCGGGUAUACCGGCUCGGUAGAGUUCCAAUUCCAUGAUCUUGCUUCUUCAAAGACCACGUCACGAGUCACAACCACCUUAUUGGUAGAGGGGUUGCACGCACGGUACGCCUUCGAGCCUGCUUCAUAGCCAACCAAUAUCAUUGGAGUACUCCGAUCCGCCAACUUACUUGUAUGCCCGGCCACCGUCUUCACAUGCGCCACACACCCGAAAGUACGAAGAUGAUCAACCGCGGGCUUAUGUCCGUACCAUGCUUCGUACGGCGUCAUCCCAACCACACUCUUGGUUGGAGCCCGGUUCAGCAAAUAAACGGCCGUAUUGACCGCCUCACCCCAAAACUUGCCCGGGACCCCUUUGCUCUUCAUCAUGCUUCGUGCCAUCGCCACCACGGUUUGAUUCCUCCGUUCCACAACACCGUUUUGCUGCGGUGAAUAUGGCGCCGUAAGAUACCGCUUGAUCCCAUGUGCUUCGCAAAAUUCUGUGAAUUCACGAGACUUGAACUCACCCCCCCGACCGGUACGGAGGGCCUUCAGCUUGGCUUCGGAUUCUACCUCGGCCGCCAUCUUUACUUUCCUGAAGGCUUGCAAAGCUUGGUCCUUCGUCUUCAACAACACAAUCCACAUGUAUCUGCUGAAGUCGUCGACGAUGAGUAAGAAGUAUUUGUUUCCAGCUGGGGUAGCCGGUGUAAUGGGUCCGCACAAGUCUCCAUGGACCAACUCAAGAGCUUUACUUGCUCUAAAGUUUCCCUCUCUCGGGAACGAGGCCCGCCUUUGUUUCCCAACAAGGCAACCGUCGCACACUUGCUCAACAUGAUCAAUGCACGGUAGGCCACGUACCAUCUCCUUUUGUCCAAGUUGCCGAAGAGCCUGGAAAUUUAGAUGACCGUAGCGCGCGUGCCACUUCCAUGCCGAGUCCUCCAUGCUUGACAAGAGACAUACUGGAUCCACACGAUCCAAGUUGAGGACGUAGAGUCUGUUUGGCGACCUCUGCACCUUCAUGAUCAGCAUCCUCUGACGGUCAUACCCCCAUAGAUAGCCAUCUUCGAGCACAAUCUUGCAACCACGCUCCUCGAGCUGGCCAAGACUUAUGAUGUUGCUCUUUAGCUUGGGAAUAUAGUACACAUCUGUGAGUACCUUGUGACCGCCAUUCUUCAGCUCAAACAGGACAGUACCUCGCCCUGUGAUGUCAACGGUCCGCCCGUCACCGAACCAAACCGUGCCUCCAACCGAGAGAUUUAGCUCAGAAAACUGGUCCUUGUCACCGGUCAUGUGGUUGCUUGCUCCCGUGUCGAGGUACCACACGUGCCCCGCCGUGUUCACCCUCUUCUUGUCAUGAAGGUAAACCUUCUCUUCGUCGAGCGUGACAACCUCGGUAGCCGGUGCCUUCGGAGUUGGACCAUCCUCGUCCAUAAGCUCGCAUACUUCGACCAUGAGCAUCAUAUCGCUAUCAUCGCCUCCCUUGGCCAUGAGAGCUUUUUCCUUCGGUGGACUCUUGCAAUCAGACUUGAAGUGACCGAGGAUUCCACAAUUGUGACACCUUACUUUUUUAUGUCAAAUUUUCUCCUUGGUUUUCUAGCCUUUUCUUCCUGUCCAGCGAGGUCCUUUUUCGCCGGGCUUUGCUUCUCCUUUGCUUUACUACCGCUUGUGGAUCCACCUUGCUUUCCUUUCGACAGGGCCAUCCAUUGCGCCAUUGUAAGCAUGAGAUGCUCACUCUCCUUCGAAUCGCCGAAGCUGAGACGAAUUCUCUCGUCGUGGGCCUUGAACCUUCCGACGAGAUCCUCGACCGUGAGAGUGUUCAGGUCAAGACAUUGCUCGAUCGAUGUGACGAUUUGGAUGUAGCGUGUCGGCGCGGCGCGCAAAAAUCGUCGGACGAUCGCAACUUCUUCUAGAGUUGAACCAUAGCCGCGUAUGCCGUUGACGAGGGUCUUGAGACGGGAGGCAAACUGAUCAACCGUCUCGCUUUCCUCCAUCUUCAGGCACUCGUAGCUUCUCAUGAGGGACUGAAGGUGUGCUUCCUUGACACGGUCAUGACCCUGGUGCAGGAUCUUGAUGGUCUCCCAUGCCUCCUUCGCCGUUUUCUUUCCGACGAGGUGUUGCAGCACAUCCUUCGGCAUGGCGGAGUAGAUCGCCGUUAACGCCUGACGAUCCAUCCGGUACUUUGCCGCGCCCUUCGCGUACUCGGCGCCGCCGGGAUCGACAGCUUCCCAGAAUUCCGCUCCCUCCAUCGCGACCUCCAUGUUCAUCGCCCAUAGUGCGUAGUCUUCUCGAUCCAGCCGGGGGAAUUGCGACCCCCCAACCAUCGGCAUCGGUGCUCUAGCUCCCGCCACAACGAUCUCCUUGCCCGGGUUUGACAUGAUCCUUCGAUUGCUUUCCGAAGAUCACGUCAAUAAACCAAGCUCUAGAUACCAAUUGUUGGCCCAGAACCGACGCCGAGUACUUUCCGGCGACGGCAGCGACCGACGACGAACGACGACGAAGCGAAGCGAUCGAUCACCCGCAGUGUACAGCUAUCCAAACUAGCAAUCCAUCCUUUGACCUGUGUACGUUGCCUGAUGGAUGUGGUACACACGUACGAAACAGCUGCUAGCUAGUUACGAGCGGCUUAAUCAACUUCGCCGAGAGCAACACACGACACGGGAUUUUGAUGGCUAUAGGUGCGUGUCGCACCUAUGAUUAUAUUGCUUUGUCUUCUGAUCUGGUUACAAGGGGUAGUCUACACGAGUAUAUAAAGAACUAAAGCUAGCCUAAUACACGUCGAGUCGGUUUAAUUGUUCCGGUCCAACCCGGACACGGACAGCGUGGUUAUUUCCAACAGGGGCGGCGCGUCAUUGAACCUUGGCAAGCUGCUCAUUUCCUGCACCAACACUAUCACCGCCAAGGCUACGUUCGGCCAGGUGUGCGACGAGGAGCUCCAGGAUCGGUUCAUGGCCGUGACCGGCCUGGCGAUCAAGGCCUCCGGCGGAUCCAGCGUCGGGGACCUGGUCCCGUCGCUGUGGUUCGUCGACGCCCUCACUGGGCUGAGAGGCCGUCUGUGGCGUGCGCGCCGGCAGCUGGAUGCCAUCCUGGACAAGAUCAUCGCUGAUGAACGCAGGGAGGGGCGGCGAGGUGACCACCUUCUCGGAGUUCUGCUUAGGAUCAAGGAUGAGGGGAACCUUGAAUUCCCCAUCGACAUGACAAACAUCAAGGCCAUCAUAUUGGUACGUGUCAAGCUUCAUGCACUAGCUAACGUAAUAAAAGUCUAAAUAGAUUGAAAAUGCUAGACAAUCCAUGAUAUACACUCCAACAAUAUGAUACUAAAUAGAUCUAAUUUCUUUUAUCCGAGAGUAACUUAAUUUUCAUUUUUGUUCAUGCCCCAUUCAGGAUAUGUUCACGGCAGGGACGGAGACGACGUCGGCAGUGGCCGAGUGGGUCAUGGCCGAACUCAUUAGGAACCCAAAGGUGAUGGCCAAGGCGCAGGCUGAAGUGCGUCGUACCUUGGACACCAAGAACCCAAUAGACCAUGAAGAAUACAUAGAUGAUCUGCACUACACCAAAAUGGUGAUCAAGGAGACCAUGAGGUUAAACCCUGUGGUGCCGUUGCUUGUCCCUCAUCUCUGUCAGGAAACCUGCGAUGUUGGCGGAUUUGAGGUCAAGGAGGGCACCAGGGUCUUGGUCAAUGCAUGGGCAAUGGCAAGAAGCCCCGAGUACUGGGAAAACGCAGAGGAGUUCAUGCCGGAGAGGUUCGAGGACGGCACGGCUACCUACAAGGGCUCGCGGUUCGAGUACUUGCCGUUCGGCACUGGAAGGAGGAAGUGCCCCGGCGAUACCUUUGGGCUGGCCACACUGGAGCUCGCGGUGACACGGCUCCUCUACUAUUUCGAUUGGAGCCUCCCUGCCGGAACACGGGUAGAUGAGCUCGACAUGGAAACAAGCGUGGGGAUAGCCACGAGGAGGAAGAACCAGCUGCACCUAGUGGCGACCCCUUAUAAGUGUGCUUGCUAGGCAAAUACUAUCUAUGUGCUCUCGUAUGUUCUUUUCCGUACACAAAAAAAAAUCACCGUGGAGUUUUUUUUUCCCGAGAAAUAACCUAUGUGGAGUGUAUUUGUAAAUUAAGUUCAUAACCUCUUUAUGCCUGCACAUGGACGGGUGAAUAGCUCAUGUGUGAAGUUUUUGAUGCGAAUUGGAAAGAAUGAAACGUAGUUGCGAUGAUUUACAUGGCAAUAAUAGCCCCUAUACAAUGGGAAUGGUCAUCAACG